RNAcentral lists this long non-coding RNA (119382 nucleotides) under Gossypium barbadense (sea-island cotton). RNAcentral describes it as "long non-coding RNA (GBAR_LNC012156)". The stretch from base 76435 to 76556 matches the Rfam family "MIR7504 microRNA precursor family". Lineage: Eukaryota; Viridiplantae; Streptophyta; Magnoliopsida; Malvales; Malvaceae. The record is from RNAcentral.
CAGGAGGACGUAAAUUCAAAUACACUGAAGCAUAUUAUCUUCUUAUUUACGAGUUAGAGAGGGACUAUAGAUAAUUUUAAACAUUAUAUCAAAAAGAACUGAUACGAUGAUAAUAAUAUAUAAUGAAUAUUUUAAUAUAAAAUCUAAAAUUUCACUAAAGAUAAAUAAAAUUAGAGGAUUUUUAAUUAAUAUUAUAUUUAAUUUUCAAAUUGUUACUAUUGCAUAUCACCUCCCUCGAAUCUAACCUAAAAUGCAUAGAAUUAUUAAUUAGAAUAUAUAACUAAUGGACGGUUAAGUGCUAAAUUAAUUGAUCAAAAUUAAAAUUAUACAUUUUUUCAAAUGCCACACAGCCUUGCCUGUCCCCUGAUUUCACCUCAAAUAAAUUAAUCAAUUAAGGCUAAAUUUCGUAUAAGGUCCUUGUACUGUAUGUUCUAUGCGGAAUUUGGUAUCUUGUAUAAUUGGACAAUAUUUUGCACAUUUACAAAUGAAAGAAAAAAAACAAAGGAGAAAGUGUAUUAUAUAUCAAUUUGUACAAAAAGUUAGUCGUAGGACUAAAAAUACACAUUUCAAAAAGUAGAGGACUAGAAAUGAUUAAAUUAUAAAAAUAUUAAGGUGUUGUUUGAUAAACAAAAAAAAAUUAAGUGGUAAUAUUAAAUUUAAAGUUAAUAAAAUCUAUUUGGAAUAUUACUUAAAGUUAAUAUGUAAUGAACCGAAAGUUACGGUAUCGGAAAUUGAGUCUUGAGUACUGUUUCCGUGAAAUUAAUUCAUGAAUAUUUAUUAGAAAUAUUUAUGAAUUAUAGUUGAAUGGUUAUUUAGUGUUUAAUUAAGUGAAGUAGCUUGAAUUUAGUUUAAAGGACUAAAUUGCAUACGGUAUAAAAGUUUAAAUAUAGAUUAAAGAUUAAUAAAGGGACUAAUCUAGCAAUUAGACCCUAAGUGACAUGUGUGUGUUAAUAUUGAAUAACAUGUGUAAUAGUUGGUAAAGAUAUUAAAUGUGUUAAAGUAGUUUUUCUUAUAGAUUAAGUUAUUUUAUUAGAAUAAUAUUAUAUUAUUAAUAUUAUUAUAUUGAAUAUAGAUUUAUGAGUAAGUUAAAAAAAAAAAAAGAGAAAGAAAGAAAGAUAGAAAAGUUACAGAGAGCAAACGUGAGAAAGAAAGAAGGAAAGAAAGAAAGAAAUAGAAAAGGAAAAUUUGAGGAUUAAGGCCCUAAAGUUUAAUUGGUAAGUUGUUUUAGCUCAUUUUCUUAUGAUUUUUAUGUUUAUGGAUGCCUAAUUCAAAGUUCUACAUGUAUGAGGUUAAAAUGAAGAAAAAUAGAAAAUUUUUAGAUAUUGAUUUAGUUGAAUAAAUUGAGGUUUUAUGGGUUAAAUUGAUAGAAAUUGAAGUUAGAAGUGAAAAUUGAGUGAUUUAUUAAAAGAAUUCUAAGUUAAGUUUAAAUAGGGAUUAAGUUGAAUAGAGCUCAAAAUUUAUGUUUUAUAAUGAAUUUUAUGAGUUAGAAAUUGUUAAUGGGUUGAUUAAAGGAGAAUAUGAAGCUUAAGUUAAAGAAAAAAAGAUUAGUAAUGGAAAAAGGACGAAAUUGGAAUUUUUGUAAAAGUUUGAUAGAAAGUGAAAAUGUGUUUUAUGAAUUAGUAUAUUGAUGAUUUUUAAUUGUAUGAUUGUUAGUAGCAAACGUAGCACCGGAUACGUCAUCAAAGAAGGGAAAAGAGAAAGUGAACGAAGAUAUCGAUUAAAUUCGAUAAAUAGUGGUUUGUAUUUCUAUAAACCGAGCUUAAUCGUUAUUGUUAUAUUUGAUAUUUAUAUUGUAUGAAAAUGUGAAUGAGGUAAGUAUUUUUACCAUAUUGAAAUGAAUGUGAUUUUGAAUACCCUAUUAGCAGUGUCGGGCUAGUCGGAUAUAGUUGACAUGUCAUAGGAAUUGGAAGUAUUGGGAUAUUCCGACAUUGAGUCGAUGAGACACUAUGUGUCGACUACUGUUAAAGUUCCGGAUUUGUUCCGAUGAAGUACUUUGUGUACUAUAAUCUUAAAGUUCCGGAUUUGUUCCGAUGAAGCACUAUGUGCUUAUCCCGGAGUGUGGGUUGGAUCCGUGUAUCCGUCAGUGUCCGAGUUAUGUUAAUAAGGGUAAAUAAAGUAAAGAUUAUUAAAGUACUGAUUGAUAUUGAAUAAUAGCAAUAAUGUGUUUGAAUUACCAUGUUUUAAAGUUGAUUAAGCUAUUGUUUAUAGAAAUACCACUGAGAGUAUUCUCAGCGUACGGUUUGUUUCCGUGCGCAGACUAGGUACGAAAGUAUAAGGACUCAGCGUACAAGCCGAUCCCCGAACUCAAAUUGGUGAAGUUUCUAUCUUUUUGGGAAAAUGGCAUUGUACCUAGGAUGUCUUCUGGUCAUUUUGAAAGUAUCUAAGUUGUUAAGUGAUAUUUCGGAAUGUUUUGUAAAUGUUACCAAAACCUUAAGUAUGGUAUGUUUUGAUAUGUUAGUGAAGAGUAAUGAGAGGAAUUGUUGGUAAAUGUUGUAGAGAGAAGAAAUGAAGAUGUUAUAAACUUAGUUAUCAACAUUUUUUACUAAAACAGAUUUGGACAGUAGCGGUAGUCCAACUUUGAAAAUAUACCAAAAAUAGUAUAAAGUGAAUUAGAUAAUGAAUAAAAUUUUUAAUUGAAGCUUAAUGAAUCUAUUUUUAUAUGGAAGAAACAAAAUAGGUAAAAGAGUUGUAUUUUAUGAGAUAUUUACGUUUUGGUGAAACAGGGUUAGAACAAUUUCUGGAUUCUCUAUUCUGACUUUAGAAAUUCACCAUAAAUUGUGUAUUAAGAAUUAGGACUCAAACUUUAUUUGUAUGGAUUACUUAUUGAGUCUAUUUUUAAUUGAAACAAAUGGCAUAGUCAUUGGAUUUCUGUACAGGAAGAAAUUUGAUUCGUAGUGCACAAGGGUCAGAGUAGCCGAACCCUGAAACAGGGGAGAAUUCUUCUAAUAAACUGUACUAAUUGGCCCUGACAAAAAAUUCUAGAAAAAAAUUAGUAAGUAGAUAUAUGAGUCUAGUUUCAGGAAAAAUUUACGGAAUUGGAUUUUGAGUUUCGUAACUCGAGAUAUGAUUUUUUUAGCGACCGUGACGCAGAUGGAUAGUUUACUACGAAAACUGUUUAAGUGCUAAGAUAAGUUUUGUAAUGUCUCCUGCUUGACUCCGGCAACGGUCUCGGGUAGGGGGACGUUACAUAAUAGCUAGACUGUUUGAUAAAUAUAAAUUUUAAAUUAUGAUUUUUUUAUUAUUUUUAUUUUAUAAUAUUUAAUAUCAGAUUUUAAAGCUAAUUUUUUUAAGGACAAUAUAAUGCUAAAAGAAAUAAAAUAAAUUGAAAAUAUUCUCCAUUAAGCGAUAAAUUGUUCCUUAUCUAUUUAUCUUUAUCCACAUUUUUAUAGGAAAAUUCUAUCACGUGAUUAUUUUUAGAUUAUUAAACAUGUGUAAAAAAGUAAUUCACAGAAAAACAUAGGCACAAUAAUAAAUUUAGCCCUCAAUGUUUAUAUCUUUGGUCAAUUUAGUCAUUAUUCUUUUUUGAGUUAAAUUUGGCCAUUAACCUUUUUAAAAGUUAAAUCGUUUAACAGAAACGCUGACUAAAAAAUUAAUUCUUUAACAGUAUAUGUGUAGCAACCCGCGUGGUAGUCCAUGUGUACUUCAUGUUAACAUAACAAUAUUUGUUUUAUAUGUUACAUCAACAAAUAAUUUUAAAUAUGUAGAAAUAUUUAAAAAUAAUAAAAUUUAAAAUAUAUAUAAUGUAUAAAAAUUCAAAAAUAGCAUGAAAUACAUGUGGAUUGCCAUGUUUAGAUAUUUAAUGUUUUAGUCAGUAUUCUCGUUGAAAAAGUUUGAAAGUCCGUUGGUCAAAUUCGACUUGUUUUGAAAGGCUUUGGGGUCAAAUUUAGUUUUUUUUUAAAUAAAAAAAAGAAUAAGAGUCAAAUUGAUAAAAGAUGUAAACAUAAGGGCUAAAUUUAUCAUUAUGCUAAAAGCAUAUUAUACAAAGAUCUUUUAUAAAAUUUGACCUUAAUUAAAUUUAGGGUAAAAUGCAUUAUUGGUCACCAAACUUUUAUAAGUUUUCAUUUUAGGCACAAUUGUUAAAAAUUAUUUUCAUUUUAACCAUCUUCGUUAAAAACCAUUUUUAUUUUGGUCACCCGCUGUUUAUUCAAUGUUAUUAUUCAUUCAUAUUAGUCACCAAUUUUAAUAAUUUUUCAUUUUAGUCACUCAUUUCCCUUUUAAUUUCUUUAUAAAAAAGGAAAAAGAAAACUUGAGUUUUACUAGAAUUGAGUCAUUCAGCUGAGAUAAUAUCCAAGCUUCUCCCUAUAAAUCAAUUCAUUGUAAAAACUUUCAAUUUUCCCUUGUAAAAACACAAGCUUUUCCCUUGUUAUUGAAAAAAAAACUAAAAUUAAUUUUAAAAUAGAGGGGGAAAAGAAAAUUAAAAAGAUUAGAUGAUUUUUCUUGUAAAAAUUCAAAUAAUUUCAUGUAAAACUCUAAAUUUUUUCCUUUUACUAGGAAAAAAAAUUAAAACUAAUUAAAAAGAUAAAAUGAUUUCCCCAUAAAGUGAUAAAAUGAUUUCCCCAUAAAGUCCCAAUUAAAUCCCAUGUUUUUCCUUUUUAUUGAAAAUUUAAAAAUAAAUCUAAAAAAUUGAAAAUAAAUUAAAAAGAUAAAUUAAGUGACCAAAAUAAAAACUUAAUAAAGUUGGGUAGCUAAAAUGAAUAUAUAAUAACAUUGAAUUAACGACGUGUGGUUAAUGAAAACAAUUUUUAACGGUAUUGCCUAAAAUAAUUUUUUUUUUCCUAUGCUUAAAACGAAAACUUAUAAAAGUUAAGUGACUAACUUUGUAGUUCACCUUAAACGUAAUAGUAGUUUACUUUAUAUAUUUGUUGGUAAAAGGAAAAAAUGGACAAAUUAGCCCCUGAAUGAGUGAGCAUGAUAGCCCUUCCAUUAAAAAUUGGUAUUUAUAUAUAAUGUAUAAUAAAAAAUUUAGCCCUCAAUCUUUAUACAUUUGUUCAAUUUGACCCCUACUCUUUUAUUGAAAGUAAAAUAGAAAAAUUUUAAACUAACAAGGGUAAAGGGUCAAAAAGGCCUUAGUAACAAGUUAAAAAAAUCAAUUAAAUCCUUUUAAAAAUUAAAAAUUAUUAAAAUAUUAUAAAAAGUUAUACAAAUUUUAAAUUAUAAGUUUCUUAUUAAAGAAUAACAAUACCGACCCAUUCAAAUCUAAUGGUCAAAAGAUUUUAAAAAAAUUUGAGCCCCACACUUUUAUUUGAUCGAUAUUGUUAUUUUUUUGAUUUUUUUAAUAAUUUUUUGUUAUGAUUUUUUUUGUAAUAAUAUUUAAAUUUUAAAAGGGUUUAAAUGAAUUUUUAAGAAUUUCUUACUAAGGUUUUCUUUGACCCUUUAGCUUUAUUAGUUUAAAUAAUUUCUAAUUUACUUCUAAUAAAAGAGUAGGGGUCGAAUUGAAUAAAUAUGUAAAGAUUGAGUAUUAAAUUUGUCAUUAUACCUUAUAUAUAAACACCAAAACAAACCUUUAACUAUUUCAUUUUUAUGAAUCGUCUAAGGUAUAAUGACAAAUUUACCAAUUUUUCAAUAGAAACUAAAAUAGAAUCCAAAAUAUACUAGGGAGAUUUCCUGACACUUUUUCCUAUAAUCGUUAAAUUAGUGAACUAAGAAAAAACAACUUAUAUUGAAAUUAAUUAAUUAAGAUUUACUUAAUUAACAUAACUAAUUUGAUGACUAAUUAUAUAAUGUUUCUUUAUAGGUGGUCCUUCCAUCGUACCACUUAAAUUUGAACAUUUUUUUUCCCGACCGGCUGAUAAAGUGUCAUUUUCGCUUAAACUAAUUAUUUUGAUUUGUAUCUUGAUAUUCGAAAACAUUUUUUAUGUCAGUUAACUUUUGUUGUGGGAUGUCUACAUUUUUCAAAUAACUUUUGAAGUGUUAUCAUCUAAAAUUGAUGGAUUUUUUAACGGGUUGGUAUUUUUUUCGAGCUAAAUUAGGAUUUUGUUUCCACACUUUAUAAAGAAUUCGAGUAUUUGAGGUGUCAAGUUCAACAGAAUAGUAGCAUCUCGUUAAAUUAGACCAUGUGUAGGGCACGACUACCUAUCAAGGGACGGGGACAUCUUUAUUUGGUAGGGUUUGAACACAUGCCCCUUAAAUGAUCACAAUAAACAUGUAUGUUACCACUUUAUCAAGGUGUCAAAUUUUACGAGAUGCUCUCGCUCGAUUGAAUUCCACGCCUCAAACACUCAAGCUCUUUAUAGAGUUAGGAAACAAAAUCUCGACUUAAUCCAGGGACAAUACUGACAUGUUAAAAAGCCCACAAACUUUAAAUCAGUAACACUUUAAAAACUUCUUCGAAAUGAAUCCAAUAAACAAUUAAAUAAAUACUUGUAUAUUGAGCAAUUCAAAUUUAUAGUUGGAUUUAUAUAAAUACGAAGUAGCAAAUUAGGAUGGAAUCCGGAUCUUAUAUCACCGGAAUUUCAACCCACACAGGUGUUUGUCACAUACCAGUUGGUCCCAAAUCCCAAUUAUAAAUUGAUUUUUUUUAUAAUAAUGGUCAAAUUUAUUUCGUUAUCAAUCGAUAUAUUUAAUCUUUAAUAAAAAUACACAAUAAAAUUUUAAUUUAAUAUGGAAAUAUAAUUUAUCGAUCGGUACGUGAUAUAAAUUUAAACAGUAUGAUCAGUUUUGGUCGUUUUCAUUUUGGCACUUUGUGUGACACCAAAAUUACAAUAAUUAGUUAUGUUUAGGUAACGAAAUUUGGAAUUAUCUUAGCAACUUUAUUUAUUAAUUAAAUCUUUUAUAUUUUAACAAUAUGUUUGUGUACUUGUUAUGAAACAUUGUUCCACAAAUUCGUGUCGUGUUCAUCCCAAUUAAUAUAAUAAAUAAUGCAUUUUUCGCAAGGGAAAUAAUCAAAUAAUAAAAUAAAUUUUUAAAAAGAUUUGCAUGGUAGACUGACCUUAUUACAAGCAUUUAAUAUUAUGUUUUGUCUGUUUUUUUUAAAUUAUUAUUUUUAAUUCUUUAUUUUUUUGAAUGAAAGACCAAGAUAAUGUAACGACGGCUAAACCAUGUUAACUUAAUAAAGACAACGAUUUAAUAACAACAAGAUUAAUAUGACUCGAAUUUAAGUUACACUUAAAACGUUGAAUACCUAUGAAUUUUUUAAAUUUAAUUUUUUUUCUUAAUUGAAGACUUAAGGACAAUGUAAUGACGGUUUAGUCCUGUUAUUAUAUUUAUUUAAGAUUCUUUCUUACUACUACAAUUUUAUAUUUAUAUUCUGACAGUUGCUGAUCAUUUAAAUUAUUAUAAUUGCACAAAUAUGUGAUUGGAUUGUAUAAAAAUAAAUAUGAUUGGAUUUAAAUUAAAAUAAAAUAUUUAUUGUGAAAUAUUAAUUUUAAAAUCUAAAUUUUUUAAAGCCUCGUUGUUAUUAUUAAAUUAAAACCUCAUCAAUUUAUUUUUAAAUUUUAGAUUAAAUUGAAUAUAUUUAAUCCUUGAAUUUUAUUUUCUGUGUAAUUACAAGGAAAUAUUUACUAUGGGAAUGGAAAAUAAAAGAUUAAGGUUAUCAAUAUUAAAUAUUUUUUCGCGUGGCAUACUUUUUAGAGUCAAUGUUCUUAAUUUUAUAAAAUUAUUUUAUUUUUUUGCACGGUAAAAAAAAAAGAGAGACGAAUUCGAAUAACUCAAGUUUAAAUUUAAUUAUGAAAAAUUAUAAAUAAAUUUAAUAGAGUUCAAAUAACUCAUUUAUGCCUCGAGCCGAAUUCGGUUUGAAAAUCAAAGACGAAAAUUAAAAGUAUUUGGUUUCUUAUAAAAAAAAAUUAUUAUUGAAAUUUGAAGUAACAUAAAAAAUAUUUUAAAAAAAACUAGUGAUUUUAAUUUGAAUAUUGAAAUAAAAAUGGAUUAAUUAUUACUUAAUAAACAAAUUUUUGUCAAAAGAAAAUAGUGCAGAAGGUGGGGGCAUUUGUCUCACGUGGCGGCAGCCCAUCGAUAUCAAGUGCCAACCAUUUUACUAGAAACCAGCCGCGUGGUUAUGUGACGCGUAGCAGUGGACUUCCCUUUUCGCCCUUGUGCUCCCCUAACAUGGCGGUCACCUAACCCCACAUGACUGCCUCAUUUCUUGCCAUGCCUACGUGUUGUGACACCCACCUUGUCCCCUCCCACCACUACACUUUACUGUACAAUUAGUUAAAAUAAUCUUCACACUUCAAUUUUUUUUUUUAAUCUUCAAAAUGUAUCUGCACAAAUUUUAACAUUAAUUUCUUCAAAAAAACAAACAAACAAACAAACAUCCAAUUUUUCUAGAGUCUAACUGUCAAUCUACUUCCUUUACCACGUUGAAAUUCGAGUUUUAGUCCCUCUUCUUUAUUUUGGUUAUAAUACAAUAAAUAAAUCUUUUUUCUUUUAUAAUAUUACAAAUAGGUCCAAUUUAGUAAUACCAUAACUUGUCCUUAAGUUAUAAUCUCAUUAAAUAUUCGGUUACGUGUAAUUUAUUAAGGUAAACUAUCAAAAUAAUCAUUUUUGUUUACCUCAGGUUACAUUUUAGUCACUUAUGUUUGAAAUGUUAUGUUUUAGUCACCGAGCUAUUAAUUGUUAAUAACGGUGUAAUGGUAAGCUAAUGUAGCACAUUAAAUCAUCAUUUCAAAUGAAAUUUUUAGGUUAAAUUCUACAAUUGAUCAUUAUUUUUUUUAUUUUGAGCAAUUUAAAUUUUUUAUUUUAUGUUAUUUUAACUUUUUUUCCAUUUUUUUCUACUUCUCCUUCUGUUUUACUCCCUUCUUCAUUUCUUCUAACAUAGUUUUUCUACGUUUUUCAUUUGUUAAAACUAGUCCACAAACUCGCCUCACUCAAAAAAAUUAAAUUGUUCAAAAAAUAAAUAAAAGUAUACAAACUAGUUUUAACAAAUGAAAAAUAUAGAAAAACUACGUUAAAAGAAACAGAGAAGGGAGAAAAACCAAGUGAGAAGUAGAAAAGAAUGGAAAAAAAAAAGAAAAAAAAAAGAAGGAAAGUUGAAAAAACAUAAAAGAAAAAAAUUAAAUUGCUCAAAACGAAAAAGUAUGAGAAUUGAGUAUAAAUUAACCUAAAUUUUUUGUUUGAAAUGAUGAUUUAACGUGCCACGUCAGCUUACCGUUACACUGUUAAUGUCAAUUAACGGACCAGUAACUAAAAUGUUACAACGCGAUAACAUAAGUGACUAAAAUGUAAUCUAAGCUAAACAAAAGUGACUAUUUUGAUAAUUUACUCAAUUUAUUAUUUCUUGAAUAUAAUUAAUUGAUUUUUACGUGAUCUUAUAUGAAUAAAUAAUUGUAAAAAAAAUCUACGUUAUCAUUUUAACCGUAAUAAAUUUCGAAAUUACAUCUAAAUAAGUUUUUUUUUAAGUAAAUAAACUUUCAUUUAAAUAAUAACUUAUAAAAUGAAAAGGAUGAAAACUUAUUUAAAUAAAGUAAAAGGUUUAACUCUAAUAUUGGUAUCUAAAUUAUACUUUUUUUUUCUAUUUUAGUAGAGUUGAUCAUGGGUUGGGCCGGGCCUAUACAAAAUUUUAGGCCCGGCCCGGCCCGGAAUAUGGGCCUAAAAAUUUGUCCAAGCCCGGCUCGAAAUAAAAUUACUAAGCCCGAGCUCGGCCCGACCCGGCCCAUAUUAAUUUUUUUUCUUAUUUCAUUAAAUAAAAAAAUUUUAAAAUAUAAUAAAUCAAAUAUAUUUAAAAACAUAAAAACAAAUAUUAAAACAAAUAAAAAUGAUACUAAAAUAAUUCUUAAAACAAUACACAAAUUGACAAUAUAAUAAAAAAUGGUUAUAUUAAAAAUUUAAAAUGAUUAAAAAUAAAAUAUAAUAAUAUAUAAUUCGGGCCGGGCCGGGCCCCGGCCAAAAAAUCUUACCCGAGGCCCGGCCUGUUUUUUUGCCCAAGCCCAUUUUUCGGGCCUAUAUUUUUACCCAAACCCUCCAAUUUUUCGGGCGGGCCUUCGGGCCGGGCCGGUCCGGGCCGCCCGACCCAUGAUCAGCUCUAUAUUUUAGUACCUAAACUUAUUUUUGGUUAUAAGUGAUACUUAAAUUACUUUUUUUUUCUCAAGUUGGUAUCUCUAUUAGUCAAACCGUUAAGUCUAUUUUAAAAAAAAGACUUAACCACAAAAUAGUACCUAAAUUCUGGAAAGUUCCAUUUUGGUACCAAGACUAUUUUAUUUUUCAAGUUAAUACUUAUGUUAGUUCAAUCGUUAGUUAAACUAUUAAAUAUAUUUAAAAAGAAAAGAUAACCAAAUAAAAACUGACACAUGACAAAAAGGAUAAUCUUUUAUAUAUUUUUUCUUUUUCCUUUUUAUUUUCUUCUUUCUUCGGAACCAGACGGAUGGUAGAUAAAAAAAAAGUAAUAAAAGGAAUAUGGAAGAUAAAAUAAUUAAAUUAUAUAUAUUUUAAGUUUAUAUGAUGCGGUGAUUUAUUAUUGGUUGAAAUUUUUUUACGAAUAUAACAAUUUGGUGUAAAAUGAGGAACAAAUGAAUCUUUUAGGUACUGCUUGUGACAAAAAAAAAAGUUUAGGUACCAACUUGAAAAACAAAAGGUACACUUUUGCCAAUAAUUUGUAGGUUAAGCCUUUUCUAAUAUAUAUUUAACGAUUUGACUAACGAUUGGACUAAUAAAUGUAUUAACUUGGGGAAAAAAGUAAUAUAGGUACCACUUGUGACAAAAAAAAAUUCAGCUAUCAAGAUGGGAAAAAAAUAUAUAGUUUAGAUGUCAAUUUGUGGAUUAAGCCUAAAAUAAAAUAUAAAGAUUAUUAGGUUUUUACUUGUAAAUGGCUUUUUCCCCUAAUAUUUAAGUUUAUCGUUUUGAUUUGGUGUUUUUCAAGGUUAAUGUAUUACUUGAUACUUAAGUCAUUUGUUUAGUUUGGUACUUGAGUUUUUUUUUUUCAAUCAAGUAUCUUAGUUUAGCUUUAAUGUUCAAUUGGGUAUUUGAGUUUUUUUUAUCCCAAUUAAGUACUUAUGUUUUUUUAUUGGAGUACACGUGUCAAAUAUUCAUUGGUCCAUAUGGUCCCGUUUGAUUUGAGUACUGAGUUGAACAUUGAAGUAAACUAAAAUACCAAAUUAUACACUAAAGACAAACUGAGGUACCAAAAUAUAUAUUAAUCUUAUUUGUUUAAACAAAUCUUAAACUACCUACAAACCCUUCAAAUCCGUAAAUGGAAAGUUAAGACGAGUUUAAGUGUGUCCAGACUUACGUCCUCCAAAUUAUUGCAAUUAAUGUUUUAAAAAUGAUGGUCAACUUAAUUAAACUAUUGUUAUCGGUGUACUCAAUUUGAACGUCAGCCCGACAAUAAUGAAAUAAAUAAUUAAAAACAUAAAAUAAUAUAUAAAUUAAUUUGCCUAUCAAAUUUUUUUAUUGAUUCCAAAUAAUUUAACUAAUUUAAUUUUUUAUCCAAAUUAUUAUAUCAUUUAGUAUUUAAUUAAAUUAAUCCGAUUCAUACAUCCGAACCGGUCCGAUAUGGUUUGUAGAACUCUGAAUGAGACCACAACGACAACAAUGUAAUGGAGGCUAUUUCUUUUUGUUUGUUUCUAUUUUUUUUUUUGCGCAACUUAUCCGUGUAAGUGCGUGAGCCAUCAUCCACCUUGCAAGCUCCCACCUUUUGUCGGGCCCACAUCGAAGCAAGAUGACGUGGCACUUUCACUUCCAAAGUCUCGGCCUCUUCCCCCUAUUUAAACCGUCAUCGAAGACUCGAACAUCCCCAAGCUCACAUCACAGUCCACACCAAAAAAACUCCCUUCUUUUUCUUUUUCCUACAAUACGAGCGCUUUAAUUCUUGUUCUCCAAUCGUUCGAUAAAAUUUCCCCUUCAAAAAAAAAUGGCCGUCGAUUCGCCUCUCUCGUCUCCGCUAGGUCCGCCAGCGUGCGAGAAAGAUGCGAAAGCUUUGCAGUUCAUCGAGGAAAUGACUCGAAAUGCCGAGUCCGUUCAACAGAGAGUCCUCGCUGAAAUCUUAUCCCGAAACGCAGAGACUGAGUACCUCAGACGGUUCCAACUCAACGGUGCAACCGACCGAGAAACUUUCAAGUCCAAGCUCCCGGUCAUUACUUACGAGGACCUUCAGCCUGAAAUCCAUCGUAUUGCUAAUGGCGACCGCUCUGCUAUUUUAUCUGCCCAACCCAUCUCAGAAUUCCUCACCAGGUUCGUAUAUAAUAUAUAAUAUAUGAUUAUGAACUGUACUUAAAGAAAAGGUAUAAUUUCGGGUUUAGCCCUUCUAUUAUGUUAAACUUUGUUAUUUCUUUAAUUGCCAUCAUUAAAGCAAUGACCUGGAUUCGUUUACUAUUUAUUUGGUCUCAAUUUCGGGACCAAAUGAAAAUUCGGUUCAUCAUAUUCAAUUAAUAGCAAAUUUACAUCUUAACCGAAUACUUCAAAGACAGUAACUAUAAUGUUAUCAAUUUGUACAAACGGUCUAAAUUAUGACAAAUUCAAUUAGAAGGUUUAAAUUCUAAAUUUCAACAUAAUAAGAGGACUAAAACUAGAAUUAGACUACAAAUAAUGAGAUCCAUGUAUGUUUCUAUAUUGAUGCUGAUAAAUUUUCCUGGAAAAUCGUGCAGCUCCGGGACAUCAGCUGGUGAGAGGAAACUCAUGCCUACAAUUAAAGAAGAGCUAGAUCGCCGUCAGUUGCUUUACAGUUUGCUCAUGCCAGUGAUGAAUCUGUAAGUAUUUGGGAAAAAAAAGGUUAAAUUUUGGUUUUGGUCCAUUUGCUGUGCUAAAUUUAAGAUUUAAUAUUCAUUUUUAGUUUCUCAUAAUUUGAUUUUUUUGUCUUUUACAAAAAAAAACUAUUAUUUAGUACAAUAGUUAACACUGUUACUUAUCAUAAAAGCACAGCCAUCAUCAUAUUAUGUGAAAUUGAACUCCAUGAAUUAAAUCACUAAUUUGAGUAUAGUAGAGGAUUAAAAGUAAAAAACUGAUAGCACUGAAACAGUCAACUAAUUGUUUGUGAAGUUGUAUUAAUGGAACGCGGUUUCUAUGGAACAGUUAUGUGGCAGGCUUGGACAAAGGCAAGGGCCUAUAUUUCUUGUUCGUGAAAUCGGAGACAAGGACCCCUGGUGGUCUCUUGGCUCGCCCUGUCCUCACCAGCUACUACAAGAGCGACCAUUUCAAGACUCGCCCUUACGAUCCUUACAACGUUUACACCAGCCCCAACGAGGCCAUCCUCUGCCCCGACUCGUUUCAGAGCAUGUACACCCAGAUGCUCUGUGGCCUCCUUGACGGCCACCAAGUUCUUCGCCUCGGCGCGGUCUUCGCUUCUGGACUCCUCCGUGCAAUCAGGUUUCUUCAGCUCAACUGGAGACAACUCGCACAUGAUAUGGAAACGGGUUCCUUGAACUUGAAAAUCACUGACCCUUUAUUGAGGGAAUGCAUUGUUAAGACCCUGAAACCUAACCCCGAGCUUGCCCAGUUCGUACACCAUGAGUGUUCGAAGGAUGAUUGGGAGGGGAUCAUUGUAAGAAUUUGGCCUAACACGAAAUAUCUCGACGUCAUUGUAACCGGAGCUAUGGCGCAGUAUAUUCCAACCCUUGAUUAUUACAGUGGUGGGUUACCUUUGGCUUGCACCAUGUAUGCUUCGUCUGAAUGUUACUUUGGUUUGAACCUUAACCCCAUGUGUAAACCAUCGGAAGUUUCUUAUACCAUCAUGCCCAACAUGGCGUACUUCGAAUUCUUUCCCCACGAGCCUAAUCUUGACUCAACUGGUUUCGAUUUCACUCGUGAAUUGCCUCCUAAACUCGUCGACCUCGUGGAUGUGGAAGUUGGGAAAGAAUAUGAGCUCCUGAUCACAACCUAUGCGGGGCUAUGCAGGUACCGAGUGGGCGACAUUCUUCGCGUCACCGGUUUCCACAACUCGGCCCCGCAAUUCCAUUUCGUCAGGAGGAAAAACGUGUUGCUCAGCAUCGACUCGGACAAAACCGACGAGGCUGAGCUGCAAACAGCGGUCGAGAAUGCUUCUCACCUCCUCCGUGAGCACAAUGCCAGCGUCGUGGAGUACACGAGUCACGCCGAUACAAAAACAAUCCCUGGUCAUUACGUAGUAUACUGGGAAUUGUUGGUGAAAGACUCGACCAACUCCCCAGACAAUGAUACCCUAGAACAAUGUUGUUUAGCAAUGGAAGAGUCACUGAACUCAGUAUACCGGCAAGGGCGAGUGGCGGAUAACUCGAUUGGACCGCUAGAAAUCCGAGUGGUGAAAAACGGGACGUUUGAAGAGUUAAUGGAUUACGCAAUAUCAAGAGGAGCAUCCAUUAAUCAAUACAAGGUUCCAAGGUGUGUUAAUUUCACCCCAAUCUUGGAGUUGCUGGAUUCUAGGGUGGUAUCUGCACAUUUUAGCCCAGCUUUGCCACAUUGGUCCCCAGAAAGAAGUCAAUGAAAUGGGCAUAUAUAAAUAGAUAGAUUCUCUUUGUUUUUAUUAUUUUUUUAAAAUUAAAUUUAGUUUUUAUUAUUAUAUAAUUUUGUAGUAGCUUUUGAUGUAAGGUAAAAGUGUAAGUUGAGUAGGAUGAUUCAAAGGCUGUUUCUUUCAUGUAUGGAACGUAACAGGUAAGGUUUCUUUGCUUUAAUAUCCUGUCUUUGGCUUUUCUUCCCAGACAACAUUUUGGAAUUCAAGAUUAUAAAAAAAAGUUUUCCAAAAAUAAAAAUUAUAUUAAAAUUUAAAAAUUGUCAAAUGUCCUUUAAUUUUAUUAAAAAUAAAAAUUAAUUUUUAAAAAUAAAUAACAGUUUUCUAAAAAUAAUAAUCCUAUAUACAUUACAUGCCAUGAAAGUAGUUUUAGGAAGAUUACGUUUUGCUCUUUACAAAGAAAAAACAUUAUUAGGAGGAAUUACCACAAACCUAAAAAAAUUAAUUUUCAUCAAAUAUUAUGGCUGGCAAUGAAUUUUGAGGGCCUACUGCCUCAAAUCUGGUUGACAGUUUAGUGAGAUUCAAUGCCUGUUUCCCCUGUUUAAAGAGUUAGGGACGCAUUAGGUAAGUUGUGUAAAUUUAGGGAACCAAAUUCUAAAAUGGUUUAAAUUGAAUACUUAAACUUUUAGAGGGUCAAAAGUAUAAUAUUAUUUCAUUUAAUUAAAGUUAAAAAUUAAUUAAAUUAAAUUGUUUAAACUUUUUUGAUACAAUGCUUAGAAUUACGAAUAACCUCUUUUUGAUACAAUAUAAUCUUAUAUGAUUUAUUUAUUUAUUUUAAAUCUGCCUAAAUUAAUCUAUCUUUUGAAAAGUGAGAAUUCAUAAUAGAAAUGAUCAAGGACAAUGAAAAUAUAGCGGAAGCAACUUAAAUAUAAAGAAAUGAUGAGAGAACAAAAAAACCACAAGAAAGUAACGCUCAGGAAUUGUUUGAGUAAAUGCUCUAAAAUUAUAUUUACUAACUUUUAAUGGAUACGAUAAGAUCUAUGGGAUACUUAUAAAUGAGGGGGAAUGCCUCUAUAAUCCAACGAUACAAUUUAUUUUACAGCGAUGGUCGAGAUUAAAGUGAAUUUACGAUUGAGAUUCAUAAAGGAUUUACUUGAUUCCCUAAUAUUAAAAAAAUAAAAUCUUAUAAUAUUAAUUUUCAUAUUUACCAUGACAACCCUAAUUUUCCUUAAAUGUUUCAUUGGGUCACCAAUACUUCAAAUAGAUAAACUUCUCCAUAAUCAAAUAGUAUUAUUUUCAAAAUUUCAAGUGUGACAAGUGCCACAUGCAUGAUGAACCCGCCAUUUGAGAUGGUAGGAUUACUUUUUGAGAAAAGAAAAUCUAUCAUAUUUUUUAAAUAAUUUUAAAAUUACAACAUCUUUCUAGAUAUUUUUUAAAAUAUAAUAUUUUUAUACAAUAAAAUUUUAAAAAUAACAAAAUUUAGCUAAAUUGUCAUGUGUCAACUUCCCGUGUAAUUGCCUGACAGUCUCACAUGAAGUUGUCAUGUGUCAAUUCAACCUUUUUUUUUAAUAUAAAGUGUGACACGUGUCACAUGCAUAGUGAACCUGUCAAUUGUCAUGAUAUUUUGGUCUAAUAUACAAUUUUAUACAUAAACUUUGGUUUUGUGCAAUUUUAUAAAUUUUGAUUUUAUCCAAUUCUCACAAAUUAUUAACAUAAUUAAUGAUAUAACAUCAUUUUAUGUUUAUAUAUUACAUAUAUGUAUAAUUAUAUUUAUCCAAUAUAAAAAUAAAUUGAUGUACUUAUUUCCUUAAAUGCGUAUGGUUUAGCCUAAAUUAAAGUUUCAUGUAGAUAAUUACACUAAAUUAAAGUUCAUGUAUCAAAUUAUACAUUUAAUCAAAGUUCAUGUAUAAUUUUAAGAUUUAUCUCUUAUAUUUAUCAUAAAUAUGAUUGUACUUGUCCACAUAAAGUUUCAAAUUGAUCUGAUACCUUUCUCAUAUUGAUAGAUAAUUGUUGGACAUUUUUAAAUUACUCAAAACUCAACGUGCAUGUAUUAUUAAAAAAAACCCAUCAAGAUGCAUGACCUAUGUGAAUAAAAUAUGAAAUAUGAUCGUUGGAUUAUUAAACUGUUAGUUGGACAAAUAUUAUCUAAAUGUGAAAAAUUAUUUGGGUUUUACAUUAGGGUAAUAAAUCACUUGUUGAUACAAGGAGCAAGUUAUGGUGGUUUGUGAUAGUUUUCUCAAUGGGUGAAAAGUCGUAAGAAGGUUGAGGUGAUUAGAAUUUGGAUGCCUGGGGAAAGAUAGAAGAGGAGAGGAGAAAGAGAGUUGAGAGUGUAAGAAGAAAAAAUGCCUCAACCUUAUUCCUGAUUCCAAUAAGCCUUUUAGGGGUUGCUCCGAAUAAUUUCUAAGGUGCCACAUGCCAACCAAAUAUUUGUUUUGAACUUAUUGAAAUUUAGUUAACCUACUACUACAUUGUCAUCCUAGGUAUGACUAUCAUGUCUAGGGAACAAAUAUAUAUGAUAUUUGAGCGGUAGGCAUUCUAUCCAUGUUAGGUGUGUGGUUCCAUUGAUCAGGUCUUGUGAGGUUUUGUGCUCCCAAGAUUUCGGGCUUACUGGUGUCUUAGCUUGCAAAGUGUUCUCUUCAAUCAAAAGUAUUGACUUGCAAGAUUUGCUCACUUGGUGUAAGUAAUAACACUUUUAUAAGGUUAGCAUUUGAUACAUUUCUAGUGAAAUGUUUUAACUUUAUAGCAAGGCUUCAAAUAUUGCCAAAUGUCCUUCUUUAGUACUUUUUUUUUAUUUACUUCUUAUUAUUUAUUAAAUAGAACACCGUAUAUAAUCUUUUAAAACUUGUUUGUGGAGUCUAAAAAUUUUAUUGACUGUGUAUCAAGUUUUUUUUUUUUAUAUAUACAAGAAAAAUCCACUUACAUUAUUGUAAACUCAAAUUGUUUACAUGCUUUCGUGACUUUUUGUAGGAUUAAUAUUUUUAGAAUCCAAUUGUCAUAUUUCUUGUUCUAUUUAUAUAAUUAUCUAUGUCAAGUUUUAAGUAUAUUAAAAAUGUCUAGCUAUUUAUUUUAUGUAAAAAAUUCAAUCAUUAUAGAUAAAGACAAUAUUUUGAAUCAAAUGCUAGAUAUAUUGGAGCUAUCGAAAAUUUACUUGCUUGAAAAACACAAUUAUAUUAAUAAAUUAAACUGUAGAUUAUUAAAAUAUUUAUCAUACAAAAAAGUUAUAGAAGUCUAUAAAACUAUUUGAGUUUUACAUCAUCGUUGGUGAAUCCCUCUCAAUUGUGAAAUAACAAAAAGAAAAAUUUUUCUUUUUUACAAAGUAAACUAUAUUAUUACGAUAGUAUUUUGAUUUUCUUUUUUUUUAUACUCAUAAAUUAAAGUGCUAAAACAUGUUAUUCUCUUAUUUAUGAGUUGGAUAUUUACAUCAAUUCCAGAGACGGGAAAAAGCACACAUUUUUUUUAUCAUAUUAAAUAAAAAGGAAACGAGAGAAAUAAGCCACGUCAUCUAGGUAAUGACAUAAUGCAAGUAUGAUGACACCGUGUUACGUUACCUACAUUUUUCGUUUCUAUUUUCCAUCCACUCAAUAAUAGGUGGCUGCCGUCGCUACACGAGGGAAAAGGGAAGACAAAAGAAAAAACCCUAAUUGGCGGAGAAAGAACGACGGAGAGGAAGAGCCGCGGUGGCAGAAAUUAAAACUAUAUGGCCGCCCCUCUUUCCUCUCAUUUCCGUCCCCUUUGCUUCUCUUCCCAAUCAUGUUCGAUUCCAAAGCCCAAUCUCUUUCCUUCCUCUCUCUCCUUCCCUCCUCUUCGCUCCCUCUCCCCUUCGAACGCUAAAAAAUUCUCCAAAUCCCCUCUCCUCGCUUUCUCUUCCUCUAAUUUCGAUGCCUCUCAUUUCAAUGAUGGCUUCGGUCCCAAUCCUACCCCAUCUAAGGUAAGCUUUUCAGAACCAGUUUCAGUUUGGUUUAAUUAGGCCCUAGUCCCUUUACUCUUCGGACUUUUAAAAUUGAGUUCCUCUCUGUUCUUAUUUUAGGAAUUUAGUCCUCUACUUGGCUGAUUUGAAAAUUAAACUCCAAUUGAUGACAUUGGUAAUGGGUUUUCGUUAAAUUUGAAUAUGUUAUAUUUUAAUAUUCAAAAUUUUGGCUUAAACAAUUAAAGUUGAAUUGAAAAGACAUAGUAACCAAUUGAAUAUUUGGACUGAGUUCGAAUCUUGAAGUCAUCUGGGAAGCUUGAUUAGAUUAGACUUAGAGAAUAAAAUUGAUGAGGACGCGUAUGAUUAUAAAAAAAAAUGAUAGCACAGUCAAAUUUAACAGAAAUCCCUUAAUAGUGUUAUGAGUUGGACUUUAAUUUUUCAAUAAGAGAAGUUGAGGGUUAAAUUCCUGGAAUUAAAUGCAGAGGACUAAAUUUCAAAUAUACUAAGAGUACAGGGACUGGGACAUAAUCAGAUCUUUCAAUUUUGGAAAGUUACCCUUUUUUUUAUAGUUUGCUAAAUUUAGAUUGGGUUUUCUCAUUUCUGGUUUAAAAAUUGACUUUUAGCAAUGUUCUUUCAGAAAUCUGUCCUUACCAAUCUGAUACAGGAGAUUGAACCACUGGAUGUUAGCCUUAUUCAAAAAGAUGUACCCCCCACAACUGUGGAUGCCAUGAAAAGGACUAUCUCGGGAAUGUUGGGUUUACUUCCAUCUGAUAGGUUUCAAGUCUUUAUCGAGGCACUAUGGGAACCUCUCUCCAAAUUGUUGGUUUCUUCUAUGAUGACUGGGUAAUGUUCAUAUGUUCUGCAUAAGGUGCUCCAUGUUACUAGAUGUUGCUAUAGUUCUGUUGGUUGCUAAGAGGACGAAACCUUGGCUAGGGCCUAUAAGUUCCUCUGCCUGUUGUAGUUUCAAUACUUGUUGGCUAUGUUAAUAGUAAUCAGGUGUGUCAAAUAUGGGUAUGUGCUGAAUGCUGGUAUAUUCAUUGUUGAGAAGUUUUUCCAUGUAUUUGGAGGGUCAUUGGUGUCACAUACAAUAUACUUUAAGAAAAGUUAAAACUUGGAGCAGCAUAGGUUGUUAGACAUAACCUUUGGAGCUUUGCAUAUUGACCACAGUAUAUUUUUUAUUCACCCCUCUUUUGGGCAGAAAAUUUUGAUAUCAUAUUAGCAUUUGUUUCGGAGAAGUGCCAAAUCUUAAGCUCAUUUAGAUCAUGCCAAAAUUGGCUCAAUAUAUAUUUGUUUGGCACCACUGGAACUUAAAAGCUGAAUCCUGACGGUGUUUUUAUCUCCUCCGUGCAUACAUUUCUGAUUUACAUCCCAUCUCUUAAUGUGGUACAAUCACUUUAACAUGUGAAUCUUAAGAAUAUUUGUUUUUAAUAUUUAUACUAAGAUCAUAAGUUUAAUUGUUUGAUGUACCAUGAGGCAUGCAGAGUAGCAUUUACCUCCAAUAUAGAUGUCUGUCAGAUAUUGGGAUUAUCAGGAAUAAUAGUUCUUCUUUUGAAUUGCAGUUAUACAUUGAGAAAUGCUGAAUAUAGGCUUUGCCUUGAACGGAACCUUGGUUGUGAAGGAGAUUUGGAAAAUCAAACUUCAGAAAAGGCAAACUUCGAUUUACAAGAGAUGUUAUUGGACAGUACAAAAAUAAAUGAAUUUUCAGAGAAAAAUGAUUUGUCCUCUGAAUCUGAAAAAACCAUUGAAGACCAAUUUGAAGAUAUUGACUUUCAAGGCCUGGGUGAAAUGCCCCUGGAAAAUCGUAAAUACAUUCUUCAUUUGAAGGCUCGACUAACUUCAGUGAAAAAGGUAUGCUACAGCAUAUUGAGGAGCCUCCCAUGGUCUGUUUUUUUCCUGUAAAUUGAACUGUUCAACUUGAUGCAUUGCCUAGAAAGUUACCUUUUAUGUUUUAUGUGUGAGUUUGCUUAAUUAGAGACACAUCAUAGUUUGCUUCAGUUAAAAGUACUCAAAAGAUGCUAGGAAGGCCUAAAAGAUGCCAUUGCCUCUUAUUGGCUGUGCCCUAAACAAAGUGAACCCUGUCUGACCCUUUUUAUAUGGUAUCCGUAUUUCUGAUGCCUAGUAAACAUUCUCCCUUGAAAGCCUAUGUUUUUCAUUUGAGAUAGGAUAUUAGGCUAACUUAUACAGUCCAAAUUGUUUGUAAUAGCACUAUGGAAGAAUUUAGACAUGCCAACCUGAUUAACUGAAUAGAUCACUCAAUGGAAACAUACAAGGGAACAGAAAUUUAAGAUAUUAAAUAUAUCUUUCUUCAUAAUUUUAUCUUUUGAGAGUUAACCCCCUUGGAAGUAUUGGUAGGUGAAUUCUGGCUUACCGAAAUCUACAUUGCAUGAGUGGCAAUUCCCAUGGUUGGUCAGGAUCUGAUAUUAACGGUUGCUUCAUACAUCCAUGCUAUGUUAGAACGUUGAACCUUCUCAGAUUGUUGAAUAUCUCAUUUUCUUUUUCAUCUGUCUUUACAUAUAUAUUUGUUUCGCAGUUUCUUCAUAUCCUUUUCUGCAAAUUGGUGGGGUACAUGCUCAUGUUUCCAUUUUUUGCUCUAUUGAAGGAACUUCAUGAAAUAAAGAGGAAAAAUGCUGCUCUACAAAUGCAACAGUUUGUUGGGGAAGAAAAGAAUGAUUUACUUGACUACUUAAGAUCACUUCAACCAGAAAAGGUUAUCCUUGGUCUCAAAACCCUCUAAAGCAAAUUAAUCUAGUAAUAUCCCAUAAACACGAUGCUACGGGUUUGAUAUCUGAAAGGAAAUACUAUUUGAUUUUUUUGCUUUUUUCUCCAUUCACAUGAAGGCAAGAUUGAACUAAUUAAAAGGAGUUUUUUGCAAUUUCACGAUUUGUGCCCCCCCCCUCUUCUUUCCCCUCAGGUUGUAUAGGAAGGAGGGUUAGCUUUUGGCUUGAAGGGGUACAUCUGCUCAGUGCAAAUUGCUAGAUAUAGCAAUAUAAAUUGAUAUUUCUAUACCAGUAAUGCUUAAUCUGUCACAUUAAACUGUUUCUUUAGCAGUGAAUUUCAGUAAAAAUUUAUAUUGCUGUGGCUAAUAAGGUUGUAACAUAAUUUCAGGUAGCUGAACUUUCUGAACCAACAUCUCCUGAACUGAAGGAAACAAUCCAUUCAGUAGUCCAUGGUCUCCUUGCCACUCUUUCUCCGAGGAUGCAUUCCAAGGUUCCUCCUUUGUCAGAGAACACCACAACUGGAACUGUAAACAUUGGGAGUGAAGACUGUGCAGAACUUGUUGAGAAUACUUCUCUUCAAUUCCAGCCCUUCAUUUCAUUAACGCGGGACUAUCUUGCUCGUCUUCUUUUCUGGUUAGUCCACCUCCCCCCCGCCUUUUCAAUCACACACUCUUCUCAUUUCUUUUAGAUCACUUUGACCCAAGAAGCUUAUGUAUAAUUAAAAAAAUAUAAAAUAAAAUGAAAUCUGGUUUUUCAGAAGUUUAACUGGAUAUCUGCAUUUCUAUGUACUUAUUUGCUCACCAUAUGGUACAAUCCUGUUUAAAUUUGAACGUAUUAUUUGUGUUUGACCACUACACUUUGUAAGAAAGAUGACCGAAUGGAGAUCUGAGAGAUUUUCUUGUGUUUAAACUUCGAAUGAGCUUCAGUCACUCCGUCUAAGAUUCAAAGAAUUUGUCUGAACCCCAUCACCAUAUUAUAAUAUAGCUGAGUUCUAAUAUUCUCAUAUCUGUCCUGAAGGUGCAUGCUGCUGGGGCACUACCUUAGAGGCCUCGAGUAUCGGUUGGAGCUAAUGGAGCUUCUGUCAUUGACAAGCAGUCCCGGCAAUAAUAGUUAUGGUGAUGAGCAGGUUGUUUAGAGUUGCUAUCUGAUUCCAGUGCUACCAUCUGUAUAUAUGUGUGUAAAUCGGCAUAUCGACUAACUUCUUUUACAGGAAGAGGUAAGAAUCGGACAAGAUUAGGCCCUUCACUCUCUUGCAGAUGGCGAAUUGUUUUUAUGUAUAAAAACGAUACAUUGUUUUUUGUCAAUGUCGAGUUUAGCGUUGGUAUGUUAAUGUUUUUUACCCAGAAAUGGAGAAACCUUGUUGAUAAUGCUCAUUAUUAGUUGCAUUAAGGUUUGCUUUGAGCCAUCUUGAAUGUCAUUGUUGCAAGCCUAAACUAAUAAAAAGGCAGUUUAACUGUCGCUUUAUAUUAGCCCUUAAUUAUUUCUUCAGUGUCAACUUUCAAAUUUUAGUGAAAAUCUUCUUCUUUGGAAAAAAAAUUUGACCGAACUGUUAAAAUUUUAAUGGUACUACGUCUUUAAAAAUUUUAACGUUUUGAAAAUUUUUAUUAAUUUUAUCAUGUGUGGACCGCCAAUUACUUUCCCGAAGAAAAAUAAUUUAAUUAAAAUUUGAAUUUUGAUGGUGAAAAUGAUAAAAAUGAAAGAAUAAGUGUUAAAUUUGUGAUUAUGCUAUGAAGAAGCCCUCAUAUAUUUUGUGCACUUUUUUCUUUUAAUUUGUAUUCUAAAUAAAAAUAUUUACGAUUUCCAUGAUUGGAUUGAGAUUUCUAAAUAAAAAAAAUAGGACUUAAUUUUUAAUUUUUUAAGUGUAUGACUCAAAUCUCAAAUUUUGUCAAAGUACAAGUACUAACAAUAUAUUUUAACCUAAUUUAAAAUAAUCUAAUGAUAACAAUUAAUUAGAAAGUACCUUUAAUUCUUUGUAUUUUGAUAGACGAGUUAACUAUAAUAAAUUAAUUAACAUAAUAUUAAAAACAAAUAAGACUUUUGUUUUAUAAAAGUAUAAACUUAUUUUAUAUAUUUUUAAUUUCAAUAUUUCUUUCAUUAAAUAAAAAUUUGAAGUUAAUAUAUAAAUUUGAAAAGAUUAACUUACUUUUAACUAUUAAAAUAAAAUAUUUGAAAGGAUAUUUUUCUUGUUAAAAUUUAUUCUGAAAUUAUCAAAAUUAACACUAGAGGUCAAAUUUUAAUUAGAAGAAUAAAAAUAAUAAUAAAUUUAAAUAAAAUUUAAAGUUUAGUUGCAAAAUUUAAUAACAUAAAAAUUGAUUGGCAAAAUGAUUUAUAUUCCUAAAGUAUGAUAGCAAACAUCAAUUAAAAUAAAGUAUAGUGACAAGUUUCAAUAUUAAUUAAUAAUGUGGUAACAAUUUUACACUUUAAAUUAACUUUUAAAACUUUUAUUAAAUAGAGCGGAUUUGAACUAUGUUAUCUCAUCUCAAUUCUUAAUAUUAUAUAAAAAAUUUAUAAUUAAAUAAGCUUGACUUUUGAAUAUUUACUUAAAUAAACCCUUAAGAUAAAUCAAUCUUCCAAAGUAAGGGCUUACCAAGAGGAUUAGGGUUUAUUUAGGAGUAAAAAUAGAAUAGAGCUUAUUCAAUAAAACAUUAUAUAUCAGUUUUUUUCUUUAUCUAAACCAAAGAUUAGUCUAAUUUAUCUAAUAUUGGAAAGGGUUUGGAAAAAAAAUAGAGAAAUUAAGACCCAUUUUAAAGUGGGUUGGAUUUUGAUUUCAAGCCAUGAAAGAUUCAAAAUUGUUAUAUAUAUUUUGAGUAUUUUUCAGAUUUUUUUACUGUUUAAGUUCGGGAUUCGUGAAUGUUUCUCCUAAUAAUGUCAUCUUUAAAGUUAAAAUUUGUGUUCUCCUUUUGAAAAUACAAUGCGCCUUACUAUUACACCAAACCACUUGUUGGUAGUUAUAUCUAUUCUUUAAUCACGUAAAUUAUGGUUUUAUAUAAUAUAAAGAUUAAAUAUAUAAUAUCAAAGCGUAAAUGUUAAAAAAAUAUGAUGAUUUGCUUAUGUUUAGAUCCAUUUAUGGGUUGGGUCGAUGCAAAAUAUUAGGCUCAAAUUAUUGAUUCGGGUUCAGCUCAACGAGAAAAAUGGGCCUAAAAUUCUGCCCAAGCUUGACCCUGAUUAAAAAUGCUAAAUUGAGCUCGACCCGGUCCACUUGUAUUAAUUUUUUUAGAUUAAUAUUUUUAUAUAAAAAUAAAUUUAAAAAUAUAAUACAUCGUAUACUAAAUAUAUUAAAAUAAAUGUUUUCCGACAAAUUAAAAAUACAUUAAAAAAUAUUUAUACUUAAAUAGCGUUAAAAUAGUUGCAGCAAGCAAAUGCCUCUUAAAUUGAAGCAAAAUUAACAAUAAAGCAAAAUUAACAAUAAAAUAAGAGUUAUACAAUAUCCAAACAAUAACAAUAAAAUCGUAGCAAUAUAAUAGCGAAAUUGUAGCAAAUAAGCAACGAAAUGACAACAAAAAAGAAAGUUUAGGCUAAUUCGGGUUGAGCUGAGUCGGGCCCAGGUAAAAAAUCUUACCCAAGGCCUAGCCCUUUUAGAAAACGAACCUUAUUUUUUUUAUCUAAGCCUAUUUUUUCGGGCCUAUAUUUUUACUCAAACCCUCCCACUUUUGGGAUAGGCAUUUAAGCCUGGACGGGUGACCCAACUCAUGAUUAGGUCUACUAAUUAAUUGAAGACUUCUUUAUAAAAAAAUUAAAAAUAAUAUAUAUUUUAUAAAGAUGUUGAUAUAGUGACAAAUAACUUGUUGGCAUGAACAACGAUUCGAACGUUAGACCUGAGGUCAAUUGUAAACUUAAUACAAAUCUUUUACCACUACACUAAUGACUUAAUUGAUGCACUUGAGAAUAAAUAUUAAAUUUAUAUUUAGAAUUGAAUUGUAAUUCUUACCUAAUUGGGCUUGAUUAGUGACCAUGGGCCUUUUCUUCACCAAUGUUAAUCUAAGACUACAAAAACCAUAGUAACGGAGAUAAUUAUUUGUGGGUUGAGGUGCUUUUAGAAAAUGAAGUAUUGACAAAUAAAAAACAAGCAGGUUUAGAUUAUUUAUCUGUAAAUAUAAAUAAUAUUUGGUAACAUUAAAAUUCAUAUUUUAAUUCAAUGGAGUUUACAUAAAUACACGUAAUAUCAUAAAUAAAUUCUAUGAUUCAUGUUAAUAAUAUUUAAGUAUGGGAUGACAAAAUUUAUGUUAUUUGAUGGAUUUUUAUCUGAAUAUAGAAAUAUUUAUAUAUUUUUUAUCUUGAGCAGCAAAGACAAGAUGUAAUAUGUAAUUAUAUAUUAUACAAUAAAUUUAAAAAAUAUUUAAGUUAGAUAUUCAUAGAUUAUCUUUUUACGUUUAUAUGUUAACUACACAUUGACCUUAUUAGAAAUUAGAAACUUCAUCGCACAUGUAUGUGUCACGUGAUUAGAAUUAGGGAAGGAUUUUACUCCAAGGGGGAUAAAACUUCUAAAUCCGAACAACUUUUUUUUAAUGUAAAAAAGUAAAUUCUUCUCGGAUCCACAUUAAGGCAAUAACGUAAAAGAACUUUACAAAUUGCCUUCGCCAAAGCUAACGACGCGGUGUCCUUCACAUGAACCAAAUCAAAGAAUCGUUCACGUAUAAACCCUUCUUUAUCAACAAACCGUAAUAAAAUUGCCAUUUUUUUUCUUUGACUCAUCAUGAGUUUCAUCCACUAUAAUGCAGAACUUUGAAUCUCCAAUCUCUUCCCGAAUGAAUCCCUGGAUUUUACUCGCCAAAAUAGAAAGAAUGUCUUUUUGAACAUUCGGACUCACAUACUAUGCAUUUUGAGGGGCAUUUUCAAAGACAAUUGCUCCCACAUCUUCAUUAUAAGAAGCCAAAAGUUUUAUUAGUUCAAGAAAGUUACCUCGAUUUCUUGAAUCUUGUGUUUCAUUGCGUCCCUUAAAGGCAUAACCUUGAAAUAUAAGCCACUUGAUAGCAUCUAUUGAUACCUUGAGCUGUAGCCGAUUUCUUGCAAUUUGUUCAGAAUUUUGUUUCUCAAUAAUCCUUCCAAUAAUUUGCAAGGAAUUUUGAAGAUCAAGAUAAAAUUUCAUUGCAUUCUUAUUUAAAUAAUUUUUUGCAUCCUUACCCACAUGAGUAAUAAAAGGACAUUUAGAUCUUUCAUUGACCUUCUUCCACGAUCAAAAUCCUCGGCUUGUAAAAGUAUUUCCAUGACGCCCAAAUAACUUGUUGAAGAGAAACAAGGAAGGCAAUAUGCGGCAUUCUCGAGCCAAUUUGGGAAAACUUGUACCAAGAUGGAAGAAAUUGACGUCCGUUCUUGUUAAUAUACUGAGGAGAUGUUGGAGCCUCACUUGGAGGAAUCAGUUGAUAUGACACAAACGUAAUGUAAGCUUGACGAACUUCAUCCUGUUGAUUUGGAAGGUAAUCCCAAAUAGAUUUUCAUAGUCCCAGAUUAUGCUCUAAAGAAAAAACAUCAAACUUCUUUGUUUCUACUCUUGGCACCUUACAAGGACGUUUAAGAACUUGAGAAGACCCGAUAUCUUGUUCAGGAGCUUGGGAAGACUCAAUAUGCCGUUCAAGAUCUUGGGAUUAAGAAGACUUGAUAUCUCGUUCAGGAGCUUAGGAAGACUCAAUAUUGCGUUUAGGAGCUUAGGAUUAAGAAGGCCUGAUAUCUCAUUCAAAAGUUUGGAAAGAUCUGAUAUUUGAUUUUUCUCCACUAAUAACAGAAGGUUGAGGAACUGAAUGAUCAUUAUUGCUUUCUGACAUUUUUUCCUUGAAAAAAGAUUCUAUCUUUUAGUUGACCAUAAUUUAAUAGAAAAACCUAAAGAUUGUAAUAAUAUAUUAAACAAAAACAUAUUAUGAAAAAGAAAAAAAUAAUUCAAAUAAAUAAAAAACAUAAUUUAUGAAAAAAUAUUUACCUAAAGGUCUUUUGUGCAAUGAGCCAAAAGGAAGAUAAUUUGUAUUUUUUUACUCUGUACUCUCAGUCUCGGCAUCAAACUCGUUUCUUUUUCUCUCGGUAAUGUCAGUACCUUACCAAAGGAAGAUAAUUCCUUAGCAAGACAUACAAAUCAAAAUACAAGAAAGUCACUAACAUAAUAUGUACGGGUAUGGGCCAAAUCAAUUAAUUAUGGAAUUUAGCUUUAAAGUCCAUAUUGGGCCUUUAAGUUUAAUGUUUCAAGGCCCAUCAUACAUUAAUAUUUGAUUAUUAUUAAAGUUAUAUAAUUAAAAACUGAAAAAUACUUUGUUAAUAUAAAUAAUAACCUUAUGGCUUAAGGGGGCUAAUUAUAUAAAAUACAAUUUAGCUAAGAGGGCGAAUGUUAUACAAUGUGGACACAAAAUCUAAAAUACAUUAUAAUUUAUAUAUAAAAUUCAAAAAUUUAAAAAUUCCAAAGGGACAACUGCGCCUCCUGGAUCCAUCAUUGGUUAGAACUUUAAUCUAGAAAACUAUGUGACCUUAGGCAAUUUUUUGGGUUCAAAUCUUGCCUAAGUUAACCUACUCUCGGAAAAUGAGAAUUCUUAUAGAAAUUCUCUAAGGCACCGAAGCAAAUUGGAAGCAAACUCGAAAGAUAAAAAAAAGCUACAAACGAACAAAAAGUCAUAGAAAAAUACCAUACACCAAGUGUUUGAGUAAAUACUCUCAAAAGAAAUCUAUUACUUUGAAGGUUUAUAACUGAAUGAUUACAAAUGAGGAGGAAUACAUUUAUUUAUAGUUAAGCUCCCCCCAAAUCCAACAGUACAGAUUAAGUUACAUCUGCAAUCGAUAUUAGAGCCUAUCUACAAUAUGAGAGUCUUAAGGAAUUUAAACUCUAUACAUCUUUAUCCUUUAGGAUUUACAUUAGUUACCUUGGUAACUCCAGUUUUACUGGAGUGUUUCGUAGGGCCACCAAGGCUUCAAGUAAAUGGUUUUGUCCAUGGGUUCCACAAAUUGGGGCAGUUCAAGUGGGUCAAAUGAGCCCCAUAUAAUAAGUUGACCUCUAUGAGAAGUUCUAUGCACGGUGGUCAUAGGCUUCGAUUCGCAGCCUGUGACAUUUUGCCCCACAUAUUCUCGCGAUGGCCUCAUCAAGUCCUCGGAAUGACACUGCUUUGACUAAUCUCAGAACGGUUUUGAUGCCUAAGCUAAUUCCCAACUACUGUUUUUGUUAGGUAGUUUCACCUCUUGGAACAUUUGACUUAGCUUAUGCCUCCAUCGUUGUCUAACCGACACUAUAUUUAUCUCUUGUACAUCUCAUUCAUAAGAGGCCACCGCUCGUACUUGUACCCAUUGUGACUUGUUUUGAUCGAGAUUCUCUUGAUUCAUACAAAUAGGCUUAAGCAUGCCUACUGAUCUGUCGUAAUUUGAUAUAUCAAAUUAGGCUCUCCAAUACACUUGAAGAGCUUAUUAUUAAGCAAUUUAAGUGCCUUUUAUAUGUUUUUGUCAAUUUUUAGCUUUAAGCAUUAAUAAACAUUUUUACUUAGUUUUAUACCUUUUUUGAGACCCAAAUUGGCCAAAUGUUGCCAAGGGGAAACUAAGGAUGUGAUUGAGUUGGUGUAAGGAGACGAUAAAGUCUCAAACUCAAGAAUAACAUCAUUCAGAGUGGGUAUCGCGGCACUGAUGCUAUGGAAGUCAUGAUAUCCCUGAAGGUGCUGAAAUAAAGAAAAUUGAGUCCAAUUUUAGUGGUAUCAUGACACUGAGACCUUUAAGACCUCAAUUUAGCCACUAUGUUGGGAUCGCGACAUUAAGGAAUAGGUAUCGUGACACCGAGUCCCCUAAGACCUCAAUUUAGCCACUAUUUUGAGUUUUGCAACACUGAAGCUUAUGUGUCACCAUACCACUACUUGAAGGGGAAAUUUUAUUGUAGGGGUCGUUUUUGUCCAACACCAACCCAAUCAAAAUAUAGCAUCUAGAGGUAUUUUGGUCCAAAAUUUUGGAUUGUAAUAAAAUGUUAAAAGCCACUUGUGGCUGAGAACAAAAAGGGGUUGCUGUCUUUACCUUUUCUUUCAUUAUUUUAGAUUUCUAGUUAGCUUCUUCUUUAUUUUCUUAUGGUUUAGUUAAAGCUUUCUGGUUUUAGUUGUUUUAGUUGUUAAGUUAGUUAGUAUUUACUGUACCUUGGUCUUAAUUGUACUUUGGUGCUCAAUUUUUUUUUGUAUUUUCAUUUUAAUCCAUAACAUUUAAUAUAGCUCAACUCCAAUUUUCUUUCUUAGAUAAAAAUCUGAACUUUAGUGUUAAUUUUCAUCACCACUGUUGCCAUCUUUAUCUUCUUCAAACAACUAUAAAAAAAAACUCUAAGCUUUCUUUAACCCUCUUUUUGUACUUAUUUAAAUGUAUGCUUUUAAUUUAUGUUAGGUUGUUGCUUGUAUGGAAAAGAUGUUGAGUAACUAAAUCUAUGGUGGUUGGUUGAUUGAAAUGUUGCUUGAUUAGUUUUUGCUAUAGGGACUAAAUCGUAAAAACUAGACUAAAUCGAAUAAACUUCAAAACUUAAAAUUGACGCCUCUUUGGUAAAACAUAGAUAGGUGAGUCCGAGAGAUCUUAUUGAGCACCAAUUUGGUUGUCUCGAGUUAGUUUGGUGAGGUUGAGAGAUAAACCAAACUCAACCAUCUAAUUUGGUAAAAUGGUGACGAAGAGGUAAAAUUGAGUCAAUAGAAUUUUAGGCAUUUUAGAUCCAUAAUCCAAAGACUAGUUAGCAACAUAAAAGUCAUCCAAUCAUUAUUUUUUAUUGAAUUGUUAUUUACUUAGUUUUGUCUAUUUUACAAUUUGGUCAUUUUUAGUGUUAGGUAAUUAAUUAUCAUAAUUAAAUUCAAUUAUGAAUUGUUGUAAUAUAAGACUUAGAGAGUAGUUAGUUAGACUUCUUGAUUCCAUGUUGGUUGAGUAGGAAUCACUUAAUCCCUAAAUUCCCUUGGGUUCAAUCCUUAGAAUACUUGAGUGCUCCAUUGUAACACUACAAAUAUUACAACUCAACCUGUUACACUUGCAGUAUACCACCAUAUUAUAAUUGUUUUUGUGUUGAUUCAUAGCCUUGGUGCACGUACACCGAGGUGUGAUCACCUACAUUGAACAUCGAGUUCACCUUGAGUCUUGCCGCUAACUCUGAUUUGUAAGUUCCUCAGCUUACCCCCUUCAAAACUCUGAAAGAGCCCCAGUGUCUUUGCCAAGCCAAUAAUAAGUCAUAAUGUAAAACACUAGAUAUGUGUUUGAGAUAUUCAUCGCUCAUAGCAUUUACUCUUUCUAACUGCCUAGUCUGUAUCACUACUUUUCCUACAAAAUCUGAUGUACAACCCACCUCUCUCAUAGGUGGUAGCCCCACUAAUAUCUCAACAGGCUUUAUAUUGGUAUUUUGCCCCUUUAACAUUUCUAAGGGGGUCUUUGUAAUACUAUGAUCUACCAAGUCAAUAUCCCCACCACAUGGAGCAUCCUUGGCUAGCUGAAUUGUCAACAAUACAUUGGUUCCACCCCUCAUGUCUCGACUCGUCGACAUAACACAUUGCUUUUGUUGAGUAUCCAAGAUGCAAAUGCAUUUGAAAAAAGAAAUAAAAAAAGCAUCAAUCUUGUCAAGAAAAUUCAAGCCAAGCACGAAGUUGUAAUAAUCUAAGUAAAUUACCUCAGAUUCUUUUUUGUCUUUCCAUUGACCGAUCUAUAAAUCAACUUCUUGUGCUACCUCCACAGUUGGGACAUCUUUGGAAUUAACAAUCUUGAUCUUCUUGGUCAAUUUGCUAACUGAGAGACCAAGUUUACCCACGAUUUUCUCUGAAAUGAACAGAUCAGAUGCCCCUGUAUCGAUAAGAGCACUCCUCCUUUGAGCUGCGAUGUUGAUGUCUACAAACAUCAACCUUUUUUUCUUGCGAUUCUUCAUUGCAUUAGCAAAAUUGAGUAUAAUUUAUCCAAGCUUCAAUAACCUUUCCUCCUCAGGCUCCUCUUCAACUUUUUUACUGAUCGUGGACAGUUUGGAUCGCUCUAGACAAUCCUGCCUCCUAUGCUGACUACUACAUAAGAAGCAUUUCGCUAGUUUCUUUUCACUCUCUUUGUACCUCUUGGCUUCGACACUAUGCAUGAUCGAACCAAACCUCAUGGGUGUUUUUUUUGGCUCAUAAUCCUUUUUUAUGGUAGAAAACACUAAUCAUUUUUUAUAGUCCCUUACCAUAUGCGUACUGCCACAUAAGAAGCAUUUUAUCUCACUCUUCUUUUUGUUUGUGUUGUUGGGUUUUUGUUUCCCAUUUCAUGAUUUCCUAUUUCCACCAUUACCGUUGCUAUAUUCAACUUGUCUUUUUUUUAUAUCCCGUACCAUUGACUUUUUCAUUGGGCUUGAAAAAAUCGAACUUGUCUUUCUUCGAAACAAACUCAAUUAAGGACGCUGCCACAAUCAUGGCUUUGAACAGUUCUUGGACCCCUUGACAUUCCGAUUCUUGUUUCACCCAUGGCUUCAACCCACCAUAAAAUAGAAGAAUGCUUCUUUUUCAUUUAGGUCGGAGAUUUGAAGCAUCAAUUCAUUAAAGUCUCUGACAUACUACCGAAUAGCACCUUGUUGUGUAAGCCGGCGCAACUUAACUCGAGCCUUCCCCCGACAUACUAUGAGUAAAAUUGCUUCUUCAAUUUUUUUAACUCCUCUCAUGUCCUAAUUACGAUACCACCUCGUCCCUCAUCUGUGGACCUACGAUGCCACCAUAAAAGAGCGAUAUCAACAAAAAAAACUGCAGUAGUGUUUACCUUAGUGGUAUCAUCAUUGAUGCCUAUUGCAUAAGAGUAUUGUUCUAUCCCCCAAAGAAUAUUGUCCAUAUUCCUUACGGUCCUCGUUCCUUUGAACUAUUUCGGCUCAGGAACAUCUAUUUUGCAUUGCUUAGGAACUAAAACCAAUAUCCUUUUUCCCAUAGUAGCUCUGCACAUAAUAAACAUUCCUUCGAACUCCUCAAUUUUUGCCAUCAUGGUUUCAAUUUCCUCAUUCAAAGCCAUAAUCGAAGCUUCGAGAACACCAUUACUCUUAGUUUGCUUCUCAGUCUGAUGACCCAUGGUGGCAUUGAGGGCUUCUUUCAACACAUCCUGAUUGGCACCAAGAGCUUCUACCACAUAGUCCCUAAGUUACACUCUCAUCAAGUCUAACUUAUCAGUACGUUCUUCAACUAUCUCGAGUGUUUUCUUCACACCACCCAUGGAUUCCUCGAGAUUGAUCACCUGACCUUCCAAAGCUGGCAUCAUAUCCGUUGAUCUGUUAUUUUCUUGGACCUCCUACAGGUCUCCAUCAGGAUAUUCUACUCAAAUACCAACUGUCACAGAGCUAGAAAUUUAAUCUAGCAAAUCGCGUAACUUUAGGCGAUUUCUUAUGUAACACCCCUAACCUAUAUCCGUCGCUAGAAUAGGAUCUCGAAGUAUUACCGAAGUUUAUCGAUCAAAUAAGCAGAAUUAUCAAACAUUUCAUAUCAUCAAAACAAGUCAUCAAAUUAAAAUUAUAAACAUGCCAAAAUCUAUCAAUUUGGCCUAGUUUAUAUCUACCUAAAACAUUAACUUAAAUUCAUAUACACAUACCAAGCUUUGGUUCAAUUUACCAUACCAUACUAUGGUUUCAAAUACAAAGACAUGUUUAUAUGUAUAAAACCAACCAAUAUUAAACUUAUAAUCUCAUUUACAAUCAAUUCACAAAACAACUAUUGUUUAGACAUCCUAGGUACAUGCUGACACAAAAGAUAGACAUCACCACAUUUGAGUUUGGGAGCAUUGUUUGAUGCUGAAUCAACAAUCAAAAUUGAAGUACCUAAUCUGCGCACAGAAAACAAAACCGUACGCUGAGUAAAACUCAGUGGUAUUUCUAUAAUCUGAAUAUUUAAAGACAAGAUAAAAUAAUAUGCAUUUUUAAUUAUAAGCACAUUUGAAUAUUUAUGACCACAUUUAUUCAUACAAUGGCAUUAGCCAUUCAAUAUUUAAUUCAUAAAUACAUCAUUUCAUACCAUUCUCGAAUCUCAUCACUUGUUAUAUAAUAGCUUUUCACAAUUUAAUAUAUAUAUCAUUUAAACAAUAAUAUUAUUCAAUCCAUAUCCAAUUCAUGAAUACGUAAUUCAUGUGUCUCAUUUUCAUGUUUUAAUUCACUAUCCCAUUUUCAUUCACAUACAAUAUCAUCCAAUAUCAAUCAUAGUAUUAUUUUAUUUAAUUACCCCUAUUAACACGACUCAGACUCGGACGGAUACAUGGAUCCAACCAACACACCAGUUUGGCACCCAGUGCCUCAUCAGAUAAAUCCAAAGUAAUAACUGCGCCUAGCGCUAUAUAAAUUUGACACCCAGUGUCUCAUUGGUUAAACCGAAGUAAAUUGGCACCCAGUGCCUCAUCGACUCGAAGUCGAAGAAAUCCCUGAACUCUUCCAAUUCUAUGGCAUGCCAUCUAUAUCCGACUCAGUCCGAUACAGUUAAUAGGAUUUAAUUUCACUUUCCGAAUACAUCCAAUAUUUAAUAUCCAAAUUUCACAUUAACACAUAUAUUCAUUUCAAUUCAAUUCAAUUCAAUCAACUUUAAAUCAAUUCAAUAAUCAAAGUGCCAUAUACUCACCUUAACCACUUACCAUAUACAUUAAUUUAAAAUACAACAAUUAACAAAUGGGUUCGGAUUAUAGAAAUACAAACUAGAAAUUUCGAGCCAUUCGAUGUUGACUUUAUCUUUGCUCUUUUUAAUCGAAGAUUCCAGUACGACGUUAGCUAUGGAAUUAAAACAAUUAAAAUUCAUUAAUACAACACAAUUCAAUUUCAUAUUGAAUAUUUAAAUUUUGACUCAAUAUUUUCAUACAAUUUUCACUUUAAACUAAGUUUAACUCCUUAUUUUCACUUAAAUCCCUAAAUUUCAAGUUUUUUACAAUUUAGUUCCUAUUAUUCAAAAUUUACAAUUUAUUCUACAAUUUAAUCCUUUUUCAUUUCUAACUUAAAAAUCUAUCAAUUUAAUCCUUAAUACUAAAAUUAUUCAACAUUAAAAACACUUAAAAACUCAAUAAUUGCUAAAAUUUCGACAUGGGUUGAGUAGUACUUAACAUCGAGAUUUCAAAAACAUAAAAAUUAUAAGAAAAAGAACUAAAUUGACUAACCAAUUGAGCUUUGAAACCUAGAAAUCCCUAAGCCUUGCAUCUUUCUUUCUCUUUUUCUUUUUCUUUCUUUCCUUUCUAUUUUCGUUUGGCUUUGGCUUUCUAUUUUUAUUUUUAUUAUAAUAUAUAUAUACUUAACUAUUAAGUAAACUUAUUUUAAUAUAAUAUGUAUUAAAUUUAUAAAUAUCUUACCUUAAUGCCGCCUUAUUAAAGAACAAUGGCAUAAUUACUUCUUUAGUCUCUUUAAUUUUUCUUUAAUCUAUAAUUCAAUUUUCACCAUAUAUGCAAUUUAGUUCUUAUACCUAAUUACUCUUAAUUCAUACAGUUUCACUUAACCAAAACCUAAUUAACUGUACAACUAGCUUCAUAAAUAUUUUUAAUAAAUAUUUACGAGUCCGAUUUAUGGUAACGAAGUCUCGGGAAUGCACUUUCUGACACCCCUUACUAUCGAGUAAUUACAUCUUCAGUUCAAAUCCUGCCCAAGUCAACCUACUCCCAAAAAAUGAGAAUUCUUCUAGAAAUUCUCUAAGGCACCGAAGCAAAGCGAAAACGAACUUGAAAGACAAAAAAAAGCUAUGAAUGAACAAAAUGCCACAGAAAAAUACUGCACACCAACUGUUUGAGUAAAUACUCUGAAAAGUAAUUUAUUACUUUGAAGGUUUACAAUUGAGUGAUUACAAUUGAGUGCUUACAAAUGAGGGGGAAGGCCUCAAUUUAUAGUUGAGCUCCUCUAACGGUACAAAUUGAGUUACAUCUAUAGUCGAGAUUAGAACCUAUCUACAAGAUGAGAAUCAUAAGGGAUUUAAACUCUAUACAUCUUUAUCCCUUAGGAUUUACAUUAAUUAUCUUGGUAACUCUAGUUUUACUAGAGUGUUUCAUAGGGCUACCAAGACUUCAGGUAGAUGAGUUUCUCCAUGGGUUCCACGAAUUGGGCUAGUUCAAGUGGGUCAAAUAAGCCUCAUUUAAUAAGUUGACCUCUAUGGGAAUGUUUUGUGCACAAUGGUCAUGAACUUUGAUCCGUGGCCUGUGACAUAUGCAUGUGGAAAUAAUGAAUUUAGAAUAUAGAUUUGUAUUUCAAAAUAACAUGCAAUAAAUAAUGAAAUUUAUGAUAAUAUAAUUUAUUUGUGUGAAAACUCUAUCUCGCCAUAUGCAUAUUUUUAUUGUUUUUUAAAUUAAAAAUAUUAAAUUACCCUUGAAUAAUAUAAUUUAUUUUAAAUACUUAAAUUUUUAUAAUUUUCCUAACUAGGUUGGUGCUUGGUUGACUCGUAACACCAACUCAAUCAAGAAUUUUAUUAAUAGUAAGUAUAGAUAUACAAUUGAUUGAGGCAAUAAAGUGUGCAUACUAAACUUGAAAUGUAUAAAUAAAUCAAAAUAAAUUUUUAGUUGAGUGGUAAAUUUAAAAUAUUUUCAACAAAAUUGGCAUGAGUUCAAAUCCCACCAUAUGCAUAUUUUAUUAUUUUUUAAAAUUAAAAGACUAAAAUACCCUCAAAUAAUAUAACUUAAUCAUUUUGUAAUUUCCCUAAUCGAGUUGAUGCUUGAUUGACUUGUAACACCAACUCAAUCAGUGAUUUUAUUAAUAGUAUAGAUAAUUAAGAAGUAUCAAAUAAAGUAGGGCCAGGGGUGAAUCCAGAAGUAUUUUUUCGAGAGGACGAGAUUGAAUUAUAAAUUUUUGAGAGAUCAAAAUAUAAAUUUAUCACGUAUUGUAAUUUCAUUAUUUUACAAAGAACUAAACAUUUUCUUUUUCAUUUUUGGAGAGCUAAAAGUACAAUUUUACCAUACAUUUACUUAUAAUUUUAUCAUUUAUGGAGGGAUUAAAUUAUAAUUUUUUUUUUCAUUUUUAGGAAUUAAGAUUCUUGCCUACCUUCCCUUGGAUUCGCCUCUCGUAGGGAGGGCCAAAGACAAUUAUAGACACAUUUAAUAUUCGUAGAGGUGAUUGUGAUUUUUAAAAUUUGACAUCUAUGACGAAACUAGACAAAAAUAGGACGAAAUGAAACUAUGAUGAAUUUAACAAUAUGUAAAAUUAUAACAUGAAUAUUGACAGAGUGUUGUUGAAUAAUAAAUUAAUAAAAGUACUUUUAAAGCAUGAUAUUGAUAUUUAUGGGGUUACUUGACCCUCUUUUAAUCGAUGCUUAUGAAUUAAGGAAUAUACUCUGUCUGUGAAAAAAGCAAAAAGAGAGGUUUUAGGAUCUAUGCGCACCGUUUUGUACCACAUAUUUUAUUUUACAGUGUGGUCCUUCAUAAUUCAUUGAUUCAUAAUAUGAAAAAACAAUCAUUAAACUAACCACUUAAGCCUAUCAACAACCUCGAUUGACUUUAAUAAUUAUAACUAAAAUAAAAUUUUAACUAGGUUAAAUAUGUUCUAAUUCCCUUACUCGUUCUAUAUUUGUAAUUGAGUCCCUCUAUUUAAAAAUACAAUUUUAAUUGUUAAUACCAUUAAAAUUCUUCUACUAAAUUCAAGUCUAUUACAUGUCAUUCUUUUUAUCACAUGGGUACGAAAUAAUUUACGAUUAUUUGUGAACUGCCCUUUAAUGCAAACUAACAAAAGCUUCACUUCAAUUAAAUAUAGAGUCGCAUCGGAUCAGAUCUUUAAUAAAGAGUAAAAAUAAUUUAUUAUUGUUUUAUCCAUCCACAAGACUUAAAUUCAAAAUUUUAAACAUUAAGGUCUUUACAGUUUAGCUCCAAUUAGAUUAUAGAUAUGGGUGUUGGACAUAAAAGAAUAAAAAUCGAAGGGGGUAAAGGAAAAGGAUUAUAAAGUUAUAUAUUUUCAGAUCCAAUGUUGAAUGCCUUUGAAACUUUGCUCCUUCUUGGAUUUUUAUUUUUAAUAUUUUUUAAUAUCAAAGAUAAUGAUUUGUGACCCAUCUUUCUAUUUUUCUUUUUUAAUAUCAAACCUUAUAAUAUUCAAUAUUUAUAUUCGAUCCCAAAUAAAUUUGAAAUUAAAUCGAGUCGGGAUUCUAAAUAGGAAGUAGAGUUUUCCAAAUUUUUUAUUAAUAAAACUCAAAUUCAAUUUAUUAUUAUUAUUUGAUUCAAUAAUCAGUAUGGUGCAUCUAUUUAUUUCUUUAUUAAAAUAACCGAAAAUUUUAACUAAAAAAAGAGAGAGUAUAGAAUAAGAAGUGCACGUGAUUUGAGGGCGUAAAGAAGAAGGCUGUUGAGUGAUCAGUCAAAAGCAAUUAGCAUGAAAUGGAAGAGAAUAUAUAACAUCCAACACUUGCAGCACCUUACUUUUCCCCCAGUUAUAAUACUAAACAAAUAACAGAAAAAUUACAAAAUUGCAUUAAAGGACCAAAAAUAAAUUAUAAUUUUUUAGAAUGAUCAAAAUAUAAAUUUACCGUUAUAUUAAUUUAUAAUUUACAAAUUCUGAAAGGACUCGUAAGAGCAAAUUAUUACCCAUGCACGUUUCUACAAAUCAAAUUUAGAUAAUCUUUGAAAAAAAUGAACACCCGACCAAUUAACCAUAACUUAAUUCAAAUAUUAAGUAAAUGUUUAUAAUAAAAUUGAUAAUAAAUACUAUAUGGUAACUUCUGUUAAAUAAAAUGUUAAAAUAGCAUAAUUAAUUACUUGAGUAUAUAAUUAUUUUAUUUUUAUUAUAUCUCCUCAGUAUCACAUCACAUGCAGUAAAGUUGCUGAGCAAGUUCAUUUUUUGACUGACCAGCAAAUUAUUAAAAAAAAUUACUCCCCCAUAAAUACUAAGGGUUAGGCAAAAGUGUCUAAACUAUCAAUCAUAUUUUAAAUUAAACUCUAAAUUAUAGAAUGUACUAAUUAAUCCUUAAAUUACCAAUAUUAUAUUAAUUGGAUUUUUUAUCAAUUUAGGAGUAUCAAUUAAUGCUUCUUUGGUUCUAUAGUAAGCAUAUUUAGAACAUGUGGGUCAAAUUGUAAAUACGUGUAUACUUAUCAAAUGGACAAUUUGAGUAUGAUGUGUUACAAUAAAAUUGUUCAUGCAUAUGUAUACUUAUGUCUGCAAUAGGUUAGAUGGAUAAAAAAAACUUGAUUGAUAUUAUACUGAUACUUUGAAGACUCAAUUGAAAUAUUUUGAAAUUUGGAAAUUAGUUUAAAAUUUGAGUUAUAAAUUAAGGAUGUUUGGUGCAGUUAACCCAAAUUUUUAAAGAAAAUAUUACUAUUCAAUGCCUAAUUAAAUUUGUAUCACGAGUUAAUCGGGUCGAACAAAAAAAAAUAAAAAAUCCAAUUUUUUUAAAAACAACAAAUUUUAUUAUAAAUGUAUUUAUUUUUUUAAUAAUUUAAUUCUCUAAUAGGAUCUAUCAUAUCAGCUCUUUUUGACACAAUACCUAAAACUACCAAUAGCCUUUUCCUAACCCACAAAUAAGAGGAUAAUACGCUUCAGCAUAUUUAAAUCUACAUUUUUCUGUAUUAACAAUAAUAUCCAUGCCAAGACUCGAUUGACAAUAAAUUUUAUAAUUUUAUAAAUAAAUAAUUGAAUUUAUGAUGCUUUGGAGGUGGGGGGUUCGGAUUUUGACGUUGUUUAUAUAAAAUAAGAAUGCCUUUGUCCAGAAGGAACAAGGAUUUUGUCCACUGCUGCUGGCAAUAUUUUUAAAUAUGUACUGAGGAUGACGACCCACUACUUCAAAUUAUGUGAUUCACUUGUAAAUCUAUGAUCGCUCGUAAGAAACAAUUAUAGCAUUGAUAAUGACUAUUUAAUUAUUUAUAAUUAACUAUUUAAUCAUAUCAAACAUACUUAUACACAUUAACUAUUUAAUUAUAUAUUAAAUUAGGUUAGAUGUAGAGUUUAGGUCAAAAAUAAAAUUAUGUAGCAAAUAUAUUUAUAAAAAAAAUUAAAAAUAAUUCUAAAACGUAAAAGGUUAGACUCUGAUUAAAAUAGUGGAUAGAGAUGUUAAACAUCAUAGUAUCUUGGGUUCAAAUAUUUCAUUAUAUGUUUGUAUUUUUCUAUUUUUAUAUGAAUAUAUAUAAAAAAAACCUCCAAUUCUCGGGUCUAAUUUAAUUGAAAAAUUAAGAAAACUCAUUCAUUUUAAAAAAAAUGAAAAACAUUACCAUAAGAGUAUUUUUGUCGUUUUAUAUUUUAUGUCAAAUUUAAAAAAAUUAUAUUUCAAUGAAAUCCGAGCUUAAAGUAUAAUGGUUUUGAAUAUCUUUAAUUUUACUAUUUUAGUUAAAGUCUCAUUUGUUUUUACAUUUUCUUUUUAUAUAGAAUUUUUCCUAUUGUCAUAAAUGUGCGAUAAUUUAAUACUAAAUAAAGAAUAAAUAAUACAUUUAUUUUUUCUCAUUUUAAAAAUAUUUUAAUAAAUAAAAUUUAAGGGUUAAUGUAUUGAAGAAGUAAAUAUAUAGAGAGGAAAAAAGAUUAUAUGAAUUGUGAUACUAUGUUUUUUGUAUUCAUUUACAAUAAAUUAAUGUUAUUUCAGUAUUUUUAUCCUUAAAAAAAAUCAAAGCCAACAUAAUGUGUUGAAAUUUAAUAUGAAAAUGCUGAAAUAAUAUCAUAUUAUUAGAAAAUGAUACAAAUGACAUGGUAUCUCAGUUUCAUAUAAUCAUUUCUCAUAUAUAGAAAUAUGGGCGAUUUUAAAGGAGUAGGUAGGUGCAUUGGUCCUCGAAAAUUGAAAAUUACUAUGUUGAUCCCUUAAAAUGUUUAAAUUAUAAAUUAAUAUAUAAUCAAAUUGUAUUUUGACCCCCCCAAAAAAAUUCUAUUAAGUCCCUUCAAAAAGAUGAUUAAAUCAUAAAUUAAUACAUGAUAAAAUUAUACUAUAACUUGUCAAAAAAUUAUAAUUCAAUUCUGGUUUCUAGAUUCACUCCUGUAUCAAUCAAAGUAGGAAGCAAGUGUCUUUUCAUUUUCUCACAAUGAAGUAGGCCUUGGUAGCUAACAUUGUCGACCUUUUUUACUUAGAUAAUACAAAAAAUACCAAAAUGGUAUCCCAGUGCCAUUAUUUACUAAAAUGGUAUGUUAUGAACAAUGUUUAGGGGUGGAGGGUUUGAGGGUGGUAGCACCACCAUUGUUUUUGCUACCCAAUCAUUAAUCUGUUACAAAAAAAUUAGUUUUUUAACGGUGCAGGGUUUAGGAUCAAUGACCCCGGUAUGCUUUACGGGUUAAAUACGAGUAUUUGAAAAGUAAAUUUUAGUGAAUGGUGACAACUUGGCAGGCAACACCGAAAGAGUGGUGCCUUCCUGUCAAGUGACAUCGACUAUGGAUGUAAACCAUUGUUUCAGUUUUUUCUGAUGGUCUGAUGGGCUAUCGCGGGAAAAUCUAAGGGGACCUUAUAAUAACCAUGGUUCCUUCAGCAAUGGUGGUUUAAAAAAGAAGAGGGUUUUGGUUGUAAAAAAACAAAAGCAGAGAAAAGAGAAAGAAGACGGUAAAAAAGAAGAAGAUAGCAACAAUUUAAGGAGAGAAUAGAAAGAAGAGAGUAUUGGUCGUAUAAAAAAAAAGAGAGUAGAGAAAGUAGAGAAAAGAGAGAAGAGGGCUUUGCUUGUUAGGAAAAGGAAAAUAAUAGUUUAGGGAGAAGAGUAGUGUUUAGGGUCUUGAAAGGGGGACGGACAAUAGCCAAAUUCUUUGAUUUUGAAAGGUAAGUUUUCUUUUAAGUAAUUAUUAUGUAUUUCUUUAGUGUUUAUGGUUAUUUAUUAGUUGUUUGAUUUUGUGUGUUUAGGAAGGAGAGGAGGCUGUGGCCAAAUUUUUAUUUAAAGAUAAAUUUACUUUUUGUAAUUAUUUAAAGGCAAAUUUAUUUGUAGUUUUGGAAGUAGUAAUUUAAUUUGGUUUGAAUGUACAUUGUAAAUAUUUUUUGGUGGGCAAUAUUUAGUUGUUUGUUUGAUAAUUUUUUUAAUAUUUGUUAGGAUUUGUGGUAUUAUGUUAUUUAUUAGUUGGAUUUGUAAUUUUAUUAUUUAUUUGAUUUUAUCAGAAUAAUUCAAAAAAAAAAAUCAAAAAUGGGUUGCUGUACAAAUGAAUUACUGAAACGGGUUGUUUGUUUCAAAUUCAUAGGAAGACCCAUUUUGGUAUUUAAUUAUUUUUGAGAUUAUUGUGAUAAAAACCUCAAAUAUGUUGUAAAUUAAUUGUCUUCAAGUAAAUAAAAUAUCAUAAUACUUUUCAUUUUUUAUAAGAAAAUUAAUUUAUACAUGUUACGUUAAAUUGAUUAAAUACUAAUUAAUUGAACUGAAUUGGUUUUACAAAUUUUUACAAUUCACAUACGUUGAAUAUCUGUUACGUAAUAAAUAAAAAAUUGUUAUUAGGAUAAAAAAUGAAAAAAAAAGAGAUGAUUUCUAAAAAAUAAAUGAUCGAGUUACAUUAGUGUAUCCCAAAUUACGUUGGUAUUGACUUGUUUAUAAGGGUAAAAAUAUUAUUAAUUCUUCAAAAAAUAAUAAACGGUACAAAAUUCAUUUUCGUUAUUUGUUCAAGAGAUGAUUAAAUUUUUUAUUUGAAAUUGUAGAUGUCUGAAUGAACUCUUUGAUUACAAGAAUGGAUCACACAUUAGAUACGAUUAAUACGAUGUAACAAAAUUGUUAUUUGUUAAUCAUGAGUCCCUUUAUAAAGUUUCACGUCAUUUUUUAUUUAAUUGGGAUAUAUUAACUAUUGCGGUAAAUUAAUAUGGUCAGGGUCCAUACCGCGUAUUGAGGGGCCAUGACAAUAUUGUGGGCUAUCUGUCGAAUGAGUGUCUUAUACCAUACUUGGAGGCAUCUAGAUUCAGAUCAGUGACAUUGAUCUGCAUGUUUGAUUUGAAAUACAACUCGAUAUCCACUUUAGUCGAGCAGUGGCGCUCGAAGACCCACACAUUUCAUUUGUCGUGUGGGAAGUGCACUAUUACUCUGGAAGAUGUUGCACUGCAACUCGAGCUCCCAAUCGACGGUAGUGCAGUCAUAGGUGUAAGUAUAAUGUCCAAACCGGUGGCCCUUUGCUAUGACUUACUAGGCACUCGUCUAGUGAUGGUGGCAAUAAAUUAUAGUAAAAUAUUUUUUUAAAUCUUGUUUCUUUUUAAUGAUUACGAACUAGAAACAUAUAAUUAAUAAAUACUAUUCAUUCAACAAAUAUAUAAUUAUAGUAAACUAAUGUUUUAAAACUUUUGACUUAAUUUUUUUGAAAACAAUAUUCAUGCCAAAAUGGUGUUUAAAGAUGUAAUAUAGUUUUGUUGUUACUAAAAUAUAAAUAUGAAAAUUCCAUUGUAGUCAUAAAAAUUUUAUUAAAAGUUUGAACAUGGAGUACAUUAAUUCAUAUUCCACUUGAUCGAGACGAUUGUCCAAUGUGGUAGGUUCGAUGCAGACAUUUAGUUUAGUUAUGACUAGCUGUUCUGCACACGCCACAAAUUCUGAGGUCGAUUUUCUCCCUUAUGUCCAUUUCAUUACGGAUCCUGAUAACUUGCGAGCAACCUUUCAGCUUCCUAUGUAACCCCUUGUCUAGGAUAAGCUCGAAGUCAAUGGAGACACUUCCCAUGUAGACAAAUCACAUAAAAUGGGAAACUCGUUUCUCCAAAUAUGCAUAAAAAUUUUAUUACAAGUUCGAAUAUGGAGUACAUUAAUUCAUAUUCCACCCGAUCAAAACGAUUGUCCAAUAUGGUAGGUUUGAUGCGGGCAUUUAGUUUAGUUAUGACUAGUUGUUCUGUACAAGCCACAAAUUUUGAGGUCGAUUUUCUCCCUCAUGUCCAUUUCAUUACAGAUCCUGAUAACUUGCGAGUGAGCUUUCGGCUUCCUAUGUAACCCCUUGUUUAGGACAAGCUCGAAAGUUAGUGGAGACACUUCCCAUGUAGACAAAUCACGUAAAACGAGAAACUCAUUUCCCCAAAUACGCAAUGUGCGCUUGAGAGUGUACACUUCAUCAACAUAUUGUUCAACAUUUGAUCAAGGUGCAAGCACAAGCUGCAAUGACAUGCGUACAUGGGUAACGAAACGUCUAGAAGCACCGUUUAUUUUAGAGAUCAACUCCGUAGGACCUAGGUGGAAUACUGAGUCGACACCGAUGGACUCCAUAACUCAAAAAGUUUUUAACUGUUGAGACUAUAUUUCUAUAUUCAUCGAACUCGAUCUCUGAUGGUUCACAUCCAUUGCCUUUCUGACCUCCUUGACAAACACGUAUCCCGCCUCUAUUUCAUCAUGUAGAACAUAGUUGAGAAAACAGAUGAAAUUGGAAGAUGUCGUGUUUGCUUCAACACAGAGUUAAUCGCCCUGCCAAGUUGAUGGUUAUAGACAUACACCCAACGCACCAGCUUUCGAUUUCUUAUCUAUUUAACUUAGACUUUUACUUACAUCAAGGUGUACGGGUCACACAUAUAUAGUCUGUUAUCCAUUUAAGAUUUAGGUAUGUCACACUAUGAAUGUCACAAAUAAAUAAAUCCAUAAACAAAUUCAUGAUAAUUCUGUUUGGGUCCUGUCCAAUAUACUGUUAGUCCAGUCAGUCACAUCUAUAUCUCUAUCUUUUGGGAGUCAUCCGCUCCGAUGCCUAAGACAAAGCAUCUCCCUAAUUAGAAUUGAUAGACGACAUAUUAGUCUUUCAAUCAGUUUGAUCAUUUCUUAUUAGACUAAGGAUAUAUUUAGGCUCGUCUACUAAUACAAGUUAUCUUUCUGUACUAUGAUUCGACUAUAUAAUAUCGUUUAGUAUUAGUUAAACAUUUAAACAACCAAUGAGCAAUAUUUGUUUCUAUUUUGAUUUGCAUGAAAAAACCAUGUGAGGACAAUAAUACAAAGUAUAUUAAUGUAAUUCAUGAAUAAUUUUAUAAACCAAUAUGUUCGGAAAAAUUACAAGUAUACUUAGACGAAAAUACUACACUCAGGGCACCAGAUCCAACAUACUAUUGAAGAGGUUAUUUGUGAUUGGGUUAGGCAGAUCAUUGAAGGAAGCACUAUAGAUUCAGAGUUAAAUAAUACUCUUAUUGUUCUAAUUCUUAAAGUUUCUAAUCCAAAAAAUUUUAAGCAAUUCUGUUUAAUCAGUCUGUGCUCUGCUUUAUACAAGCUAGUUAUGAAGGUGAUAGUGAAUCGAUUUAAGAUUAUUUUGCCUAAGAUCAUAGGCCAAGAUCAAGUGGGGUUUAUUAUAGGUAGAAAUAUUAUUGACAAUGUUGUCAUAGUACAACAAGUGUUGCAUUCCAUGAAAAGUAAGAGUACAGUUCAGUGGAAAACUAUUAAGAUAGACUUAGAGAAAGCCUAUGAUAGGGUGCAUUGGGAUUUUAUAGAAGCAUAUUUUAAAGUGGUAGUUAUUUCUAACUUUCUAAUAAAUGUUAUUAUGUCGGCUAUCUCGACAUCCACAAUGUAGGUUUUAUGGAACGAAGUUCCAACCCCUAAGUUCAAGCCUGUUAGAGGAAUCCGUUAGGGGUGUCUUUUAUCUCUAUAUCUUUUUUGUGUUAUGCAUGGAAUGGUUGGCCCAUUGGUUUCAUUCGACUAUCUCAUCUAGGGAAUGAAGCCCUAUUCGGUUAUCUCGAAGAGGGCUUGCCCUUUUACAUUUAUUUUUUGCGGAUGACUUAGUGAUUUUUACCAAAGCGAACUUAUAGCGUAGCAAACUUCUUAUUGACUUGUUUGGGUGAUUCUGUGAGUUUUCCAGGCACAAGGUUAAUGUUUGGAAGACCAAUGUGUUUUUUUCUACUGGAGUCAAUAAAGACUUAGUGAGAAAGAUUAAUGAUAUACUCGGGUUCCAACACAUUUAGGAUCUUGGUCAUUAUCUGGGAGCUCCCCUUCACCAAAGAAUCACCAAAUGUACGUUGAGUUUUUUGGUAGAAAGAGUUCGGAGGAAGCUUUCUAGCUGGGAAGCCAAAGAACUCUCAUUUAUGGGAAGGCUUACUCUAGCAUAGUCAGUUUUACUUUCAAUCCCAAGCUAUCUCAUACAAUCCUUAAUGGUCUCAAAAGGCGUCUACAACGAAAUUGAAGAAAUGGUGCGGCAAUUCAUUUGGAGAUCUUCUGGUGGUAAAAGGAAAACGGCAUUAGUGAGGUGGGAUGUUAUUUGUUAGAUUAGAUCGUAUGGAGGUUUUGGGAUACGACAUCUUAGUGGUCAGAACUUCGCUUUUAUGAUGAGGCUUGGUUUUAAUAUUGUUACCAAAACUGAUGCUUUAUGGGUUCGGGUCCUUAGAGUGAAGUAUGGGAAAAAUGACAGAUUGCCAGAAUGUAUUGCAUAGAGUAGAAACUCUUUUAUGUUGAAAUCCAUUUCUAAGGCAUGGCCUUUACUGUGUGAUAAUUUGAUAUGGUUAAUGAAUAAUGUAAAUAACGUUCAUUGUUGGAAGGAUGCUUAGGUCUCUAAUAUAAUACCAUUAAGAAAACAUGUUCCUGCUUAUGCGAAUGUUGUUUCAUACUGUAAGCUGAGUGAGAUGGUUACGAAAAAUGCCACAUGAAACCUCAAUUUAUUUCGAGUUUGGUUGAUAGAAAAUGUUAUCCAACACAUCGUUAGCAUUCCCCCACCAAUGUCUUUUGUAGGACCAAAUUUGAUUUUUUUUUGUCGUUCUACAACAAUUGCCUUCUUUGUUAAAAGUAAAUAUUGGAUGUUGAAAAAAUGGUCUUGGAAUCCUAGAGAUGUAGUUUGGAAUAUAGUGUGGAAAUUUUCUAGGACUCAGAGAGUUAGACAUUUUAUUUGGAUAGUUCUAAAACAGAGACUCUUAACCAAUGUUGAGAGAAUUCAAAGGAGGAUUGGUCAGGAUGAGUUAUGCCUUCUUUGUGGACAUAGAUAUGUGGAUGCAUUACAUGUACCUAGGGAUUGCUCUGUUGCGAAAGAUGUUUGGUGCCAAGCUUUUCCACUAAGUCAACAUGGGGUUUUCUUUUCUAGCAAUUUAACAGAAUGGUUGAUUUCAAAUUUGCACGAUCACUCAAAUCACAACACGAGGGAUCAAAGUUGGGUUUGUCUAUUCGAGUUAUUAAUGUGGCAUAUUUGGAAAAAUAGAAAUUAUUUUAUCUUCCAAGGUAUAUCCAUGAAUCCAAAUGAUAUUAUUAAGGUCUCAUAUAGCUGGGCUAACCAAUAUAUUUCAGUACAUAGGGACGUGUCGAGGGUCAUCAUCCAAUUUGAUAAUUUUGAUGUUGUUAAAGCUAUUUGCUACCGUCAAUUAGCUGGGGCAAGUAUAUCACUUGUUAAGAGAAUCCAACAUAUUUUAUCCCAUGAAGACAAGAGGUUCGUGCAACAUACCCUUAAGAAAAAUAAUCAGGUAAGGAAUUCAUUAACUAAAAUGACUUUUGCGAAUGAUGAAGAUUUGUGUUUAUUUGAUGUCCUUCUUAUAGAGAUUCAAGUAAUUUUAAAAGAGGAUAGAGUGAGAGGUAAUUUGGCUCCAGUUAUUAAACUAUUUCAGUUUGUUUUUUCACAAAAAAAAUACAUCUAUUAGCCCUCUUAUAUUAACUAAUAAUUAAAAAAAUAUUUUAAAGUUUAUUCUAAUUAAAUUUGGGUGACUUGAUUCACAUACACCAAAUUCAAUUAGAGCUAUAGAUUAAUAAAAAUCUCAUAUGGUCACGUAACCAAUUUGUUAAGUUUUUAAAUGUACACAAAUUAAAAUGUCCUUUUCAAUAAUAAAAGGAUUAAAAUGAACAUUUGGUAUACUAUAAGGACUGGUAUUGUAUUUUAACCUCAUUUUUUGAGUGAACGAUGAUAUUAUAAAAAAAAUGAAAUUAUAACAAAUUAAAAAAUACCAGAACUAUACUUUAACCCAAAAAAACAAUAUCUUCAAUAUAUAUAUACACACAAUUUUUCUUUUAAGAAAUAUGUCAUAUUCUCAAGAGAAAAUACUUAUGUUAAAACUUUAAAGAUGAUAUUGUUGAAAAAAAAUCACAAAUACGAAUAUAAAUCAUAAAAUAAUCAUGAAAAAUAUCAAAAAAUAAGAGUAAAUCUGGAAAAUUUAGAUUUUAAAAUAUUGAGAUUAUUUUUAUUCAAGUUGAAGUUAUAACUUCUUUUGAAUUUAAAUUAUUUGUAGUUAAGGUAAUUUUUUAUUAAAUUCAUUUGGGUAGGUUAGUUCUUUUUUUUUUUGAAAUGCUCGACUGGAUUUUAAACAAAUAAAACAAAGUUUGCCUCUCACUUGGACAUUGGACCAAGGACCAGGCCUUAAAAUAAAGCAAAUAAUAUAAGAUAAACAGGCCUAGAAGACUAAAAUCCCUAAUUGGCCCCCAACAAGAUGGCCUAACUAAACCAAACUUAAAAAAUCAAAACUAAUAAAAAUCUACUCUAGAAAAUUCCAGCCCAAAGAAGACAGCUGUAUCCCAAAAAAUAUUUUGGCUUUCCAAUGCUCCUGCACAGCUCAUAAUAGCAGAUUCCUUCAAAUCCCAUAAGAUCUUUAACCUUCUGUUACACAUUUCCAUUUGACUGUUUCAUUUCAUCAGUCUGGAGUCCGUGGUCUUCUCCUCUCCAGUAUUCGCCGAACAUGCUCAGGAACUCCUCCUUCCAGGUAAUGGCCUUCAUUUACUUUCAACGCUUCCUUUACAAUCACAUGAGCAAAAAAAGUUUUCUGACUUUGGAAUAUGAUGGAAGUUUAGUUUUUGGUAGAAAUGCUUUAUCUCUUGAAUAUUUCUUAUUAUAGCUCCAAUAAUUGAAUUAUCUCUGUCUAUGUUCUGGCAUUUUUUUAUAACAGUUCUUGAAUCUUCAUUUAUGUCGCAUUCAUGAAAACCCAAUAAAAUUCCUAACCUUACUGCUUUUUCUCCUGCAUGUGCUUCCGCCGCAAACGGAGAGGCAACAUUUUCAUGAAUGACCGAUUUUGAGACCAAAAUAUCCCCUUGCAUGUUUCUAACUAGCAACCCUGAUGCGGAUUUGAAGAGUUGUUGAUCGAAAGCCCCAUCAAAAGAAAUGACUACCCUCGUUCGCCGAUCUUCAUGAGUAAAAACCCUUCCUUUAUCAGAGAUAAAUAGUUUCUCUUCUAAGCUUUGCAACUUUGAAAUAUAAUUGCUUAUUUGUCGUGAGAUCUCUCUGCUUGUUCUAUCUUUACUCUCAUAAAGCAAUUGAUUCCUGUUUGACCAGAUAAGCCAAAGCCCGUAGCAAAAUAGUCUGCACAGGUAAACCACUCCCAAAUGCUCUGAAUAUUAUUAUUAAGCACCAAGAGAAAUCUAAGUACUCCCAAACUUCCGUCGUUAUAAGACACAUUCUGAAAACAUAAUUGCUAUCCUCCUCAGACUGCCGACAUUUGGGACAUCAGACUUUAUUUGUAACUCGCCUCAAUUUAAGAUUAGCAAGCGUAGGGAUAUAAUUCCAGGAAAUUUUCCAGAUUGUAAUUUUAAUUUUCAAAGGGAUGUGUAAAUCCCAUAGUUUUCUGUAGAAAGUUGCAUUUUCGGCCUGUAUAAUAUUAUUACCAGGAAUCCGAGUAAUCUUUUGUAAUAGUUUAUAGGCAUUUCUAACCAAAAAGAUGCCUGAUGGUUCUCUACCCCAAACUUGGAAAUCAUCAUGUACAGACCUUGCCAAAGGGAUCAGCAGAAUGUUCUUUGCAAUACCCGCAUCAAAGGUAUUAAAAAUUAGAUCCGCUUUCCAUGUUCUACUUUCGUCCUCAAUCAAAUCAGAGACUAAUUCAAUAUCUGCAUUUCCUCUUUGAUGCUGUAACGUAUUCUCUUCAUAACCCGGUAUCCAAAGAUCGUCCUAGAUAGAGAUACUAUCCCCCUUACUGGUUCUCCAGCAUAAGCCUUUUUCCAGCACUUUUCUAGUUGACCAGAUACUUCUCCAAGUAAGUGAAGUUAGGUUCCCUAACCGUGCAUUUAAAAAUCUGUCGACAAAUAAUACUUGGCUUUUAAAACUCGAGCUAACAACGAAUCUGGAUAAGUAAUUAAAGGCCAACCCUGCUUAGCUAGUAACGCGAUAUUAAAUUUGUCAAACUCUCGGAAUCCAAUACCUCAUUCCUCCUUGAAAGAACAUAAAUCCCUUAAUGCACACCAAUGAAUGUCUUUCUUAUCCCUGCUUUUUUGCCACCAGAACUUUGCUAUUAAUCUCUCCAAUUCCGUACAAAAGGAUUUAGGAAGUAGAAAGCACGACAUAGAAUAAGUUGGAAUGGAUUGAAGAACCGCCUUAAUAAAAACCUCCUUUCCUCCUUGAGAAAGAUGUUUAACACUCUAAUUAUCUAUUCUUUGUUGCAAUCUAUCUUUCAAGUUUUGGAAAGACGCUUUCUUCCUCCUCCCCACUAAAUUAGGUAAACCCAAGUACCGUUUAGGAUCAGUUGAGCAAUGUACUCCAAGCACUCUAGUUACUAAACUUAUAUCCCUUUUUUGAGUAUUGGCACUAAAGAAAAUAGUAGAUUUUGAAUAAUUAACCUUCUGCCCCGAACAACCUUUAUAUUCGUGCAAAAUCUGCUUUAAUGAAAUCGCCCCUCUUUCUGUAGCCUCGCCGAACAGAAUGCAAUCAUCCGCAAAUAAUAAAUGUGAAACCUGUGGACCGCUUCUGCUUGCCUUAACUCCGCGAAGAAUUUUCUUUUUCAUUGUUGGUCUCAUAAGACUAGAUAGACCCUCCCCACAAAAUAGAAAUAAAAAUGGACUCAAGGGAUCUCCUUGUCUAAGGCCCCUAGAAGGAUUGAAAGUAGAACCACUAAAUCCAUUAAACACUAUCGAGUAAGAAACUGUAGUAACACAUCUCAUUAGUGAAUCAACCUAAUCGGGGUCAAAUCCCAUUUUCUUCAUUACCCUUUCUACAAAACUCCAUUCGAUGCUGUCAUACGCCUUACUCAUGUCCAAUUUUACUGCUAUAAAGUCUUUUUUCCCGACUCUUUUGUGCUUCUUUUGUGCUUCAGAGUAUGUAGAAGUUCAUAAGCUAGAAUCACAUUAUCAAAAAUCAAUCUCCCUGGCAUGAAAGCACUUUGUGCUGAAUCAAUACACUUGUCUAUCACAGAUUGGAGACAAUUAGCAAUAACUUUAGCUAUCAAUUUGUAUAAUACAUUACACAAACUAAUAGGACGAAAGUACGUAAUAUUAGAGGGAUUCACAAUUUUUGGGAUUAGCAUAAUAUUUGUCUUGUUAAUUGAGCUUGGAUCCGUACCUUCAUUUAACAAAUUGAGCCAAUAAGACAUGACAUCUUUUCCAAUAAUUAACUAGCAUUUCUGGUAGAAUAGUGCUGGAAAACCAUCCUUACCUAGUGCUUUUGUUGGUCCCAUUUCUUUCAACGCUACAUAAAUCUCUUCCUUUGUAUAUUCAGCCUUGAGUUUUAAAUUGUCCUCCUAAAAAAUGCAACGAUCAAUACUUGAAAAAGUGUGAUUAUAAUUUCGUCUCCUUCCAGCUAGAAACAACUGCUGAAAAUACGAUCUGGCUAUCUUUUCCAUUUCUUCAAUAACUUCAGUUUCCCUGCCGUCGUUAUAUUGUAACUUGCGGAUAUAGUUCUUUCUCCACCUUUGCGUUGCCUGCCGUCGUUAUAUUGUAACAGUACCCAAACCUCUUUUCCGGUAAGAUUUUCGGGGACGAAAAUCCCUAAGGGGGGAGAGUUGUAACAGCCCGAUUCUGGGCCUAGUCGGAAUAGUGGUUUCGGGACCACAAAUCCGACGAGGGAAAAUAUGGUUAUUAUUAUAUUUUUAUGAUCUACAAUUUCACGGAAAAUUUUCGUAAAAAUUUCGUUCGAAAAUUUCGACGUUUGGGCACUCAAUUUAGUCAAAAGGACUAAAUUGUAAAUAGUGCAAAAGUUGAGUUCUAUAUGUAAAAGUAUCUAAUUGAUAUGAAAUUUUAAAUUGGAGGUCUUUAUGUGGUAAUUAGACCAUUAGUUAGUUGAUGGACAAAAAUAGACAUAAGAAAUGAGAGAAAUAGAUUUUUUUUAAGUGGGGGCAUAUUAGUCAUUUGGUAAUAAAAAAAAUAAAAUGGGAAAAAGAUGACAAAAAUCAUCAUCUUCCUCAUUAGUUGCUGCCGAAAUUUGAAGGAAGCCAUAGCUAAGGUUUCUUUGCUUUCUCAAGCUCAUAGUAAGUGCAUCCUAGCCCCGUUUUUAAUGUUCUUCGCAUUUUUGGAAUCCUCGUAACUCGGUUUAGCUUAUUCUAGCAAUAAUUCGUGUUAGGGCUCAUAUUUGGAAAAAUACCCAUAGGUGAAAUGUGUUUAUUUUGCUGUUUUAUGGUGGAAUAUGAAGCUAUAAAUUAUGUUAAACAACUUUUGCUAAGCGAUUUUAAGCGAAAACGGGUAAAUAGGCAUAAUCGGUAAAAAUAAUUAUUGUUCAUAAGUGUAUGUUAGAGUGAGAAUUUGAUGUUGCCAUAGAAGGGGAAAAUGUUCAGCAUGUCAUAAAACCUAAGAAUAAGUGAUGAAGUUUAAUUUCCGAGCUUGGGGACAAAAGUGUAAUUAUGCAAAAGUUUGGGGGCAAAAUUGUAAUUUUUCAAAAAGUUGGGUGGUGGAUUAUUUUAAUGAAUGUGAACAUUAAAUGAGUUAAAUUUGCUAUUAUAGAUCAAGAAAGACGUGAAGAUUAUCUCAAACGAGGAAAAGAAAAGAUAGUGGAGUGAAGUGCAAUAUUACGAUAUUUUGCACCGAGGUAAGUAAACACGUGACUUGAUGUAUUAUUUUGACAUUAAUUGAUAUAUGUUGAGAUUUAUUUGGAAUUAAAAUAAAUGUUUGGCCAUAUCCUAAAAAUGUUGUUAAAUCGGGAAAGGUGGUAAAGGGUUGCAAUAUAUGAUUUAUGGGUUGAACACUCGGAAUAAGCCGAAGUAUGUUGUACAUAAAGGGGUUGCUGUGUGCUGAUUCCCCGAUUCAUUGGUGGUGCUAUGUGCGAUAUCCACCGUAUCUUUGAAAUGUGAAAGGGGGUUGCUAUGUGCUGAUUCCCCCGAGGGGUUGCUAAGUGCUGAUUCCCCAGUUCAUUGGUAGUGCUAAGUGCGAUAUCCACCGUAUCUCUGAAAUAAAGAGGGGGUUGCUAUGUGCUGAUUCCCCCAAGGGGUUGCUAAGUGCUGAUUCUCCGAUUAAGUGGUGGUACCCUCGCCCAUUGUUCCCAAUACCUCUCAUCCUUUUCAAUCUCAAAAUUAACAUCCACCUUUGUAUCAAUUAGUUCUGCUAGAUUUUCAUCGCUUUUAUCUUCUUCUAGCAAUUUUUUCAGCUUUAAAUGCAACAUCUCUUUCUUUGCUUUCCUACUAUAUCGAAUUUUAGCCGCCCAUUUCUGCAACCCUCUUCUAACACACUGCAACUUGUUUAAUAGGUCUCCUGAAGAAUUUUCCCAAAUACUCUUCACUUCACCAAUAAAUGAUUCCUCCAGCACCCACCAUGCUUCAAAUUAAAACCUUCUCUCCAUGUGCCUCGAAUAUUCGGAUUUAGUAUUUAUGAGCAAUAGACAGUGAUCGAAAAAGGAAUGUGAUAGAUGACGAACUUGAUAAUCGAGAAAUAAAACAAGCCAGCUGUCAGUAGCUACCCUUCUAUCUAGCUGUUCUUGAAUAUUAGUCUCUGGAAAUUACCUCUCUCCCAUGUGAACCAAUUCCCAGAAAAGCCCAUAUCAAUUAAAUUGCAAUCCUCCAACACCCUUCUAAAAGCUUCCAUUCUUCCUUCCUCCCGUGAUAAGCUUUCCUUGUCUCACAUCUGUACAUGAUCUCGUUAAAAUCCCCACUUACCAGCCAUGGAAGUUCCCCAGCUUCACACAAUUGUCUUAAAAGAUCCCAUGUUGCAUCUCUAUCUUGGUGAUAAAGAGAUCCAUAAAAUCCGGUAAAUCUCCAUUUAGUACCUUUCUCCAUAUCAUCUAUUAUCACAUCAAUAUGGCUAGUCGAAAAGCUUUGAAGUAAAACACUGAUAUCCCCUUUCCAUGCUAAAUACAAUCCUCCACUUGAACCAAUUGAUCCAACCUCAAUCCCAUUGAAAAAAUCGCAACUUCUUUGAACCUUUUCCAUGUGACUCCUGUCAAUUUUUGUCUCCAUAAAGAAGACCAUUUGGGGAUUAUGUAACUUCAACGUGUGUCGAAGUCUUCAAACUGCCUGCUGGCUCUCCAAACCGCGGACAUUCCAAUUUAAUAUUUUCAUUGUGCCCUGUCGGUUUGCCUCUUGGCAGUCGCCAAUAAUAAAUGUGUGGAAUCCUUUAUAACCUUAGUUCUCACAUCCAUACAGUUUCCUUCUUCUCUUACUGUUAAUCCUUCACUAUCCCCUCUUUUUCGUUUUUUACCUUCAUCCCCCAUUAGUACCCUAUCCUCAAAAUCAUGAUCCAUUGCAUUAAAGCUAUCCACCAUCCCUAAAUUUUCACCUUGAGGAUGGGAUUUAUACAGUCUCCCCUCUAAAUUUAUUCCCAAAAUGGGAUCUAUAUUGCUCCUAAUUCCCAUUUUCUUCUUGGGAAUUCUCAGCAUACCCCCUAUCAUUUGACUUCCCUCCUGAUUUCCGCCGAUACUUCCUCCUCAUCAUCAUGUAACCAAACACUUUUCAUAGCCAAAGCCCUUCGAGAUUGAGCCCGCAGCGUUAAAUCCCAUCCCAUUUCUGCAACUUCCACCCCUAAUGCCAUUUUUGCUUCACAAAAUAAAUCGCUAUGCCCUAAACGACCGUAAUAAAAACAAAACAGUGAUAAACGUUCAUAUUUAAAUCGAACAUAUGAACACUGGCCAUUAAACAUAAGCUGUUUCUUUCUUCUCAAAAGCUGACGUAUAUCCACUUGAAUUCGUAUCCUCAUAAAAUUACAAUUCUCUUUCCCUAACAUAGAAUUGUCAUACUCUAUAAAAAACCCUAUAAAAUUCCCAAGUUGCACCGCCAAAUGUUCAGCGAAAAAACCAAAAGGAAUAUCAUGGAUCUGAACCCAAAAGGGUGAAAAAAUUAAAGGGACAUUCAAUGGGUCUUCCUCGCUUUGCAGCUUAUGUAACAGCAGUAAAUGUCUGUUAAAGGUCCAUGACAAACCCUUUAAGACCCUUUCCAUGUCCAUAAUAUGAAAAAAUUGAAACAAUUACCUUUUUUCCCCCAGAUCUCGAAUUUAAACACCACAGACAGGAUACCACAAAUUUGCCAUGGUAUUUUUCAUUCCUGGAAAAUGGAUGACACUAGCUGUUAAAAAGCAACCCACCAAUUGGAAAAAUCCCCUCACCCUAUAUGUGUUUGUUUCUGCUUGAAUUUGCAAAACCUCAUCUUUCUCCUCAUUAAUCGAAAGUUCAGCAAAAUUAGAUUCCAUAAUCAAGACUCACGUUCAGUAGCUAUUGUAUUUUCCAAAGAAAAAUAGAUAGCAGCAGGGCAACUGCUAGAGAUAGCAGACAGAGACGUGCUAGAGAUAGCAGACCUAAAUAAAGAGAUUAGGUUAGUUCAUUAAAUAAGGUAGAAUUAUUAUCUUUUUAUGUUGAAAUAAAAUUAUAUCUAAUUUAAAUAUAUAUUAAUUAAAUAGUCCAACAUAAGUAAAAUUCUUAGUUAAAUUUAUUUGUGAAAUAUUUUGAAAUAAACAAAAUACUUACUCGAUAGCUAUGUUUACUUGAAUUUAACAUAAAAGUUUUAACAAUUUUUACAAUUAAAUUUAUAUUUUUAAACUCGAAAAGUGAAAAAUAGAUAAUUAAAAUCCUAACAAUAGAAGUAAAGAGACCAAAUUUUAAAUAUAUGAAGAUUACAGGUACUUAUAAAGAUUUUAAACUUUUUUUUUAAUUAACUCAUUUUCUUUCUCUCUAUUGACACCAAACCACACUAUAACUACAGGGAAUUAGGAAAAGCAAAAAUUCUGUAUUUAGCUCCUUGAAAAUUCGCUACGUUUUCUCCCAUAUUAUAUGCUCUGCUCUGCUCGCCAGUUCCCAGUCUCUCCAUGAAAGAACCUUCCCUCUCCCUUUAUCCUCUCUAAACUUCAUUCCAAUCCAACCCCUUUUUUCUCUCUUGUUUUUUCAUUACUAAAUCGACUAAGGAACCUUUUUUUUUGGGUUCUUUUUGAAAAGCAAAACUCCCGAGCAUUAAUGGAGAAAAAGCAAGGUUUUUUCUCAGCUCUCAAAGAGGAAGUAAUUCGUGGGCUUUCACCUUCCCGCUCGAGGACCAACAGCCCCGGAAGAGCCCGGUCACCUAUUGCCAUUCUGUUGCGGAGAAAGAAAAGCGGCCACUACAACUACGGAGGCGCUUACCUGGUACAACCGGAGCCCUUGAUCGCGAGGUACGGUGUCGGGGAAGCGUUAGCUCCGCUCAUGGAAGGUCCCGACCCGGACGGAGGCGAAACCGGGGAUUCCAAGAGGCUUGGGUUGGGGCUAGGACAAUGGGUUAUGGGACAGUUAUCGAGGACUCCAUCCAUGGCUUCCUUGAGUUGCAAAAGGUCCGAUCUAAGGCUGUUGCUCGGGGUCAUGGGCGCACCUUUGGCUCCUGUUCAAGUUUGCUCCACUGACCCUUUGCCUCACUUGAGCAUCAAAGACACUCCCAUUGUUAGUACCCUUCCGCCCCCCCCCCCCCCCCCGGUCUUCUUUAGCUUAUAAUAGACUUAAAAAAGAACAAAUGAACUUCUGGGUGUUUUUUUUCUGCUUAUGAUGGUUUGAAUGGCGACUAAAGUAUUUAUCAUUUAUAGUAUUUUAUUUGUAAUGUUCUUGUAUUUUUCUUUAAGCUUCUUCUAUGGUCUAUGGAUCCAUUUUAUUAAAUCAUGGUUUUCAAACUGUGGUUAGCAAGAAACUUGAGUAAAAACUCCAUUUCUUUGCGGUAUGGUGCAGGAAACGUCCACUGCUCAGUACAUAUUGCAGCAGUAUACAGCUGCUUCCGGUGGUCUGAAGCUGCAAAACUCAGUCCGGAAUGCGUAUGCGAUGGGAAAACUGAAAAUGGUAGCUUGUGAGUACGAAACUGCUGCGAAGACGGUUAAGAACCGAUAUGGCUCCAGAGGUGCGGAGUCCGGUGGGUUUGUGCUCUGGCAAAUGAAUCCGGACAUGUGGUAUGUUGAACUUGCGGUUGGGGGCAGCAAGGUUCAUGCUGGCUGUAAUGGGAAGCUUGUAUGGAGGCACACACCUUGGCUUGGAGCUCGCACUGCAAAGGGGCCUGUUAGACCCUUGCGUCGUGCACUUCAGGUGAGGUCUCCUAUGCUUAUCAGCAGCUGAAUAUUGGCUCUUCGGUUAUAUUUCUAGCAUUACUGGCUUUCUGAUUCUCUCUUUGUGCUUCACUAUUCCUAAAUCAGGGUCUUGAUCCGAGAACUACAGCUAGUAUGUUUUCUGAUGCAAAAUGUAUAGGAGAGAAGACAAUUAAUGGUGAGGAUUGCUUCAUCCUCAAGCUCUGUACCGACCCCCAGACAUUGAAGGCAAGGAGUGAAGGCCCUGCGGAGAUCAUUAGGCAUGUCUUAUUUGGCUACUUUAGUCAGAAGACCGGGCUUCUGGUUCACAUGGAGGAUUCACAUUUGACUCGUAUUCAAUCCAACGGUGGCGAUACUGUUUACUGGGAAACCACAAUCAAUUCAUAUCUUCAUGAUUACCGACCUGUCGAAGGUAUCAUGAUAGCACAUUCUGGCCGUUCUGUCAUUACACUUUUCAGGUUCGGGGAAGCUGCAAUGAGCCAUACGAAAACAAGGAUGGAAGAAGCUUGGACGAUCGAGGAGGUUGCCUUUAACAUACCAGGCCUUUCUGUUGAUUGUUUUAUCCCUCCAGGUGAUUUGAAAUCUGGAUCCAUCAGUGAAACCUAUGAACUACCUCAGGACGAAACAGGGACGAGUGCGAUCGCCUUAUCAGCAUAUCAUGCCAAAGUUGCUGCACUCGAGAGGGCACAGGAUAAUUGGCUGACAGUAUGAUUUGCAGGAUACAAGUCUGAAGAAGUGUAGAAUUCACAACUUAGCAAGUGCUCAAAUUGGUAGCUAGUUCAGUUGACUAAUCCAUUAGAAGUUAAAAAAAAGAAGAAGGUAGAAGUCAAUUUUUGGACUUCAGUGUUACGCCUCUAUUAAUCUGUAAAUAGAGCAUAAUGAUUCAUAUCGGGACCUCUAUGAAUCUUUAUACUCUCAAUGCAGAAUCCAACUAUGGAGAGUUGGAGCUCGGUUUUUCCAAUUAGGGAUAGAGCUAAUGGAGGUUGGUUUUUAGUUUACCUGGCUUUGAUGGUAAGUAGCAAAGCUGCCCCAUCGACCCUUUUAUUUUUUCUAUAGUUAUACUAACUAUAUAUAGUAUGGCAGCAUAAAGGAUGCUGCCAGUUUAACAGUAAUGUCUAGGUUUUUUUAUUUUUUUUGAUGUUACAAAUUCUGGAUUUGUGAUUCAAAGUGUGAUGAUUUGGGUUGAAAGUUGUUUUGGGGGGGUUUGAGAGAAGGGAAAGAGAUUUUGCCAUUUUUGUGGAAAUGGUGAUAAAUAGGCAUAAUGGUAAAUGAGAUGGAACUAACUAUAUUUCUUACCUUCUGAAAGUUAUUCAAUGCUUUUGAUGAAUAUACAGUGAUCCCCAUAUUUCCUUCAUUCUUUUCUGAGUUUUAAUACGUGACUUGUGAAUGCCCAGAUUAUCUUUGUACUACAAGUGACGACACUCGAACCCUAAUGCUGUUGUUAGGGUGUUAAUAAGAACUUUGGUUGAACCACCAUAUCUUUAAGAAUAUACUUAAUCUUCCUACACCAAGUAGGCAGCAAUAUCUAAGGUUAUCUUUGACCCAUCACUGCCAUUGGAACCCUUUAAGGCUUGAGUGUGUCCCCUUGGUGGGGUGUCCAAAGCUGUUUUUAGUCAGACAAGCCAACAUAUUUUUGAAGCAAUGCAAAGCCCCACCUUUGACCACAGGUGUAAUGUGGGGUUAGGUUGGUUCAGUGGUGUGAAGUUGUGGUAGCAUCGUUCAAAGCUAAAAAAGCUAAGCACGAGAUGAAAGUUCCUCAAAACCCCCAUGUGAUUCUUCAUUCUUUUGCUUUUGCUUUGAUUCCUUUGCUUAACUGUUUUAACAGAUCUUUUUACCUGCUUUUGCCAACUUAUUUAUUUAUUUAUUUCGGUCUUUCUUCAUCUUUACUCUCUAAGAUAUAUAUAGGUGCUGAGGGUAGGGAAAGUUCCAACUCAUCCCAUGUUUUCUGAAAAGUCAAUCUAUCUUUCUUUUACUCCAUUUUCUUUUUCAGGAGCCACAGAGGACUUCUCUCUAUAUGUAAAAUCAAGUCAUAAAAUUUGGGCAUAUUUUAAUAAAUGCAUUAUAAUAUAUUUUUACUAAAAUGUUUUUCUUUUAAUUUUACAGGUAUUAUAUCUAUUUUGAUUAAAUUUUAUCAUUAUAGAUGGCUUGAGGAGUUUUUUUUUUUUUUUUUACUUUACCGAUGGUGUACAAGACAAUAAUUCAAAAUAAUAAAUAUAAAAUAAGAAAAAAAUACUAUAUAUGUAUUUGUAUUAAGAGUUGAAUUUUAUUUUAUCCUCUCUACUCAAAAAAUGGGUUAAUUAGUCAUGUAUGUUAGAUCAAAGAGCAAAUUGAUCUUUUUGUAAAAUAUUCUAUCCAUUCUUGCUACUAAUAAUUGGUCCAUAGACUAAUUUACUCUUUCAUCUAAUGUACAAGAAUUAAUUUAUCCGUUUUUUAAGUAAAGGUAGCAAAAUACAAUGUGACUUCUAAUAUAAGAGUUUUCAUGGUACUUCUAUUAUAUAAAACAUUAUAAUAUUAUGUAAAAUAUAAAGUUGAGUUGGGAUGUUUUUUUUUUUCAAGAAGUUGGAGGGCAGGUGGAUUGAAGAAAUCAUUUUGGGGUCGGAAUUGGAUGCUAUUAAUUUUGAGUUUAACUUGUUUAAUUUGGUUGACAUCCAUAUUUUUAUCAGUACGAGAAGACGUAGAUUUGAGUGCGUUGUAGUCCAUUAACCUUUUCCCUUAAAAACUUAGCUGUAAAGUAAUUGACAAAACAAUUUACUUACAAUAAAUUUGCACUAGAAUAAUUUCUUGACUUAAACAAAAUAGGUUCUCUUAAUCUCAAGAAUUCUGUUAAAUUGGUGUUUAAUGGCUUGCAAAAGUACAACUAAGGUGUUCAAAUUUCGGUUAAAAUCGAAUGAACCGACCGAAUCGAACUAAUUCGGUUGAUCUGUCAGUUAACCAAUCUAAUUCGAUCAGAGGGUGGUUAAUGGUUUCUUGGAAGUUCGAUUAUCGGUUAAUUCUGGUUGAAAUCGGAUAAUUAACCGAAUUAACCGAACUUUUAAAAAACCAAUAUUAUAUAUUACCAUUUCGGUUAAGGGUUAAGGGUUUAAAAAUUUCGGUUAAUUCAAUUAAUGCUAGUUUGGUUUGGUUAAACGAUUGAGCACUCCUAAGUGCAAUUAAUGUAGAUCUCUCUCUUUUUUUCUCUAUUCAAAAAAUAGUCUUCAAUAAAGAAAAAAGUGGAAGAGAUAUUCUCGAUAUAAACUUCUUUAAAAAUAAAAUCUCUUUAAUUAUGGAAAUUUCGAUCACAUUGAAAGUAUUGAUAAAGUCCUUACUUUGACAUGAUUCUUAUACAAUUUGCCUUCACUAAUGCACUGCCAAAAAAGCCUUCCAAGAUGCUCAAUUAAAAACCCCAAUAGUUUUGAUCAAAAGAUGUCAACCAGUAUGAUAAGUUACAGUUGUUUGCCAAAUGCACGUUAAAUUACAACUGGAGUUGCACCUGACAUUUAUAACUAGCACUAACAAAUUAAUUGAGUGUAAAUCUUUGAUUGCCUUCACUAUGUGUAUACUCAAACAUAUAUGUUGAACAUACAUCCAAUAAUAACAAAAAUAACCAACAAGCUAUUGGUUUAGUAAUAACUUGUACGUGGGUUCAUGUGUUGACAUGCAUCUAGGGUUUAAUCCCUAUGAAAUCCCUUUCGGCUAAAAAAAGGGAAAAAAAAACGUAUACUUUAACAAUUUUUAAGGUAUCUACUAAUUAUUUCAUUUAAUUUUUUAAUACCCUUCAUUUGUGUAGAAGGUUCUUUAGUGGAGAGAGGAGGUGUUGCAAGCAAGUAAAUAGAAUGCAUCAGGAGUAGCUAGAGAGGAAGACUGGAGCAAAUCUUAUAAAUUGAGCGUAGUAAUAGGUGGGGGCUUAUAAUGUGGAAAAAGGUUGCACGUGGCUUAGAAUAAGACUAAGUAUGAGAAUAGUUUAAAAGAGUUUUAGAGAUAGUUUUGGGAGUUAGAAUACUAAAAUUGUUAAAAAGUCCUUUCACAAGUUGCAAAAGGCUUCUAUUUAUAAUGUCUAAAAAUAAGAGUAUUAAAUAGGGGUAAUGACAAAUAUUGUAAGUUAUAAAGGCAUUAAUAUCCUUUUAAUAAUAAAUAGUUUAGGCUUAAUGGUGAAGGGUAAAUAAGGAAUAAGAAUUCACUAUGUUUCUGAAAGAAAAGAGAGAAUCACAUAAUGUUAUAUGAAAAAGUUAAGAAGAAACCUUUUAACUACAUCCUUAUUUGAUCCACCAAAUCGAUCUUCGGAACAUCCUAAGAAUCUUGCCUUAUUUUGAGGUUAUUUCCACUUCUUCCGUUUUUGUGAAGUAAUACCUUGUGAAACAUUUUAUCUAGAACAUCACUUGAAAUGCAAGCUAUUCUUAAUGAAGAAUUCUUCUUGAAUGAGAGUUGUUCCUGAAUAAGGGUUAUUUUUACUUAUUCCAAAAGUGAAUUGUUCUCAACAUAGCCAUCCUUAGUAGUGGUUGUUUCAAGCAAGAAUCGUUUUGCAAUGAUGCUUUUCUUUAAAGAGAUUAUUUUGAAUAAUGACUCAUCUUUAAAAAAAAAAAAGAAAAAGAAACUCACAAUUGUUCUAAAUAGAAAUUGUUUUGAAUUAUGGAUAUUCUAAACAAAAAUUGUUUUGAACAUUAGUUGUUCCCAAAUGACAACUAUACUCACAGCUAUUUAAACUAGAGCUUUAUUCUGAACAUAGUUAUUUUGAACUAGCUAUUCUUAACGACGAUUAUUUUGAACAACAAUUAUUUUAAACAAAAAAUGUUCUUUCGGAAAAAGAAUUAAGUGAAACAAUAUUUUUACUUAUUCAUAGUUAACCUUUUUAUCAUCUUUGGGAGUGCAAUUCACCUUAUUACUCUGAAAAGAGAUAAAAGAUUAGUAGUAAAACUAGUAUCUACAUUUUUUUUGUCGUAAUCAAGGUAUCUAUCGCUAAUGGCAAUGACUAAUCCUCUUGCCAUGGGUGAAAACGAUUAGUCAUAAAAUGUUUUAUUCCCUUGAGCAGAGAUCGAACCCUCAACCGUAUAAUAAAGGAUGAGAUGAGCAAUCACCACACUAUUCCUCAUAAUUAAAACUAGUAUCUACAUUUUAUCUAUCUUAUGGUUUCUUUUUGUGUUUUUUUUUCCAUCUUCAUAAGUUGCAGCAGGAUAUUUAGGGAGUGUUGUUAAACUGGUGGACAUUGUUGAGCACUUCAAAAAUACAUGUGGAUAAUACACAAUAUAAUAUGCAAUAAAAGUUAGCAAUGUCAAUUCAUAUUAGAGUGUCGGCAAAGGAAAUUUGUACGUGAAAGUGGUAAAAACAUAGAUAUUUAUGAGAGUGAAGGGGUAAAAAAAACCAUAUUAAUGGCAGUGCAUGGUGGAGCAAUGGAGCAAGAGGGUAUCUCAGUUGACUUCAACGUACGUUGCUUUCAAUGGGGGGAAAGGGGAAACUUAAUUUAUUUUUAUUUUUGCUAAAAAUUUAUUGAAGAUGGUUAAGAAAAGGACAAUACGAGGGACUUGUACAACAUUGAUAAAAUCUAAUUGUUGCAACAUUCAUAAAAAUUUGUUUUGGGUAAGUGGUGGGAGAGUCUAUCACCUAUCCAUAAGUCGGGUUAUUGGUUUGAAGGUUACUCGAAAUACAAAGGGUUUAGAUAAAAAGACGAUACUCACAAAAUGAGUUUCGGCAAAAAGUAGGCUGAUUAAAAAUAAAGACUAGACCUAAACUUUAAUAUUUAAGGCUCGAACUUAGCUCGACCCACCCAUUCUAUACUUUUGUAUUAUAUUUUUAUUUUAUGUAUAUAUUAUGUAAAUUAUAUCACAUGAAAUUAAAUAUAUAUCUAUGAUAAUACAAUACUAGGUAACAUUAUAACAAAGAUGUCUAAAUUUAAAUUUUUAAUAAAAAAACCAUAUAAAAUAUAAAAUAUUAAAUUAAAAAUAAUAUAUUUUUUAAAAAAAUAAUAUGAACGUGCCUAAAACAGAUUUGGAUUAACCAUUUAUAAAUCUAGGAAAAUUUAAACUAAAUUUUAGACACAUAUUUAGAGUCAGGUCGAACCAAGCUUAGACAAAUAUAAAAUGUGUUAAUAUUAUACAAUACUUGACUCACCCAUAAACACCUCUAACCUUUACUAAUUGAAAUUUGGGAAACUAUUGAGUUGCAUUUUAUAUAUUUCACAAGUAUGCAGGCUAGGUUUUGGGUUGGUGGCAUCCAUGGUUGAAGGUUUGGAAAUUUUAAAAUAUCAAGUUUGAGUCUUAAUUUAUAUAAAUCAUAUUUAGAUUUUUAGUUUAGAUUUGUUUUGAAUCUGAUAUAAACGCAUAUAUUUAACUAAUUUUUGUUUCGAAUAUAUUUUUGUUAUCAGUUCAUUUAUACAUUGUAAUGAUUGAUUUUGAUCGUAAUGAUAUAAACGUAUAUAUUGUAAAUAUAAGUAUAACUUUUAAGAUUAUAUAUAUUUAACUAAUUUUCUUCUAUGUAAAAUGCACAAAUUAAUUAUAUGUAUUAUUUUUAUUGCAUUACAUUAUUUAUUUACAAAGUUUUGAUAUUUCUUAGUAUUAAGUAUUUUUUUAAUUAAUGUCUACCACAUUGCAUAUUGAGAAGUUAUCAUAUGUCAAUAUAAACUAACGAUGUUAAUACGAAGAUACCAACUAGAAUAUAUACGCAUAUAUACAAAUAUGUAUUGUAAUGAUUAAUUCUGAUCGUAAUGAUAUAUAUGCCUAUAUUGUAAAUAUAAUUUAGACGUGAAGUAUAGAUGGAUAUUUAAGAGAGUAAAGGGAGAAAAAUCCCAUAUUAAUGGCAGUGCAUGGUGAAGCAAUGGAGCAAGAUAGUAUCUCAGUUGACUUGAACAUGCAUUGCUUUCAAUGAGGGAAAAGAGGGAAACUUAAUUUCUUUUUCUGCUACAAAUUUAUUGGAGAAAGAUGGUUAAUAAAAGGGACAAUAAGAGGGACUAGGACCAGAUUGAUAAAAUAUAGUUGUUGCAACAUUCAUAAUAAUUUCUUUUUGGGGAGACACCGUGGUUGAUUGAAAUAUGGGAAAUUAUUUUGUAAUAGUGUUGAAGUUUUUUAAAUUUCACAUGUAUGUCAAUGAGGUUUUAGCUAGAUGGCAUGGUCGAGGUUUUGAUAAUUUAAAAUUCUCAAGUUUGAAUCUCACGUUGUAUAAAUUAUGUGUAAAAUUUCAGUUUAGAUUUGUUUUUUACAUUUGAAUAUGUAAAAUUAAAUUAUUUGUAAGCACCAACUCCCUCAUAGACAAUCAUGGGGCUUUAGAUGGGCCUAAAAGUCUCAAAGUCAGCAGGCUCCAUACGCGUCAACUUAGUGGACCCACAUCACUCAAGAACUUGGCCCAUGCAUAUGAUUCAAAAUAAUAGUAUUGUUGUUGGGUCCAAAACCAAAUAAAGCUAAAACUAUGUUGCCUAAAUUAAAUAACUCCUACAAAAUCAUAGAUCAAUAUAGAAAAGAUGUAGAAUAUGCUUCGCAUUUUGGUUAAAUUAAAACACAAAUAGAGAGUGACGUCGUGAUAAGGAGUUUUGGAUGUCGCGACGACACCAUAGGGGACAUUGCAAUUUUCUUGAUUUUCUUCUUCCAGUCAAAUUCUGAUUAUUUGUUCUAGUCGAACUCUAAUUAGUGUAGAUUAUUUUAAGAUUAUUUGACUUACGAAUUUAGCCUAUAAAUAGGCCCUUUUUUCUACCCUAGAAAGAUUAACCCAUAACACAUUUAAGUAUUAGCUUUUACAAGCUUUCUGAGAAUUUUAUAUUUAAGUUUUGAGAGUUCUUAUUUUCAGGUUUCGGGAUUUAGCUUUUAUCUCCAUCUUUAUACUCUUCGUUUUUGCCGAUUUAGUGAAUUAUCUUUGCCUGUGGUUUUUACCCUCUUCGGAGGGGUUUUUUCACGUAAAAUUUGUGUAUUCGAUCUUUUCAAUUUUUUCGUUAUUUUUCUUGUUCAUUGCUUAUACAAGUUUAUCCCCAACAGAAGAGGUCAUUGUCAUCAUUUAAAGCAGAAUCACAUCUUAACCUAACUUAAACUUGAUAAACACAAACUCAAAAAUAGAAAUUUGAUUUCAUAAAUUUGAUAUUCCAAGCUUGAUACUAAAUAAUCAAUACCUACAAAAUACUUAAAAACAAAAAAAAAAAAAGAUAAUCAAUCUCCGCUUCAUCUCACAAGACACAAAGUUUUCAAAGCAAAAUCAAAGAUUCGUUACAAGAUCUAGCCAAAACAUCAAGUAAUGAUCCGAUCAAAAUUCCAUCAAAGAAAUAUUAUUUACAAUUUCAUUAUAUUACUCAAAGAAAUGCUCUCACCACUCCCAUUCAAGGACAGCCAAAAUGUCUCUAAACAUUAACUCAAAACAAGAUCCAAAGAAGAAAGUUGAAGAAUAAAAGAGAAGUUGUGACUAACCCUCUUAAAUCGCUUUAAGCCAAUCAAUUAUUACAUUUAGCUUUAACUACCCAAGUUAUCCAACACAUUUAUUUUGAUAGGAAUAAUACUCAUAAGGACUUUAAAAUAAAGUUGUAAUCAUUAAUUUCAAUUACUUUAUUUUCAUCAUGUGGUAGACAUUAUAACCAUGCCAUUGCCAACAACAUCCACAUGGUACCAUGGUCACAUCUCCCCAUUGCCCACCCAUACAUUCAUGGUUCCAUUUUAACUACCCUUUCCAUGACAUCUAUACAACUAUAUAUUAAAGGCACUAAAGCUUUUCAAUUCUAAUUUUUUUUUUUUUUACUUUUUAGAUUAUAAGAAUGGGUAAUUUCCAAUAUGAUCCCUAUAUUUUAUUUAAAUUUAAGAUUUAAUCUAUAUACUUUAAUUUUGACAUAAUUUAAUAUCUCAAUUUUUAUAAUGCCAUUAGUUAGCCUAAAUAUUUUAUUCUAAUUAAAAUGAUUAAUAUAUGAAUUUUUAAGAAUUGUUAGCACUCUUAAAUUUUUUUAUUGAAUUUAUGUCUGUUACAAUGUUUUUUUUUGUUACAUGCAUACCAAGUUUAUUUUAUUUUUUCAAAAUGCCUAACCAACACAAAAGAAUUUUAACAGUAUUAACAAAUGGACCUAAAUUUUUAAAUUCGAAAAGCAGAGAAACUAAAUUCCUGAAAAUAAAAAUAUAAAGAUUAAAUUCUAAAUAUAUGAAUAAUAAAAAAAUUUGAACAGAUUGUAACCUUUAAAGUUUUACGCUAUAAUUUAAUUAAAAAAUAAAUAACUUAAUUGUACCCUUUGGACAAUAAUUUGAGCAUACCUUCAAAAUUGCUCAAGAUUAAAUGUUGACAUUUUGACUUGAUCUCCAUAAUUGUUUUCUUAUAAGCAAAUAAAUGGUGGUCGAAUUUGGAUGAUUGAAGGAACUAUGAGAUCAUCAUGCCCUUAUCCAUUAAGGCUUACCCUCAUCCUUAUUCUUUAAACAUUAUCUUAUGAAUUAUGCUGAUGAAUUUUCUUAUAUAAGAUUGUAUUUUGAGAUGAAUUUUGGAGGUUUUUAUCUCAAAUUAUUAUGCAUUAAAUUGGUGAUUUUAUCUCCACAAAAUCUGCUAAGAGGAGACUUUUUUACUAGUUUAUAAAUAGACUGCUACUUCCUCGUUGAGUUAUUUGGGUGUAUUUAGACACUCCUUGUUCUUUUGUACUAGCAUAUAAAUACAGUGUUGAUCAGCUUCCUCAUUUAAUACUGUAUGUAAUGUGAGUUAUUUGGAGAGAUUAAUUUGUUUGCAGCUACAAUUAUUAUUGCGAGAGGUUAGAUUGGGCUUUUGCUAAUAGUUAUAUCGGAUUAACUGUUGAAUAAAAUUAUUCUUUGAAUGAAGCUUGCAAAUAGGAUUUGUGAAUCCAUAUUGAUUCUUUAUUUACUUAUCUUUUGUCUCAUGUUUUGAAUUUGUGUUUAUUUCUCUCUUUAUUUUACUUCUUUUUUUAAUGUGUUUAAAAGGUUUUCUUCGAACUUCUAUUCAAUCAUCUAUUUGAAUAUUAAAUUAAAUGUUGAAUGAUAAAAAAACCCGAAAAAACAAUUUAAAAAAAAAAAAGAAUGAUGAGAGAAGGAAGUAGGCAGCCACCAACACAAAAUCCCAUACAAAAAGAAACAAUAGAAGUCCCUCCAAUACAAAUGAAAAAUAUAAAAGCUCCCCUCAAAAAAAAUCUCCCAAAGAAUACAAAUAUAUAUAAAUAAAUGUAAGCUCAAAUAUGCAUAGUAAAAAGCCCCAUCAAAGAGACUUAAGCCAGUAACAAUAUAUAAUGGAAAUUAAAACACUGAAAACAAAAACCAUAGCUAAGACACAAGUGGUGAAGAAAAGACUUCUUGGUUUAAAGCAUUAAACUGAGGAUACCCCAUCCAAUCACCAAGCUCCACACCAUCUUUCUUAUGGACCAUGUUUUCUGUACUCCACUCUGCAAUAAUCAAAUAACAUCUUGUAUUCAUAUUUUUUCCCACUAUUAUUAUAAUUGGAUAUGCAAAAAAAAAAUAGCUUCAUCCAUUGAAAGCUAAACAUGUUUUUGGAUAAAAAUAUAUUAAAUUUGAAAAAAUGAAUUUAGACUAUAAUAUUAAAAAAUAUUUAAAAAAUAAAUUGGGUUUUAGUUAAAUAUUUGAAGUAUAGACAUAGAUAGAAUUAAUUAAUUAUAAAUAUAGAUAAAUUUCAACAAAAUUUAUAGAUGCCAUUAAUAUGAUAUGUGUGUGUUGAUCCAACCUGAGGUCUAAUUAAAGCUUUCCAUGUCAGAGUUUACGUUAGAAUUUAGAACACCCUCUAUAUUUUUGCUAUAUUAGACAUACUUAAAUUUUAAACCCCAUAAGAGAAUAUGCAUAUACAUAUACAUAUAGAUAUACAUACCGUAUCGGUUCCAGCAGGGCCUGGUGAAGAAGCGCCGAGGCUGGGAGUAGGGGCCUCAUUUGAUGGAGACGGUGGGCUGGAGGCCGAAGGUGAUAGUGCUGGAGACUUAGCUUUGGUCUUGCUAGGGGCCGGAGCUGGAACCGUGGCAGGAGGAGAAGCCAAAGGAGCUGGUGGUGGGGUAGCUGGAGGAGGAGUAGCAGGAGGGGGAGAAGCAGGUGGUGGGGUAGCCGGAGGUGGAGAAGCCGGUGGGGGAGUUGCGGGAGGUGGAGUAGCCGGGGGAGGAGAAGCUGGUGGUGGGGAGCUAACGGGCGGGGGAGUCGCUGGAGGAGGAGUGGAAACUGGUGGUGGUGAUGAAGUAGGAGGAGGAGAGGAAGCUGGUGGCGGAGAAGUAGUUGUGGGUGUUGGAGGUGGUUGAGUAGUAGGUGGAGGUGUGGAAGCGGGUGGAGUCGGCGGCGCCGGCGUGGAUGUCGGAGGAUUACUAGGAGUAGGAGGAGCUUGGCCUAAAACGCCAGCUACAGCAAUGCAAAACAAAGCUGAUAAGAACAAAAACUUAUUAUUAAGCAUCAUAUUGGAAACAAUGGUGACCCUUUAAUCCUGCACACCCUCUCCGCUUAAACUACGCCCAGCCGUGCAAGCAAAUGAGGGAGAAGAAGAGGCAAGUAUGAGAAAUGAAAAGAUGGUGAUAUUUAUAUAUAGGAUAUGGAAAUUUCCAUAUCAUAUUUCAAUUUAAAAUCCCCAAAACAAAUACCAGCAUUUUUAUUUUAUUACUAAUGGGAAAAUUGCAUUACUAAUCAUAUACAAUAUUCUAUAUUAAUUUAGUGUAAUUUAAUUCUUUCAUUUUUUUAUAAUGUUAUUAAUAGGUCCAAAAUCAAUAUCUCCGAUCGUUAGUUGCUGUCAUUAAAGUGAUGAUACGAAAUUAUUUUUUUUACUAUUAUUCCAUCAUACAAUCAGAGAUAUAGAAAUCAAUCAAUUUUGUUAAACAAAUAAUAAAUUUCAAUCUGAGUCAAAUGCUUAAAGUUGUUAAAAAAAAUUCACGUCAUCACUUUAACAACAUCAACUAAUAGCGUUAUCAAUUUGUACUUUGUAGCUACCAAUAACAUUAUAAAAAUAAAGGGUCAAAUUAUAUAGAAGUAAAGGAUUAAAUCUCUAAUUUCAAUUUAGUAAAGGGACUAAAAUGGAAUUAAACCUAUUAGUGGGGGUCGGAGUUUUUUCCUCGUUUGGUGAGGUAAAAAAAAAAAAAAACCCUAGUGGGGCAUAGUUAUAAUGUCACUUUGAUGAUUAUAAAUGAUGCGUUAGUUAGUCAUACUUUAGGUAAAAAACUGUGAGGUGGGAUUAGUGUAGAUUGAAAAUUUUUAGUGAAGGGGUUAAUUUAUACCUUCAAAAUUUUGCAAUAUUUGGUAGUUCCAUGAAAUAUUCCCCGCUAUUUAUCAACUUUUCAAUCACUCAAAUAGGUUUUAAUUUAGUUUUGUUGUGAAAUUUCUAAUUCAAGCAUACAAUGAGUAGAUUUUAUUAUGGGUCGGGUCGGGUUAUUAUAAAAUUUUAGGUGUAACGUCCCGAAUUUUUGGGCCUAGAAGUUAAAAGAUUUAAGCAUAGGGGCAGUAAGGAGGCCACACAUAAGUGAUUAGUUGUGCACUAUAGUGAUAAGAAUGGGCUUAUUAGUCUAGUGGUUAAAUGGAGUGUUAAUUAAGUUCAAGGUUUUUGGUUUGAGUCACUAUGUGUACAUUUUGGGAGUCUUUUUAUUUUGUUUUUUUUUAGUUAGUGAUAAUAAUUAAUUAUUUUAUUUUAUUUUUAUUAUUUUUCUUUUCUUUUCCACGUUAGUUCUCUCUACUUCUUGGUUUUUUUUUCUUUUUGUUCUUUUUCCUUGGACUUUCAAUUUGUGCAUUCUCUAUGUUUUUGAAUCGUUUGCUUACAGAUUUCGAAUUGUCGCACCUCUAUCGUCUUCUUCGUCGUUCAAUCAGGUGAGGGAUUCAAACUUUAACUACAUUGUUUAAUUUUGCAAAGUUUACGUGCGGCUUUUCUUGAAUAUGUGAUAACCCGAAGGUUUUUGGGUUUUGAUCGUUGGAAGUGAGGAAAAUACGUUAUAUUGUGAUAUGUUCUUGAUGUGGUUAAGGUUAGGGACAGUUUGGGUGGCUAAAACGGUGUUUUCGGGGCUAAUUUGGGGUGGUUUCAUGACCUCUCCGGCAGCUACACGGGCGUGUGCCGUGGUAGACAGUCAUAUGGAUUUGGGAACUAGGGUUUCCAGGCCAAAUUGGAUGCCACACGGCCGUGUGGCCGAUUUGGGGAUUUUGUCGAAAUUCACACGGCUGUGUCCCCUAGGCACAUGGGCAUGUGGGUUUGGAAUUAGGGUUUCAGAGAUUUGAAGUCACACAGCCUGGCCAUACGGCUGUGUGGCUGAUUUUGGGAUUUAGGGAUCCCACACGAGUGUGUGUUUCGUAACACACAACCAUGUCUAGUUGGCACACGGGCAUGUGAGACCCUCACAUAGCCGUGUCUGCCCUGCACCUUAUUUUAGCGAAAUUGGACAGUGAGUUACACAGCCUGUUCACACAGUCGUGUCUCUGCUUCGCACGGGCGUGUGCCUAUGUCACAUGGCCGUGUGCUAUCCUUCACAAGGGCGUUUGAAGCCUCACACGAUCUGGAUUGCUCUACACGGCUGAAGCAUACGGGUGUGUAGCCCUAUCUCGCCAAAUAAUGAUUUUAGGUCAAAUUUAAGUGCAAUCGUGACUCUAUGUAUUCCAACCCUCGACUGAGCUCUAGUGAGGGUAUUUACGACGCUGAUCUGAGUUUGGAUAAUGUGUUAAUUGUGAUUGGUUAUGUGACAUGUUUGAUUCUGAACCCGGGUUAGCUGGGUGAGUGUGUAUGCAACUAGUUCUGUCUGACUGUUUGAAUACGUGUCAUUGAUAUGCGAGCUUAUUUUGCAAUUGCUACUGAAUUCAAGUUACGAGUAUACUUAAGACUAAUUUUGUAACUAACUGAUUGGAUGUGAGCGUCUACUUCUGAAUAAUUGUUUGAGACUAGUAUUCUGAUUGUGUACAUCUGACUGCAUACAUACAUACAUAUGCAUAAACUAUUUUGGGCGGGAUUUUUGAAGAGAAGGUGUUGUAGGCCAAUUUUGGGCCCGUUUACACUUUAGGCCGAACAUACAUCAAACCCAUUUACAAUUAAACCCCAGCAUAACCCACAACCCAAACCCAACAAAUAAACCCAAAACCAAACCCAAAUUUAACCCAAUUCAAAUCCCAUAGACCCAAACCCACAUGUAAGCCCAAGUUGUUAGACCCAACUAGCUUGAUUUAGGGUUUCAAAAAAACUGAAACCCUAACCUACCCCCAGCGCCGCCAACGUCACAUCGCCCAUGCCAGUCCACUUGCACUACCUUUGCUCCACUGUUCAACCACCACCUGCAAAACAAAAGAGCACGCAACAGCAGCGCAAAAAUAGGAAAUAGACAGUGUAUGAACAACAAAAUCGGCUAUAAAGCCGAAUGGAAACCAAUGUAAUAGAAAAUAUUUUCGGUUAUUUUCUUCAUCAAUACAAAAAAAUAGAUUUAAACAUAUACAAGCAAUAAUUCGGGGAAAAUCAAAACACUAGAAUAACACCAAUUGGGCAACCAAAACAUCAAUAUCAAAAGCCUAAGGUGAUUUAAAUCUUUUUAUUUUUAUUUAUUUUUGAAUCAUACAUACCUAUGUAUUUUCAUAAAUAGUAUAAUAAAAAGGAAAAUAAAAGAAUAAAAAAAAGAUAGGAAAUUUUUACCUUUUCCGGCCACCGUGCGACGGUGGCACACGGCGGUCCGGCAACCAGACGUGGACGGCGACCGGCCUUGUGGCCGGAAUUCGCCUCUCCUUCUCCCCUCUCUCUUUUUUUUCUUUGCUAUGCAGAAAAUGAAUUUUUUUUGAAGAUUUUGGCCUUUUUAUAGCUUCCUAAAACGACGUCGUUUUGGGGGUUGCCCUUUAACCUCAAAACGACGUCGUUUUGCCCUGGAUCAGGUCGACCCGACCCUACCCACUCAGGAUCUGAGUGUUUUUGCUCUUAGGGGCUAAUUGCGCACGCGGUCCUUCCGCUUUUUCUAUGUUUUUCAAUCAGGUUUUUUAUGUAUUUUAAUUUGGCCCUAUAAUUAGUUGCGCUUUCCAAUUUGGUCCUCAAUGCUAUUGCGCAUUUUGGGUGGAGAGGCUUAUUUCGUUUUAAGUCCCUCCACUAUUUGUGCGCGUUGAAAUAGGUCCCCUUCCCUUCUUUUUAUUUCAGUUUUUGCCCCAAGCCUUUUAUUUUUAAUUCGAUUCGAUCCUUUUUUUAAUUACUUUAUUAUUAAAAUUAAUUAUUUUAGUAUUAUUGUUAUUAGCACUAUUCAUGUACAUAUAUAUUAUCAUUAUUGUUACUAUUACUAUUAUUAAUCUUCAUAUUAUUACUAUUAUUUCUUUAUUUUUAUAUUAUAUUAUAUUAUAUUAUUAGUUUUUACUAUUAUUAGUAUUAGUUUUAGCUUCAAUUAAUAUUUUUAACAUGCAUAUUUAUAUACUUUUAUGUAACAUUAUUAAUAAUUAUUUUUUAAAAUAUUAUUAUUAUUUUUUAAUACAUGCAUAUAUAUUAUGUGUAUAUUCUUUUAAUAGACAUUAUGUAUAUAUAAUUUUAUAUAUUAUUUUUAACUUUACAUUAUGUAUAUAUUGUUAAUAUCAUAUUAUUCAUAUAUUCUAUUAUAUUAUAUAACUAUAUUAUGUAUGUAUUUUUAACACUAUAUUACGUACAUACUUUCAAUAUCAUUAUUAUUAUGUAUAUAUAUUUUUAAUAUAUAUAUGUGUAUAUUUAUGUAGUAUUAUUAAUAGUUGUUUUUAAUAUUAUGAUUAUUUCUAGUAUAUAUAUAUUAUGUAUAUACUUCUAAUACUAUAUAUUGUAUAUUUCUAAUACCAUUAUUAUUUAUAUGUGUAUAUGUGUAUGUAUUUAUGUAUCGUAUUAUAGUUGUUGUUUUUUUUGUAUCAUUAUUGUUGCUAAUAUAUAUAUAUCAUGUAUAUAUGAUUUUUUUUAUAUAUAUUAUGUAUAUAUCUUUAAUAUUAUAUUAUUUAUAUAUUUAUGCUUACAUAUUAUCUUACGUAUAUAUUUUUAAUAACUAUAUUAUGUAUAUACUAUUACUAUAUAUCUAUUUAUGUUGCAUUAUCAAUGGUUGUUUUUACUAUUAUUAUUAUUCUUAAUAUAUAUAUUAUGUAUACAUUUUUAAAUACUAUAUUAUAUACAUAUAUUUUUAAUACCAUAUAUGUACAUAUCAUUAUUAUAUCUAUUUUUACCCCUAUUACAUUUGUUAUUAAUAUUAGUAUAUAUUUUAUUAUACGUGUAUAUAUAUACUUUUUAAUAUAGUAUUAUUUUUAUAUAUCAUUAUAUUUAUUAUUAUACUUAUUAUUUUCGCUAUUGUUACUUAUUAUUUUAUUUUAAUAUUAUUGUGUAUUAUUUGGUAUACAUAUAUCUUUUUGUACAUAUUGUUAUUUUUUAUUAUACGUAUAUUAGUUUAUUAUGGUAUUAAUACAUUUUUACCUUUUUCUUUUAUUGUAAAUAUUAUUUAUUAUUACUCUAAUAUCCUAAUAUUAUAUUAUAAUACUUUUUAUUAAUCAUCUCAUUAUUUUGCAUCGUUUAUUUACUUAUGAAUUUUUGUUAACAUCAUCAGUUUUUUUUUAUCAUUAUUUUAGAAACAUUUUUAUUUUAAUAAAUAAUGCAACGUACCGAUUUUAACAUUAAGUUUGUGAUUUCAUCGCUAUGUUGGGUGAAUCACGUUGGCUCGUGUUAAAAACGGGACAUCCUUCAAAAAAACCAAAAACUUGAAAUUUCUCGUGUCUUGGUCGGAUCAUGAUUAAAUAUUAAAUUAAACUUGUAUUUUUGAAAAUUAAGACAACGCGUAAUUAACAAGAUACUAAUUUUGGGCGUCGUGAGGGUGCUAAUACCUUCCUCGCGUGUAACCGACUCCCGAACUCUAUUUUCCUCUGGAUUUUCACGUAGACCCAAAUUCGGCCUUCAUUUUUGUUCAAGAAUAAAUUUUCUUUUCUAAAAAGAAGAUUUAUUAGGUGUCUGAUCACACCUAGAAAAAAGAUCGGUGGCGACUCCUUUUCUUUUUAAAACCGAAAUUCCAUUUUCAAAUAAUCGCCUCAACUAGCGACCGGAAAGUGAAAUUUUUACGUUGCUACAGAAGGAAGAUUGACUGAACUGAACUGAUAGCUAAUAUGUUGCCCCUAAUACCCAGAGGGUCAUGGGCGGUCCCAAUACCCUGAGGAUCGUGGUUAAUUUGACUGUACUGCGGACUAUCGCACUGUACUGUACAGAACAUACAUCAGCACCGCUGCUAUCAUUGACUAAACUGGCAAUUUUACUGCAACCUAACGAUAUAGCGGUCUACCGCAUUGCAUUGUACCGCAUGUACGUUAGCUACGCUACGUACUAUUAUCUGAUCUGGCAGUUCAUACUGCAUGUCUGUACCGCGGUUCACCGCAUUGCACAGUACAACCUAUACGCUGGCUUUCCUACGUAAUUUACGUGACUAGCAGUUUAUCUGCAUACUGUUAGCCCAAAUUCCCAGAGGGUCGAUGGCAAUCCCAAUACCCUGAGGGUCAUGGACAAUGCUGAUGAUCAUCGUUGUCGGGUAACCCGGGAUGACAUCAUAUGGGGUGUAGGGUUGGAUGGGCUUUGCGAGGUCCUGUAUGGAGUGUUUGGUGGGACAAGCUUAAAGCUUUUAUGAGAAGUGAUGGGGGACGGAGAGGUGUGUUGGCUGGAUAGGUGGAUAUUUUUAGAACUCAUUUGUACUCAUAUGUAUCUGAUUGAUCUGUUUAACUGAAUUGGAACUUGUGAAUGGUUGAGAAUUAUUGCUACUGUGACUGAAUGUGAUACUGUUCGAUUGAGAGGCACUUGUGCCUAUGUGAAUUUUGUAGAUUCUGAUUGCGACUGUCUGACUGGAUUCUUACUGUGACUGAUUAAGAUUUGUUGCUACUCUGUCUGAGUGGUACUUGUGGCUGAGUGUAUCUAACUGAUUGAGUUAAAACUAGUGGCAGAAUAGCACUAUGUUUGUGUAGCUGAGUGUAAUUUUUAAUAUGCAUUAACAAAUAUCUGUCUGUCGGUACGUCCGUUUCGAACGUACCCUUUGGUUCUGAAUAGCUCUGUAAGUAUGUUUUAUUUCUGAACUGCUUUUAGUUCCCUGUUUCUGUCUCUGUAGUUUAACUGGUUUGAUCUCAAACUGAGCUCGAGUAGCUCACCCCCUCUUUCGUUUCCCUUUUCAGGUACAAUUCUGGAUUAUGUUGAUGGACUUGGCACGCGAAGGUCUCAGACAGUCUCGCAAACAAAUAAAUUAUCAGUUUUGUUUUCCGUUACGAUUUUGUUAUUUGGUUAACUUUGAACUGUAAGGCUUUAUAAUACUGUGGUACAGUUUCCAUUUUAGAUUUUCAUGCAUACGUUUAUUUUGGGUUUUAUAUUGAGUCUUACUGUAAAUUUUAUUGACUGAUUAUUAAAUGGUUUUAAACACUUUUGGUUCACUGAGAUGAGUUAUUUUGUAAAAUUUUCCUACGAUCACUUCGGUGAUCAAUGUAGCAUUCCGAAUUCGGUCUAGACUUUUAGGCCGAGUUUGAGGUGUUACAUUAGGUUUAUUUUUUAGGUUCUAAUUUGACUCGAAAAAUAGGUCUAAAAUUUUAACUAAACCCAGUUUAGAUAAAAAUAUUAAACCCAAGUCCAAACGUAUUAAACUUUUUAUAUUAUUAUUUAUAAAAAAACAAAUUUAAAAAAUAUAAUACAUCAAAUACACUAAAAAUAUUAAAAUAGAUGUUUCCUAAUAAAUUGAAAAUACAUUAAAAAAGUUUUUAUACUUAACAAGCAAAUGCCUUUAAAAUAGUAGCAAAAUUAACAAGCCCAUGAUUAGGUCUAAUGAUGAGUUCUUUUGUUAGUAAUGUUUAUUUUGGUAUUUGAGUUUUUUCUGUCUUAAUUUGGUACUUAAUUUUGACUUUAAUUUUUUUCCAAUUAAGCACUUAAGUUUGGCUUCAAUGUUCAAUUUGGUACCUAAUUUUUUUUGUCCAAAUUAAUUACCUAUAUAUUUUUUACCAAAGCAUGUGUGUCAAACAUUUAUUGGAUCAUAUGAUGACAUUUGGCUUAGGUAUCAAAUUGAAUAUCAAAUUCAAACCUAAGUACUAAAUUGAAACAAAAAACACAAAUACUAACUUAAGUAUUAAAGCUAAACUCAAGUAUCAAAUUGUAUAUUAAUCAUUGGUAAACAAAAUUUCAAGGAUUAGCAUCUACUAAGCUUUCAUUUUCCCUUUUGCAUGUUACAAUUGAUAUUUGUUUAACGCAUAAACUUGGUAUCUUUUUUCCCGUAAUGAUCCAUUUUCAACAAUUUUUGUACACCUAUAUUAAAAUCUGAAAUAAUUUGGUUAUCUUCAACAUACAUAAAGCUGUUAUAUUAAAGUUUAUUUAUAGUUGAGAUUUUUAAAGGAUUUUUAUAAGAUAUUUUUUACACAUUCUUUCCAUGACAUUAAGGAGUAGGGAAGAAAACGUGGUAGUGUUAAAAGGAUCAGUUCAUCUAAACAAGCGGAAAGUCAAAAUAAGAAACAAAUUAAGGAGGAGUAGGGGACUCACACAUCCAUAACAUAUGCAUAUGUUAAUAUUAAAAAUUUACACAACGCAAUUGUAAAUGGUGAGACUUGGACUUCGAUACUUAAAGACCCAAGAUAUCGCCUUAACCAAUAAUGUCAACAAGAUCUCAUUAACUUUUUAGGAAUUUUCUUAACUUCACAUAUAGGGAUUAAAAAAUUACGAUAUAACUCAAUAUAAUAUUAAAGAGUAAAAGUUAAUCAAAAUUUACAUAUAUCACUCAUUUAAUCAUAUGUGUACAGAUAAAAGGAAGCCACUCAUCCUCUUGCCAACCCUACGUGUAACAUAAUUCACUAUAAAUUCCACCUACAUAUACAUACAUACAUAAAUAUAAAAGAGAAUUUCAUGGUCUUGGACUAGAUUGGCUACAAAAUUUGACAAACGGCAUGUGUAGGAGGAUUAAAUUCGAUGAAUUGCAUGAGAGUUUCUCCUUUUUGAUAAUUUAGUACAUGAGAGAAUAAUGAUGAUUGUGGGGGGGGGGGGGUGCUCCAUCGAAAUAGCUGGAAUUUAUUUAUUUUAGUGAACUGGCAAAUGUAAUUUGUACGCCAAGUUAUAAGGUGAAAAAGGGAGAAAUCAUAUAGAUUUGGUUGGUAAUGGUAUGUUGAUGUUGGAACACCUGCGGUGCACCGCCACAAUUAGUAGGCCCCUAGCCCCGCUGUCACCCCAUCAUAUGUGCUUUUGGAUGGAUCCAACAUUUUCGUGUUCUUUCAUUCUUCAACAUCAUCAUUAUUAAUUAGUUACUCUUCAAUUUCUAUAUGUAAUUUGCUUUCUUUUCAUUCAUAGGUUUUCUGUUUUCUGUCUUUGAUUUUGUCUUGUGCACAACUGAUGUCCUCCAUUUUUUUCCCCUUUUGUAGAAUUGGGUUUGUCACUUUAAUAGUGCCCGAAAUUAUUUUAUGGAUUUUUUUCAUCAUAUCAUUUAUAAUCUAUUUUUAGUUAUUUAAUGAUAUUUUAGUAAUUUUUUUAUGUUAUUGACACAUAAUUUUACUAAUUUUUUUACCCAGAACCCUCAAUCUUGAGUUUAGAAUCUUGAACCCCGAACCUUGAACCCUAAACUCAAACAUUAAACUCCAAACCUAAACCUUAAAUCUUGAAACCCUCAAGGUUUAGGUUUGAGGUUUAAGUUCAAAUUCAAGUUUGUAGUUCAGGGUUCGAGGUUUGAAAUUUAAGGUUCGGGUUCAGGGUCAGAGUUCAACAUUCAGGAUUCUAGGUUUGGGGUUUAAGAUAAAAAAAAAUUACCAAAAUUAUAUGUCAAUGACAUGAAAAAAAAAUUACUGAAAUGUCAUUAAAUAAUUAGAAAGGGACCAUGGAUGAUGUGGUGGGAAUGGUCCAAAAAUAAUUUCUCAUUUGUAUGGGAUAUUAUUCAUUAUCUAUUAUAAUUUGAUAUCUCUAUUUUUAUAAUAUUAUUAGGGGAAAGGAUUGUAUGAAACAGUGACGCCAUGUCAUCUGUAUCCCUUUCCAAUAAUUUUAUGCCAUAUCAUUACUUUUAUCCUCAAUUUCAGGAUUUUAUCCUGAAAAAAAUCAAAUCCAAAUUAAAAUCCUGAAAUUCAGGAUAAGAAUAUUGAUGUGGCAUAAAACUAUUGGAAAGGGAUACAGAUGACGUGGCGUCACUGUUUCAUACAAUCCUUUCUCUGUCCAAAUUUAUAACAAUGUUGAUUGCUUCACUAAAAUGAGAAGGUCCAAAAGAGUUAGAAGAUGUUAUUGAGAUUAAUAAAGGAGUAAUUUAUUUCGAGAUAGAUUAAUAUAAUUUAUUUGUGUUUUUUAUUUAAAAAAAAAAGUAAAAGGACGUAGUAAAGGAAUUUUCAUGCAUCAAUAAUUUAUUAUUUAAACUAUGAAAUUUCAAAAAAGAAGAAAUUCAUGUUGAAAUUGAUACUAUCAAGCAAUUUAAAAGUGUAAAAAUUUCAGUAUCAGCUGGAUAUUUAAUGUCAAAUAAACUAAAGAAAUGAGAAACACAAGCCAAUUGUCCACAAUGAUUAACUUGUUCCUAAAAAGAAAGUUGUACAUAGACUUUGCUUAUAAAUCAAUCCAAUUUUUUUUUAUAUAAAAGGAAACAUAUUACAUACUUAUAUUGAGUUAUUUGUACCACAACCCACUUAAAUUAUGAUUUUAAUUUUCGAUUGAGUCUUAGUUCAAUUGAUAUUGGCAUUAUUAUCUGUGGAGGAGUGGAUUCAAGUGCGCUGAAACGCAUUAUCCUUCUAUUUAAAUGUUGGGAAGGAACUAUAGAUUCGAAAGCAGAUAUGAUAAGAACCUAUAAUAAAAUUAAUGUAAUGCCUCCUUUUUCCUUUAAAUCCUACUUAAAACACACUUACUUAUUAUUUGCUAAAAUAUUGACAAAUCUAUAAUUUGAAUUCGAACAUUUAUAAUUCAAUCUUGGUCCCUUUAAUACAAAAAAUGUUGGCUUCACCCUUGAUCAAUUUAGUCAUCAAGUUUUUUUUUUUUAACAUAAAUUUCAAUAUAGAUUCUUAUCAUAUUAGCUCUUUUUGAUACAAUGCUUAUAACUAUCCAUAGCCCUUCCCCAAUCAUUAAAUAGUAGGAUAAUACACUUUAACGUAUUCGAAUCCACAUCCUCUUCUACUGACAACAAUGUCAAUCAAUACAAUUUUAAAUACGAGUGUACUACUUAGAUAAUCAUAUCCAAGGUACACAUACUUUUAAAAUUUGAUCCACACACUUUAAAUAUACCCCACCUCUGAUCUAAUCUAGCAUUUAUCACCUAAGCUGACGGUUAGAGGAACAAAAGAACUUGAUUGAUAUAAUAUCAAUAUUUUAUAGACUCAAUCGUACCAUAAUUAUGGACGUUUUCGCUGAGUUAACUCUAUAUCUAAAUAAGUCAUGGUAAACAUUCAAUAUUAAAAAAGAUAAAGGGAAAGUAUAAUAACCCAAAACACCAAAUUUUGGUUGGUUUAAUUUGCAGCUUUAACCAAUGCUUUUGCAUGAUCCAUCAAUUAGUGAGGAUUUUGAUCUUAAUUGGAGGGUCCCAUUCGGUUAUUAAGCUCUUUUUCCACCCUCAUGAUUGCCAUAACAUGGGCCCUUACCGUUUUACUUUGGAUACCCUUUUAUCUUUGCUUUGCUUUGCUUUGAUUUAAGGUUUUAUACAUAAAUGGUCACUUAAACUAUACCUCAAUUUUUAGAUUUGUCCUUAAAGUUUUUUUUUUAUCAAGAGUGGCCCCCACACUAUCAAAUUUAUCUCAUUUUACCCAAAAAGCGUACAAUAUCCAAUAAAAAUAUUUAAAAUGUGACGCGUGUCACAUUCUUAUUGGUUAAUAUCAUUUUUUGAAUAAACAAAAAUAAAAUUAACAGUUUAGCGAUCACUUUGACCAAAUAAAAAAGUUUUAAGGACUACUUUAGGAAUUUAGAUAUAACUUAAGAGUUAUUUUAUUAAUAAAGCUUUGAUUUAUUCAUCAAUUAACACUGAAAGAGUUUUCCUUAAUUUACUCAAAUGGUCUUUUUGUUUGUAUCACCUAACAUUUUGAAGAACAUCCUUUCUCUGUGUACCUCAUACAAUUCGUUAAUACGAAAAUUUUAUGAUUUUUUUAAAAAUAAAUUUAAUUGUCACGUUGCAGGUUACAAAUACUUUUAAAUAAGGGCUUUUUUCAUACAAGAAUACCAAUUAAAAAAUAUCUUCAAAGGUAUAUCAGUUAUACUCAGAUCAAAAUGUUUAAACUUAAUUUAUCUAAUUUCUUCGGCAGGGACCUAACCCAAAAUUGGUAAAAUUAAAAUUAGAUCUUUAUAAUUUUGAAGCAUUAAAAUUGAAUUUUUUUUAAAUUGUAAAAUUAUAAAUUUAGCCCCUAAAAAAAUUAUAAUUCAACUUCAGCCUCUAAAAUUUUUUCCUCUAACUUCAUCUCCCCAUAAUUCAAUAUAUUUAAAAAAAUUUGUGACUGACAUUACCAACAAAAAAUAUAUUUAUAAUUAGUAUUUAAUAUACAAUUAAUGAAAUGUUUUAAUUCUAUAAGCAAUGUUCAAAAUUUUCAUAUAUCUCAAUUUUUAAUAUUUUUUUUAUUAAAUCAUGAAUGAAAUAUAUAUUACCUUUCAGAUUUUACUUGUAGAGUCUAAUAACUAUAUGACGCAUUAAAUCAUUAUACAUAUAUAAGGUCAAGUGGUCCAUAGGUAGCUUAGAGUACAAGGGAUUAAGUUGAGGGUCUCUUAUCAUUUUCCCCAAAUGUGAAGUGAUGUUAACUGCUUAGCUUUCUCCUCUUGCCCCAUUCAUUUUCCUUCCUUUCCACAAUAUAUAUUGUAUAAGUAUUUAUGGGUAAUCGAUUGAGUAUUUACUCGAUUAAUAUGAGUAUUAAUGUCAAUAGAGGAGGACGUAGAUUUGGCGCAUUAUUCUUCUAAUCAUGGGUUGAGAGGCUAUGAGUAGUUUUAAAUAUUAUGUCCAAAAAAAACAGAUAUGAUUAGAACCUAUAAUAAGAUUAUUUAAAAAAAUAUUUAUGGGUAAUCAGUUUAUACAAUUUCGAUUAAAUGUAUAAAUCCAAUCAUUAAUCAUUAAAUUGUUUUACUUUAUGCCAUAGUAUUGUUUUAACUGCAUAAGCAUGUGGGUUAAUGAAAACUACUUAUAGUAUCUCAAUUAAAUGUAAUCAACAACCUCAACUCAUAUCUCCCAUCUCUCUCACUCUCAAUUAUAUAACCUAUUAAUAAUUAACAUUAAUAACCCACUUUCAAGUAGAUCUCAGGCUACCUGCCAUGCCAAGCCUAAAGCUUAUAAGAUGCUUGAAAAGGUUUGCACAAAUAUACAAGAAUAAGUAGGAUAAUGGUUUGGGCAAAAAUUAAGCUUAAUUAUUUAAAUUAUAGAUUAAAUUUAUCGAUAAAUCAUGUUAAGCGUAAUGAUAAGAUAUAUUAUACUCUUAAGAAAAGAAUGUAGAUUCAAAUACUAGAAACGAUAUUGUUAGGAAAAGUAAUCACAAAUCUCAAACAUGAAUCAUAAAAUAAACAUAUAAAAUACUAAAAAAAAUCGAAUUUAAACUCAUUUAAAAUUGUUGAAACAUGGAUAAUUUAACUCAAUAUUGCAACAGGAAUUUCGAUAUAGUUUCUAUAAAAUUUAGUGUUACAAUAUGAUUUCCCAUAGAAGUGUGAUAAAAUCAAUAAUGUUGACUUGUAUUAUUGCAUUAAGUAGUGCAUGAAAUGUAGGAUUCUAUUGUAAAAGAGAAUUAGAUAAAAUUGUAUAAAGUGCAUACUAAAAACUGUUUUGGAGGCUUUAAAGAAUUCUAUUCGCUUAAAAGGUAAGAGUCUACUUCAUCAGCUAAGGUUUACAAUGUAGGGUAAGUGUUCAAUCGAAUUAAGUGAAAAAAUUUUGAGUUUAUCGAGUUGAUGAGUCCUAUUUUAUCAUACUAACUUGAUUUGAAAUUUUCUCGAAUCGAGUCGAGUAAAAUGAAAUUCAAGCCAAAUCAAAUCAAGUGAAAUUAUUUGAGUUAAAUUAAAAAAUUAAACAUGUCAAAUUAAAAUCUUGUUAUAGUAUAACUAAUUUUAUGUUAGAGCACAUAAAUUUGAAAUCACAUAUAUUUGAAAACUUUUUCAAAGUAAAAUAAGAAAAAAAAUAAUUUAAUAUAAUAAACUUAAAUUAUUAAUUAACUUUUAUUUAAGUCCCCAAAAUUAUUAUUUUAAAAAAAAUUAAAUUUUUAACUUUCUUUAUAUACUUUAUAAUUUUUUUAAAAAAAUAUAAAAUUUGGAAUUUUUAUAAAUAUUUUGAAUUUUAAAAAUUAUUAUGAAAAUUUUGAAAUUUAUUUUGUAUUUUUUGUUGAAAGAGAUCAAUUUGCUUUUUUUUUUAAAAUUAAUAGGGACCAAAAGGGGUAUUUAUACCAAUCUAUUAUUCGAGUUAUUCGAAUUGUAAAAUUCAACUUGACUUGAACUCAGAACUCGAAUUACUUAUUCGAUUUAAUUCGAAAAAAUUGAAUAAGAUUCAAUUAACUUAGAAUUCGAUUUUUAUUUUAUUUUUUUGAUCAAAUCGAGUUUUGUUCACCCCUAAUAACUUGUUAGCAACUUAUGCAAGAAUUUUUUAAUUUUAAAAUAAAAGCUAAUAAGAUUAUUUUAUCUUGAUAUUAAAUGCUAUUUAUACAACAUAUAAAAGAUGGUGGAUACACACAGUUGGGGUAGACUUUUUGAGUGUUUCAUUUUUCGGGUUGAGGGAAUAUUUUGCAAGGUAAAUACACCUUGAUACCCUAGGUAUUAUUUGGAGAAUUUUAUUCACUUGUAUGCAAAGAUGUUUGCAAUAUGUGAUAAUAUUUUGGGAGAUUGGAUGCAAACAAUUGCAUACUAGUGAAACUACUUUUUAUCUACAUUUUGCAAGAUAGAUACAUUAUAAUUAGAGGUGUCCAUAAGUCGGAUUGGAUCCAAUCAAAAUUUUAUACCCAUUUGUCAGGCUAAAAAUAUUAAAAUUCGAGUCCCAUCUGGCCCGUUCGUAUUAAUUUUUUUAUAUAAUUUUUUAAAAUAUAUAUAAUACAUCAACAAUACUAAAAACAUUAAAAUAAAUGUUAAAAACAUUAAAAUAAAUGUUCCCCAACAAAUUGAAAAUAAAUUUACAAAUUGAUUAAUAAAUUUUAAAAAAAUAUGUAUACUUAAAUAACACUAAGAUAUGUAUAACUUAACAAGCAAAUACCUCUAGAAUAGUAACAAAAUUAAAAAUAAAACAACAGUAAUACAAUAUCCAAAUAAUAACAAUAAAAUAGUAGCAAUAUAAUUGUGAAAUGGUAGCAAAAUAAUGAAAAAGAAGAAGAAAAAAAAGAAAAAAAUUACAAUUCUUUUAUUUUGCAUAUUCGGGUCGGCUAUUUUCUAAACGGACCUUAUUUUUCAGCCAAAAAAGUCUUACCUGAGGCUCAACCCGUUUUCUAAACAAGCCUUAUUUUUUUGCCUAAACACAUUUUUCGGGCCUAUAUUUUUAUCCAAACCCUCCCACUUUUCAGGUCGGGCCACAUGUACAGGUUUAACCAUGAUAUAUUAGGUAUUAUUAUAAACUACUAAAUACUAAAUAAAAAAUAACAUUUAAAAUUAAAAAAAUGAAAAGAAAAAAAAACUUAAAUGAAUAUAUACAAUGUAACAAGGUACAUAAACCUACAUUGUGACAAGUGUCGCAACUUUAUUUUUUUAUUUAAUUUCUAUAUUGUUUAUCUAUUAAAUAAAAUUAAAAUAAUUUAAACACAAUUUUAUCUUAAUGUAUUACAAAAUUUAAUUAAAAUAAAUGAAAAUUGUUAUUUGGAAUAUAUGGAUUUUAAAAAUAAUAAUAAUUUUCAUUUAAAUAAAUUUUACAAAUAAUAUAUAAUGCUGAUUAUAUAGUUUUAAAUAAUAUUUUAAUAUAUGAAUUGUUAUCUACAUAUUUAUUUAAAUAUAUUACAAGAAUUAAAACUAUUUAAUAACAUAUUCAUCAUAAAAUAAAACGAGAAUUAUAAAUUAUUAUUAUUAUUAUUUUAAAAUAUUUAUUUAAAUAAAACUAUAUGAGCAUAGGUUGUAACAUUCUACAUAUUUAUAUAGGUAAACCAUCAUGAUAAAAACUAUUAUCAUAAAAUUUUGCACUUUUUAUUAUAUGAUAUGUAUAAAAUAGUUCAAUUAGAUAUGAUUAAUAAUAAUAUUUAUGCUCAUAAAAUUAUCAAAUUAUAUAUUACAAUGUAUUUAUAAUGGCUCAAAUAUUAAAUAAUGGUUUACGGGUUGUAAUAUAUAAUAGUUCAAACAUAUUAUAAAUUUGAAAUAUAAUAUAUAUUAUAUUGAAUUAUUAUUAAUAGUAGAUAAUACUGUUAUAAUAAUUUAUAGUAGUAAAAGUAAAGGGUGAGCUAACAAUUCAGUGUGUAACUCAAUCCAAACAAUCAGCACAAAUACAGAUACAGUAACAAAGAUGAAUAUAGAUACAGAUAUAAAUCCUACUUCAUCCACUACACACCAUAUUUGUUCAUCCCUAGACAUCAAUUAGAGUAUUAAAUACUCAUGCAACCUUACCCACCUAGAAGUGAGCGUAUGUCACUUUUCAGAACAGUGCAAUCAAGCUACCAGAAAUAAUGUAAUAAUCCGCCAGAAUUAGAUAAGUGUGGUCAAGCCAUCAGAACAAAUAUGUGGUUUAAACCACCAGAUAAGACAGAUCAUUAAAUUGUUAACACUUCCUCCAUCAUAUUAUUAUCCCACCUUAAUGCAUAUGCAAACAUUAAUCAGGUAACAAAUGCAUAUAUAUCAUACACGCUAUACGUAUCAGAAUAUACUAUCAUGCUUUUAGAAAUUGCACAAACAGAAUAUUAGAUUUCAUAUCUAUAAGUCAUACAUAACACAUUAUGAAACCUACAAAGUGGCUAAUCUCGAAUCGUACUUUAAAUACGGCCUAACUAAAUUUUAUAGAAAAUGAGCACACAUGCCCAUGUGACCCACACGGUCUGGCACACGGCCUCACACAUACUCAUGUGGCCCACAUGACCCACUUAACUUAGCCCAUGUGGCUCACAUGGUCGUGUGAUUUACACGGUCUGGCACACGGCCAUGUGGUGUCGACAAUGAAUUUUUUGGCUUCGCAUCGUUCAUUGUUUUUCGAGAUUAUCAUUACAGACUUGGUCGUUUUUCGAUACUAACACCACGAAAAAGAUUCCAGAACUUAAAACAACAUUUAACACGAACAAUUUAGCAACGAUACACUAAAUAUAAUCCAUUAAUUCAACCACAACCACUAACAUUAGGCCUUAACAAGCUGGAAAUCAGUCUUUUGGGCAUUCGAUUACUUACCCAGAACAGUAGUGACAGUCCUAAAAAUCUCCUAAUUCACUAGAAGGAUGUCACAUGCCUCACAAACUUCUCCUAUUGAAACAUCAAAACAAUCAAAAAAAUGAAUAUUGCAUAAUACUACAACCCCUAUUCGUCAUACGGAAACGAAUUAACCUUACCGAAGAAUGCACUUACAAGACUUACACUUAAACAAAAAUAUGAAUUCUUUGCUCGAACACGGCGCUACGGUGAUUACAUGCAAGAAAAUCAAUACCACAAGGAUUUAAACAUUGGACCUCUAGGUAAGCUGAAGUUUUACCACUAAAUCAACAAGCUCAUUCUUAUCAUUAAUUUAGCAAAAAUAAUAUAUAAGCUUAAUAUCCAAAGUCGGUGGUUGGGACAAAAAUAACAAAAAUUUAAAUGAAAGAAUUUGAACCUAGAACAUCACACACACUAACACAACACAUAACCAAUAAACUAAAUUAAUCACUUUAACAAUAUUUAACAAUUCAAAAAUAAGAAUUUUGAGACGUUGCUAAAUUGUAUCAUAUAUCAUAUAUCAAACUUACGAUACAUCAUUCAUAAAAAUUAUAACAAACUUACGAAAGGAUUUAAUGAUAUUUAAUUCUUAACGGGUAAAAACUUAUAUCAUAUAUCAUAUAUAUUUAUAUAUUAAGAAUUUGAAUCAUUAAUUAUAUAUCUAUAUAUUAUAAUAGUUUCAUCUUUCAAAUUUUCUUCCUCAUAAUUAAAGCAUAAGUUAUAUUUAUAAUAUCAUAAAUAUAUUAUAUUUCAAAAAUUUACACACAUAAUCAACCUAUACAUCGCUCGUGAUAAGAAAACUAAUUUAUAAAUAUGAAUGUACAAAAUUCGAGCUAAAUCUAGCUUCAAUUUUCCGGUGAACUUCUUUUGACUUUAAAUCUUACUUUUUCUUCUUCUUUUUGGCAAAAUAACUUAUUUGGCACAAAAACAAAAGUCGUUUUAACUUUUUUUUUCACCAUUUUUUAGCAUUUAAACUUGCAUUUUUUUGUUAAAUCACUCCAAAAUGAAUGGAAAAGUUAACAUUUUUAACUUUGCUGAUGUUUCGUACAUGUGGAUAACACAUCAACAUUUAAUAAAUCUUAAAAAAAUUAUAAAAACUAUUUUUAAAAUUUAAAAUAUUAAUAUUAUAAAAAAAUAUAAAUAUUUUUAAAAAUUAAUUAAAUGCUGAUGGGUCAUCUACGUAGCAAUCCAUAUGUAUGUCAUGUCAACAAAGUUAACAAAUAUUAAUAUUUUCAUCCAUUUUAGGAUGAUUUAACAAAAUAUAUAAAUUUAAAGACUAAAGAUGCGAAAAUAAUUAUAAGACCAAAAUGACUUUUUUUUUUAAUUGAAGGACGAAAUAAAUGAUUAUGUAAAGUUGUGAAUAUUAAUAUUACCAUAACAAUCAUAAUUCGCUUAUGGUUUAUUCAUUUUUAGGGUUUUCCUUACUAGGAGUCUAGGAUACUUGAAGGCAGAUAUUAUUAUUAUUAUUAUUAUUAUUAUUAUUAUUAAAUUUAAACAUAUUUUUUUAAUUAAGGAACAAUAAUUUGGUCCGGGUCGGUCCUUGGACAGUAUUGUAAUUUCCCAAGUUAUUAACAUUUGUUUAGGGUUUCUCAUAGUUAAGAAUUAAGUGGGCUAAUUUCCCAACUUAGAUUUGAUGAUACGAUUAAAAAAUAGGAAAUAUCAAAAUAUGAUCAUAUGAAUUAUUAAUACUAGUUUUUUUUUAUCUGAGUAAAUAGAUAAUUACUUGAAUCAAUUUAAUAAAAAUUAAUAUACUAAAAAAUACAAUUCCAUCAUUUUAAUAGUUUAUAUAUUUAUAAUUUUUAAAGAAUUAAAUUAAUAUUUUAUCAUUUUAGGGAGUUAAAAUUUAAUUUUACUAUUAUUAAUUUAAAAUUUUAUAAAUUAUAUGUACAUACCCAAUUUUGCCAAACCCAAAUACAUUUCAAACCCUUACUAACCCAAGUCUGUUUACAAUAUUUUCAGCCCAAUUAGCCUAACCCAAGUACUACUAGCCCAAUACCCUAAAUUAACCUAGCCCAGCAGCCCAAAACAAAUUAGCAGAGAGGAAACCCUAAUUCCACUUGCCUCCUUACUUGCGCCGCACGCUCUUCUGCCCUUGGCUACCACGCCCCACUUUCUUCUGACACCAGCACUGGCCACCUGCUCCACCAUGCCUCUGCCACCGCCGUUCGCCCAUACCCUGCAAAAUGAAACAAAUGCCAAGACAGAAGCAGACAGCACAAGCAGUAACAGAGAAUAAAACAAACAAUACUUUAAUAUGGGAAUCGGCUAUAAAGCCGAAAUGGAAAAUCUGUAAAAGGGGGGAUUUUUGCUAUGAAAACAAAGAUUUUCUUUCAAUUUUAACAGAUUGAAUACAAGAACCAUUCGAAAAUACAUAUACAAUCAGGGGCUCUAACACCAAAUCGGAGAAUCAAAUCUAAAACCUAAGGUGACUUUUCUUUCAUUUUUUCUUUACUAUUUUGAGUUUGUUUUUUACACAAAAAUACUAAAAAAAAUAACAAAACACAUAAAAACAUAUAUAUUAUUAAGCAAAAAAAAAGAAAAGAAAAUUUACCUUUUCCGGCCACCGUGCACGGUGGCCGACGCCGACGAGUCUCCGGUAACCGUCCGGCGACCGGACCCCUGGCCGGAGUCCCACCGAAAAUCGCCCUCUCCCUCUCCCUCUCCCUUUCUUUUCUUUUUUUUCCUUUCCCCAUCCCCAAAUGAAUUUUUUUUUAAUUUUUAACUUAUAUAGGGGACCAAAACGUCCCCCCCUUUAAUAAAUAAAACGACGUCGUUUUGGACGCGGGUCGGGUCGACCCAACCCGCACCAGGGCAGGAUCCGCGUGUUUCUUAGCGGAAGGGAAAUUUGCGUGCUCGGCCUUUCCGCUUUUCUGAGAUUUCACAAUUACGUUUUUUAUGUUUUGUAAUUCGGCCCUAGAAUUUUUCAUCGUUUUCAAUCUGGUCUCCGUGCUGCGCAACGUUUAGAUAGUUGGGAUUAUUUUCAAUUUUGGUCCCUCCAGGUUGCGCGUGCCUCACAUUUUGAUCCCUCCUCUUUGUUUCCUUUUUAAAUUGACCCCACAACAUUGUUUUUAAUUUAAUUUUAGUCCUUUUUCGUUAUUUUUAUUUCCUUAUUAAAUACUCUUAUUAUUUUUAUAUUAUUAAUUUUAUUAUGUAUUAGUUUAUGUUUUAUUAUACAAUUAUAUAUUUAUAAUAUGUAUACACGCUUAAUAUAUUUGUAUAUACUUAUAUAAUAUUAGUACUAAAAGUUUUUAUUUUAAUAUGUAUAUAUUACCUAAAUGUUUAAAAUUAUAUAUGUACGUAUAUUCUUCAUUAUGUUCUUAAUACUAUACUUUACAUAUAUCGUACAUUUUUGUUUCAAGUUUGCUUUCAUGUAUUGUUUAGUCAAAAUUGUUUUAUUACUCAUUUUAAAAUUGUUUCACAUACUUUGCUUUAAACAUUAUAUCUCUUUCAUAUUAUGCACGUCAUUUUUAACUCUAUAUUGUAUAUCACAAUCUCAUAUAUUAUGUAUGUACUUCUCAUAUUAUUAGUUAUGUAUAUAUUCUUUACAUUAUCUUAUGUACAUAUAUUUUUCAUAUUAUAUUAUAUACCUAUCCUUUUGAUACCAUGUUGUAUAUAUUUUCAAUACUAUAUUACAAAAAUUUUUACCAUAUUAUGUAUGUUAUGUAUAUACGUUUUAAUGUUUUUGUAUUAUCUUAUAUGUAUAUUUUAAUAACUAUAUGAGGUAUGUAUUUUUAACACCGUAUUAUGUACAUAACUUUCAACAUCAUUGUAUACACACUUUUUAAUACUAUGUUAUUUAUACGUUUUUAUAGGUAUCGUGUACAUGCUCUAAAUACCAUCAUGUAUAUAGUUUUUUAUUGUUACUAUUAUGUAUACAUAUAUAUAGUAUCAUUAAUAGUUCUAAUAUCAUGCUCCCAUCACUUUGCUAACUAUUAUUAUAUGUUUGUAUAUAUUAAUUCUUAUUUCGCGUUUAAUACUAUUGUUAACAUAUUUAAUAUCGCAUAUAUGGCCAUUGUUUUAAUAUUCUCGUCGUAUUUAUCAUUUAUUUCAACAUAUUUCUAGCCCUUCCAUUUGUUCACUUUUAUUUCAUAUCAAUUUUGCUUGGCAUUUCUUCGAAAAUCUUAUUCUCGUUUUCUAAUUAAUUUCAAUAAUCGAGGCAACAUAUCGACUUAACAUUAAGUCAUCGAGUUCAUCGCUAUGUUGGGUGAACGUCAAUUGACACGUGUUAAAGCGAUAUACCCUUCUCAAAAAACGGAAUAAACUAAAAUUUCUCGUUUUUUAAUCGGAUCACGACUAAAUUUUACAUUGAACCCGAAUUUUUAAAAAUCAAGACAACCUGUGUUUAUGAGAUACCAAUUUUUGGGCGUCGCGAGGGUGCUAAUACCUUCCUCGCGUGUAACCGACUCCCGAACCUUAAUUUUUCUCUGGCUUUUAACGUAGACCUAAACUCAGUCUUUUUCUCGUUUUUAAAGAAAAAAGAAAUUUAUUAGGUGUUCGAUCACACCUAGGAAAAAGGAUCGGUGGCGACUCCCCCUUUUAUUUCAAAAUCGAACUUCAGUUUCCAAACUUUUUCACUAGAUCGCCACAAUUAGCGACCCCGAAACCAAUUUUUACGUCGCUACAUUAUAAAUGAGACUAAAUAGAAAAUUUUCUAUUUUAAGAAGGCUCAAAGACCUUGCCAGCCUCCUUGACUUCACCAUUGAAAUCUAGAAUAUACUCCUCACUAUGCUUUGGAAAAUUAAAGAUUUGAAAUUAUAUUAUUGUGUAAUAGAUAUAAUUAAUUUUUAAAUAUAUAAAUAAAGUUAAAGUUAAAAUUAAAUCACUGUGAUAAAUUGUAUAGAAUAUAGAUGAUUUAAGACAUGAUGCAAAUAAAACAUAGUUAAAUAAUUAAUAUAUAGCAUGCCAUAAUAAUAAAGGUGAAUCUAGAGGGUUCACAGGGCUUGAUUCUCCUAAAAUAGAAAAUUAUUAUUUAGAUUUUUUUAAAAAAUUUAAAAUUUUAAAUUAAUAAAAAUAAAAUUGUACUUUGAUUUCCCUAAAAUUAUAAAUUUUUUAUUCAAUCCUUUUAAAAAUUAUAAAGAUAUAAACUAUUAAAAAUUAAAUUUUCAUUUGGCCCCCUAAAAAAAUAUUCUGGCUUCGCCCCUGCAUGAUAAUAAUAUUAAUACAACACAAAUACACAAAAAAAUCAAAAUCUAUACAUAACAAUUAUUUACUUGUAUAAUUUUAUAAUAUUUUGAAUACAAAGAAAUAACACAAACAAUUUUCUCUAAAUUGAAUCACUCAAAUAAAAUAUUUUAAAUAUCUCAUGAUUUUAAAAUAUACUAUAAGGAUAAUUUUUUAAAAAUAAUUUAUUAUGAUAAAUCAUAUAAAUUAAAUAAAGAAACAAUACUAAUCCAACAUAAAAGAAAUGUAAUAAUAAUAUCAUAAAAAAUAUGUUCUUAGUUAAUGAUUUAGUCUGUACUUUGAGAAUUAGAGAAAACUCGAGUUCGAGAUUCAAUUAUAUAUGAGAAAAGUAUUAACAACCUCACAAUAACUUAAUACAUGUUGUUUUAAAAUUUUGAACCCAGUAUUUAAAUAUGAUCCCGUAAAAUUUAAGAAUGCAUGAAAUUUAUUAAUUAAGUGAAUUUGAUUUUGGAAAUAAACAAAAUACUCAAUUUAAUUUUAUUAUAUUUUUUAAAAUUUACUCACAUUAUAACAUUAAGAACAACAAAUGAGAGCGUAUCCAGUAAUUUUGGCAACAAUCUCUUUAAUUUUCGUAAUGCUAAAAUAUUACCUUUUUUUUUAAAAUUAAAUCGAUGUAAAGAAAUUCAUAGGUGCAUUUUCAUAUAAAUAAUUGAAUUAUUCAAAAUUACAUGCAUUUAGAGAUAAAUAUUUUACCCAGCACUACGCUUGUUCGACUCGUAAAAGGCAAAAAUUAGGAUUCAAAAUUAAAUUAUAAUUUUUAUGAUAAUAAAAAUUACUUAGGACAUCAUGUUCUCAAAAACUCAAACCUUUAUCAACAUAGAAUUGAAUCGAAUAUCGUUUUCAUCUUCCCAAGUUUCUAUACAUAAACUAUGAACACGGAAUUAAACAAUACAAAAAUGGUAUUCUUCUUCCAUUGACAUUUGAUAUCAGCUUCAGAAAAGGCAAAAGACAAGAAUAAAGAGAUAAAACAAAAGAUUAAAUCAAUCCUAUAUCCUUGACUGACAUAAUUUACCUUAAAAACUCUAUACUUUAACCAAUCCCACCUAUAUGAUUUUUCUGUUUUCCUAUACAUAACUUAAAGCUUACUUGGAACCAAGUCAUUGUAUUGUAUUUCAUGUAAUUUUUUGAAGCAGAUCCUCAUCUCCUCCAUCUGCAUUGAAGGAAUAGAUGUCGACCGGGGCCACCGUGCAACCCAUGGCAUUCUGCUUGGUUCUUUUAUUACAAAAGGAGCCUCGGUGUUUGUCUAGAUAGAUUACAAUCACGGUGAUAUCGUCGUGAAAAUGGCGCCUUAUCCCCUUUUUUAUUUUCUUGAUGUCACUGUAUCUCAUCUCCCUUUUCUUUGCAACUUCUUGAAGUACAGCUCUUACCAAUCUCCUGGCAAUACCCUGCAAGCAUUCAAGCAAACAAAUAUCAAUAAUGAAAUGCAUUGCAUUUCCAUAGGUUUCAUUAGGUUAAUGGAAGAACACGAAUACUCACGGCUCUCGGGUUUUUGAAAACGAUGUUUACAGCAGCUUCAUCACUCAACUGCUCCCAUAGGCCGUCUGAUGCAAAGAUGAGGAAUUGAUCCUGUGGCUUAAGCUUUCUAAUAAGGAUCGUUCUGCUGUAAUAACCGGCCUUUUAAGAGGAACAGGGUUUCCGAACUGCUGGAAGAUCGGAUCUCUAUAAAACUCAGGUUUCUUCAGGUAAACAUCACCUAUAGAUCUUGACACCUGAAAUAAGAAAAACAAAAAUGGCUUAGACCAGCAUGAUCACUCACAUGCUCAAAGAUCAUGUAUUAAUCAAUCAUCUCCAGUUCUACAAUCCAAUGUAAGAUAAAAGCUAAUGCAUCUUAUUCUCUCGAUUCGUGAAUGGAUCGAAGUAAAAAGCUCAACUUGCCUACCAAAGUAAAGGGGAACAACAUCACAAAAAGAGAAGAAAAACAUAAAAACGAGAGAGCAUCGAUUCCUUGCAGUUACAUAAGCCUAGCUUUAUGCUUCAGGGGCCUGCAUUUGUCCAUCUCAUGCAUAUAAGGCAUACUAUAUGGAAAAUAGCAGCAUGAAACAGUACUGGAAAUCAGACCAAAAUAUUCUUGGAAAAGUCGAAAAACUCAGAAUUAUAACCAUUUUUUAGAAUGAACUUCCAUUCUAAUGCACAAUGUAUACAUCCAUAAUUAUACCUCUCCAUCAAGCAAAAAGAAACAAAAUGGUUGCAAGCAAUGCCUACGAAGAGGAAGUUAAUUGGCAACUAAUUCUAGAAUCAACAUAUUGAUCAUUUCUCAAGCAGACUAGUUUUGAACUAAACGAUUAUAAAUCAACUUGUCAAUAAAAUUGUACCUGGAUUAUGCCCUUAAUCUUCCAAACUCCGCGGGUGUAAACGACUAUAUGUGAGUCAUCUGGAUGAAGUUCCUCGACCUCCUUUCGAACUUCCUCGACUCCAACAUUAUGAUCAGUUGACAACCUCUCUGCCACUACUGUGUUUUCCUUAUCCCCCGAAGCUUUCCUGCCAAGAACAGCUCUCGAGUCACCGAGAUUCGCCACGUAUAACACAUCAUUCGAAAUUGCACCAACUAGACAGCAUGAUCCAACCGAAGCAAUUUGAGGCCUCACGGACAAUGAUCGCUUCACCAAACGCAAAAACUCCUCUUCAGUGGCAUUGAAUGCCUUCUUUAUCACAUCUGCAGAUAAUCCCCCUUGUUCUGUAGCAAAUUCUACAAUGAAUAAAGAAAAAAAAAUUUAAGGGUCUCCAUCAAUCUUUUUUAGAAUCCAAGUGCAUGCUUAUCACUGAAAAGUGUGCAAAACAAAGAAAAAUAAAUGACCUGAAAAAUGCCAAAACUUGAACUACACUUACUAAUUAUUCCGAAAAAUUCAAGUCCAGACAACCCCAAGUAGAUACAAAUUUAGACAAAUAGUUCAUAUUCUCUUUUCCCAUCAAAACAUAGUGCUACAUGACUGUGGAGCGGGGCAAGAUAGAUAUUGUCAAAUUCAUUACUGUUCCAUUGCUGGCAUGAUCUGCCUCGACCCCACUCUGCUUCGCCAUAAAUGUUAAAACUUGAAUAUCAUUACUUUUAAUAUGCAUAAUCUAUCAAUACCUCACCUAAUAUAUACAUUUUUACUCGUUUUAAAAGUUAAAUAUAUAAGAAUAGAGCAAAUAUCAAAAUUAAGUGCCCCAUUGGUCCCUCUUUUACUGUUAAAAAUUAGAAAAAGAAAGUCUAUUUGGAGUCAUCAGUUCGAAAUCUAUCAAACUAAAUACAUAUUUGAUGAUUCCAUAGACAACUUAUGAUUUUCCUGACAAGGUCAUAUCUAUAUACAUACAUGAUCACAUGUUCAUUCAUGUCAUACAUACAUAGGAAUGUUGAAAUAAAGAGGGAAAAAGGGAAUUACUGUGGAGAAAAGGGAAGAGAUGUUUGUUAACAAAACGGGAAGCUUCCGGACCGCCAUGACCAUCGUAGACGCCAACGUAGGUAGCAAAAGGAGAGGUGAAGACUUGGCUUUGAUCUUCGAGACAGUUGUUAGCCUGCACGACGGCGAUGGAGAAAUCACCGGAAGCGUGGGGUUUAAGGUCAGCGUGCCACAUGAGAGCAUCCCCACCAGCUCUAACGCCAAGACAACGUUCGAGCGGCCUGGAAAGGGACCGUAACAUCAUCAUCAUCGUGUUUAAAAAAUAAUAAUAAUCCCUUUAUAGGGGAUUUGAUUAAAUGAAAACCUUUUCGAUGGUUUCAAUGGGGGGUUUCACUUUGGGGGAGAGGAAAAUGGAAAGAUAUUAAGAGGGAAAGAGAGAGUAGAGAGUGGGGUAAAGUGAAUGGAAAAGAAAUGCCGCGUAAAGAGAGGCAGAUGAUGAUGACCAACGACCCCCGAUGCUUGCUGUAAUUACUUCCCACUCUACGCGUUAACCACCCUUUUUCUUCUUUUUUGACUUUUAAACCCAAAUCCUUUUCUUUUAUUUUUAAUUUAUUGAAUGGAGACACUUAGGUCUAAUUUAAUAUUUCAAUUUUUAAAGAAUCGUAUCAGUGAUUGAAUUAUGUAUCUACUUAUUCUCGAUUUAAUCGGUUAGUUUAGCUCAAUUUAGGCCUGUUCAGAUUAUUCAACUUAAAAAUUUGUUCGAAAAGUGAGAUGAUUUAGGUAAAAAUAUAUGUUUAAAAAAUAAAUUUUAAUAAAAAAAUAAGGUAUAUUUUUUAAAUAGAUUGAGUCUUAAUAUUUUUUUGUUCAGGCUCAACUUGAUCUGGCUCAAAUUUGUAAAAAAAAAAAAUGUUGUUACUUUGUCAUUGUUUUACUGUCAUUUCGCUAUUAUAUUAUUACUAUUUUAUUGUUUUUGUUUAGAUAUUGUAUAAUUAUUUUUUUAUUGUUGAUUUGGCUACUAUUUUAGAACCAUUUGCUUACUAAGUUGCACUUAUAUCUUGGUGUUAGUUAAGUAUAAAUAUCUUUUAAAAAUUUGUUUUCAAUUUAUUGGGAAACAUUUAUUGCUCCAACUGACCUAUGGAUAGCUCUAGUUCAAUCCUUUUGCCCGAAUUGAUAUAUCAAUUGAUUUAUUGGUUCAACUAAUUCGAUUAGUUGAUUUUAUUUGAUUUGAUUCAAAAACACUAAGUGUUAUUUCAAGUUUAACUUAAUUUAUAUUUGUGUUGAUAGUUUAAAUUAUUUUAAUUUUAAAUCAUUCAAAUUCAACACUUAAUUUUUUGGGUCAGAUCGUUUUAGGACUAUUUCAUAUUAUAAUUUUAUAAAAAGGAAGUUGAACUGAAUAAUAUUUAAGUUUUUGAGUUGAAAUUCAAAUCAAUGUUAUUAAAUUGGGUCAUAAUUAAUAGGUGUACUAGAAUCUAAUUACAAAUAUAUAUCUAUAAGAUAAAACCAAAAAUAAAGGAUUAACAUCUGACCAAGUAUUGACAAUGCAUUGUUAUCCACAAAUUUAAUUAGAUACAAAACAAGAUAAACACUGUAAUGUGAAUUUCGUAUGUUAACUUAACGGUUAGGAUAUUCAUCGCUUCAAAUGUGAUUUGGGAUUGAGUCACAUUAUCUCUAAUAUGUCCUCUACCAAAGAAAAUGGAGGACUAAAGUUUGAAAUCUUAUUUAGUAUUUACAGCCAUGAUCAAUUUCUCUUUAUGAUCUCCACCCAUACAAUAAAUGUGAAAAGUGUAGCAGUACGAAUACCAUGUUUUUAUAGGGGCCGCCAUUCAAGAAUAUAUUACUUCCUCUGAACCUGACACUAAGGCAUGGAUAGCAACUUACAAUGUAUCAAAUUAAACACUAAAAUUAAACUCAUAUAUCAAAUUGAGAUUUAAAAAAAAACACUCAAAUACAAAAUUUGACAUUAAAAUCAAACGCAAGUACCGAAAAAUAUAUUAAUCCAUAUUCAUAAACCUUUUUCUUUGUUUUUGCACCCGUCAAAAUUCCAAGACUUACAUAUCUCUAAUUAAGAGCAUCAUCAUUUACAAAAAUUAAAAAAUUAAUCCCUCUACUUUAAUUUGUUAUAAUUUGUCCCACGUAAGUUAUAACAACCGAAAAGUUAAUCUAAUUAAGUAAUAUUGUUAAACCUUAUCAUUGAAUUGUUUGUUUGGAAACCAGCAAUUUAACAACUUAUAUGCAACAAAUUAACAAAACUCAUUUGUUCAAGUUCAUGUUUUGAAUAACACCUGGACUAAAUUUCCAAUUUUCAUAUGCUACAAUGACUAAAUUUUGACAAAUUAAAGUAGAGGGACCAACUUCUCAAUUUUCAUAAAGUAGGGGAUGAAAAUCAUAAUUAGACCAUGUAUAUGUUCUAUCGUGUGAGUUGGGGCCUGUUUUAUAGUAUACUUCUACAGUAAGGACAGUCCCCACACGUUCUGAGCCAAGGAUCUAAGCAAGCAAAGUGAAACCUGUGCCCACACGGCAGCUGAGUAAGCACAUCUCCUUCUCCGAAGCUUUCAAGGCAUAUACUGCAAUCUCUUGAUUCCCUUGAUGUCUUCCUUUCAACAUUGAUGUCUUGGCUGCGGAAAAUUUCCAGCGGCAAACGGUCCAGAGCCUCCUGAGUAAGUCCAGGAGGCUUCUUGUUUGUUUCUCGUAACAAUUCGAAUCUUUCUGCUUCAGAGGUUAAUGGGGAACCCCUAGCUGCCAACCCUGUAGAGAGUUCACUUAUGAUCCUAAAAUCAUCGCGCGUUACAUGCUCCCGGUGGGAAGCAUUAGGUGGAGCUCUAUUGCUUCGCCUGAAGAAAACAACAGGAAGAAACCGUAAUGAGAGGGAAAAGAAAAGAUGUACAAAAUGUUUAAAUAGCGGUUAAUGCAGGACCUAACAUAUAUGUGUCCAUUAUUGAAUGCCACGUGCAAGUAAAAUUCAGGAUCGAGUGGUCCACAUGCUUCUCUCAAGCAGUAGAUGGUAGUUAGGAAACGAGUAACACUAAUUCGCUGUGUACAUGAAGUGGUACCAAAAGUGGUCUGGAUAGUCAUAGUGGCUAAUGAUGUUACUACUUAGAACCUAUGUUACUCAGAGUCAGGCAUGAGUUUCAGAUAUGGAUAUGUAUCCAGUACAGGUAUAAUUACUUUUUCUAAGUUUUUCCAUAUAUUUAAAAGAUCCUUGGAGGUCAUAUCCUCGUAUUUGUGUGUCAGACACGAGUGUCAAAUGAAGAGUCCGAGCAACAUAGCUUAGAACCACUAAUAUUACCAUAGAAUAGGAAGCACCAGCAGUGGGACUGGACCAUAUUGAUAGUUAGCAAUGCGAGAACAACAGGCACUAAUGGGCAGAAAGCACCAAUAACAGCAGUGGGCCUGGAAAUUAAGGUACUACUGGUAGGUAAGGAGUGACGAAAGCAAUAUCAGCUUGAAUGUAUAAGCAGAAGUGGGACAGAAAUUUCAAGCAUAAAAACAAAAAUUCAAUCUAUUCAAGAAUAUAUACAUAUAGAGCGAGAGAGAGACUAAAUUCAACUUAAACAUUUUCAAGGAAAAAAAGAAAAAGCCUGCCGAAAUAUGAUGAUUAUGUUAGGCAAUUCCAUAGAAGAAAGUUCAAAUUCACUAGUGACAACCCACCCAACUGACCAGCUGAAAAGUCCAUGGUAAGUUGGAAAAUAGUUUGGACCGAGUGAAAUUAGUCUCAACAUUAACUGGCUACAACCCCUAACAGCUCUACCAUAUGAUACGGUAUCUCUAUUCUUACUGCUAAACCAAGUCAGACUCCUAGUACCCCUAAUACAAGACUACAUAUUUAUCAUUUGGAUUCACUAAUAAUAAGGUAGCACAAUGAACUGCAAGGCACUGAUUCUUCCUACAGGUUACGAUGCAAAUUGCUCAUAUGAUAGACACUUCUUUUGAUCAUAUUGCACCCUCAAUAGAUCCACAAAAUCAAAGUUCAAGAGCAAAAUCAUUCUGAAUUUAGGUAAAACUUUCACAGACACAGAGCUCCACAUGACUUGUCUAUCCUAUCAUCAAACUUCAGAAAUAAGUAAUAGAGAAGAGAUGUGCUGUGCUGUGCUGUCUUUAAAAAAUGAAAUUUGUGACAGACCAAGAAUAGUGGGAUAAAUUUGGUCCAACUUGAGUAGCAAAACAAAUUGAGUGCCACAGGCAAGUUCACCAUCAAUGAUAAAAGUGGCUUCCAAUUGGUGUCAAAGAUCAUGCAGAUAAGAAAGAACAUGAUUCAAUAGCUAUUAUAAUUUACUUGUUCUUGCAGUUUGACCAGUAAUAAUGCUGUACAUAAUACAUGGACAAGAAAUGCAAAUACUAAAAGUUGCAAAUUUGCAGAGAGCUCUAGGUAACCUGUUUGCAGAAACAGACACGCCUCUUAGUCUUUCAACAAGCCUUGCUCUUGCAAGCAGCACAGCUCCAGGAAGCCUCUCAUUUGCUCUCAAACUUUGCCUGCUUGAACUGCUUACACCAUCUGCAUUUAAUCCAUAGCUCGAACUGAGCUCACCAGUACCUUCAUCAAACCCUUCUCUAGCAAGCCUCUCACUUGAUCUCAAACUUUGCCUUCUUGCAUUGCUUACACCGACUGCAUUUAACCCAUUGCUCGAUACAAGCUCGCUGGUACCUUCAUCAAACCGCACUGAUGAACGCUCCUGAAAAAGUAAUAUCCAAAUAUAAGCGAUUCAGGCAAGGAGAAAUAAAUUACAUAGACUAGGUAAUAAUAUCAAACUUCCUUGUUUAUUCUUGUAUAUGUGGCAAAAUCUUACUGCAAGUGAGCUUAGGCUUUGCUUGGUACCAAAGAUGGAAAGGAUGAACAUGGAAAAUUUGUUCAUCAAAUGUUAAGAUUCAUAUCCACCUUAUUACUUUGUAACUUAACCAUCAGAUAAACAAUUUUCCAAUUCACUCCUUUCCGUCGUUCAUAACAAGCAGAGCCUUAGGGUUUAGAAAAAUUGUCAAGAAAAUACCUAUUCUUCAGUAAUUUCACUGAUAAAUUUAGCUUAAAACUAAUAAUUUUCAGAGCAAAGUUCAGUAUUGAAGCAUAAAACAGACAACGAAUAAAGUACCAAUAAAUUGGUUGAAAAUCCAAUUCUUAAAUUAAAAAUAAAAAAAUAAAUAUAUUUUCCCUUCCAAAAAUAAUACUUAAUUCACCCCCAUUUUUCCUUUAAGUUCUCUUUUUUCUCAGCAAUAAAAUAAAAACAAAUACCUAACAAGAAAUAAAUAAUUUGAAAAAAAAAAGGUAAAAGAGAAAUUGAGCGCACAGAGAGCGAGGAAGCACGGGAGCUGAAGUGGCGCACGUGGGGAGACCGGCGGAGGGAAUCACCGCCGUCCAAAUCAUGCCUCUGAUUGUGAUGACUGAGAUGAUUCCGGCGAUGGUAAUUCCGUUCAAUUGAGGACCCAAUCCCUGAAUCCGGAUCGGGUCGACCCACUCUUGACCUUCGUGUGUAGAAUAACUCCGAAGCGCUUGUCAUCCAACUAAAACCCCCAAAUGGUGUUUUGAUCUGAUCUUACCAAUUAAAAUUUAUUUUUAAUUUCUCCAAAAAAAAUUUAAAUAAACAUGCAAAUUGUAAUUUGGAUUAAGAAAUAAAGGAAGAGAAGCUGAUGAACCCUACGAAGAAACGCGGGAGAAAUUCCUGCGAAUGAAAAUCGAUAGCCUUAGCUUCAAAGGAAAUGAAUGGAAAGGGAUGUGCGUUUUUUUAACCCUAAAUGGUUUAAUUCCGGUUUUAGUCCCCCUCCUAAGCUAAAAUGUAAUAUUUAAUCUUAUAUUUUAAUUUUAUAUACUUUCGUCUUUGAUAUUAAAGAAUAAUAUUUGAUACACCGCAAAUACAUUAUCAUCGAACAAUAACAUGAUACUUGAGUAUAAACAAAAUUAGUGAAAGAAUUAUCAAUAAAUAUUAACAAUUUUAUUUAGUUUUUUUUUUAUUUUUAAAUUUCACAUUUCGAAUUUUAGAUAUAUUUAAAUAAAAUUAUUAAUAUUUAUUUAUAAGUCAUUCAUUAUUUUUUAUUUCAUUAGCAUUGAGGUGUCGUGUUAUUAUUCAUUAAUGGUUGACGAUUUAUUUUUAUUAAUUUUUAUCAUUAUAACGAUGAUGUGAAAUCUUUUAUUGACAAUUUUGUUAUGGUCAAGGUAGCCAUAAUAUAUGUUUUUUAAUACAAAUUCUGGAUAAUAAUUAGUAAUAUUAAGAAAGUAAAAAAAUUAAAUCAUGUUAAAUUAAUCGAGGUUUAAGGGUGUAAAAGCUCUUCAAUUUUUUCAAAAAAGCAAUUAAGUCUUUACUUUUUUCACUCAAUUGAGUACUUUAACUUUUAAAAUGCAUAAAAAAGGACCUUCAAACUUUUUCAAAAAAAAUUAAGCCCCUACUUUUUUUUACACUCAAUUUGGCACUUGAACUUUCAAAAUAUAUAUAAAAAAAAACCUUCAAGCUUUUUCAAAAAAAGCAAUUAAGCCCAUACUUUUUUUUUACUCAGUUGAUUGGGUAAUUAAAUUGUCAAAAUGCAUAAAAAAUAACAUUUGAUUGUUAACUUUAACAGUUAACCGUUAAAAUUAACUGCCCCUAAUUUUUUUCAAUUAAAAUCAUCCCGUGUCACAACCACAACAUGACAUAUGACAAAACAAUUAUAAAAAAUAAAAAUCAAUACAAGUUAUAAAAAGUAUUAAACUUUAAUAAAAAUAUAAAAUUUAUUAAAAUUGUAAAAUUUUAUAAAAAUCAUAAAUAAUUAUAAAAUGUAUCAAAAAGGCCCUUUAACCAUCAAUUUUUACCGUUGACUGUUAAAGUUAACGACCCCCAAUUUUUUUCUAAUUAAAGUCAUCACGUAUCGUAAUACAGUGUGGCAUGUGGCAAAAAUGAUAAAAAAAAAUAAAGAACAAUUAAAGUUAUAGAAAAAUUAUAAAAUGCUUGUUUAAAAAUUAUAAAAUACUUCUUUUGGUACGAUAAUUUUUAUAUUUUUUUAUAAAUUUUAUAUUUCUUUACAUUUUUUUAUAAUUUUCUUACAAUUUUUAUAAUUGUUUAUGAUUUUUAUAAUUUUUUUUCUAAUUUUUAAUAUUUUUAUAUUUUUAUUAAAAUUUAAUGAUUUUUUAUAAAUUUUAUUUAUUUUUAAUUUUUAUCAUUGUUUUGCCACAUUUCACGCCAUGGUUGUGACACAAGAUAACUUUAACUGAAAAAAUUAGGGUCAGUUAACUUUAACGGUUUGAUUAUUAAAUUUAACAAUCAAAGGGUCUUUUUUUUAUGCCUUUUGGCAGUUCAAAUACCCAAUUUAGUGUAAAAAAAAUAAAGGUUUAAUUGAUUCUUUUUUUAAAAAAAAAGUUUGAGAGUCUUUUUUGUGCAUUUUGACAAUUCAAGUACCUAAUUGAGUAAAAAAAAAGAACAAGGGUUAAUUAAUUUUCUUGAAAAAAUCUUGAAGAUUUUUUACACCCUUAACCCAUUAAUCAACCAACUGUGUCAUUGAAAUUUGAUGAUUUGGGAAAAUAUCUUGUGAAUAUCAAUUAGAGAAAUUAAAUCUGAAUUUCAAUAUAUUAGAGGGACUAAACCCAGAAAUUUACCGUGAAAAAGAAAAGGUAUAUCUUUAUGUGUUAGUUGAAGGACUAGUAUUUAGAUGUAGCCACGCGUUAAACAAAGUGUUCCAUUACAUCAACAUAGAAUUUAUUUUCCUUCAAUAAGAUUUUUUGCGUUGACUGUUGACCAUGGAAAAACUAUAAAUCAAAUUAUUAAUUGAAAAUGAUAUAUAUUCCUUCAAUGAGAAUCUUUUUAUUACCUUAAGUCGAGAAUUUGAUUCUCACCUUGUAUAUGGAGUAGUUUUAGAACUCGUAACUUAAUAUCUACCUCUUAAUAGACCUACAGAAUAGAAAAGAUUAGUUACUAUCUAACUUCAAUAAAUACAUUGAAAAAUAAAAAAAAUCGAUAUUAAAUGAAAUAGACAUAAUAGAUUUCUAAAGUCAACUUUGGUCAAUAUAAAUAGAAAAACUAAAUGAAAUUUGGUUUAGGUAAAUUUUGGGUUCAGAUUAAAUUUAAAAUUUAGUUAAUUUUUAUUUAAGUUAAUUAAGUUUGAUUGUAAUUUUUGAAGGUUUGGUGAUUGGGAUUUAGAUUAUUUCGGGUUAUAAUUACUUUGAGUUUAAGACAUUUUAAGUUAUUUAUUCGGGUCAUGUCUAAUUAUUUAUUUGAAUUGUUUCAAGUUUGGAUUAAUUUGGGUCGAUUUCAUAUUUAGGUUAGACAAAUCAAUUUUCAAGAUAUGAACUAGAGUUGUCUAUAAGCCAAGUCACCUAGUCUGGCCCGAAGGCUCGUCGGCAAAUAGGAGGAUUUUAACAAAAAAAUAUAUGUCCAAAAAUGAGAUUGGACAAAAAAUAAGGCUCGUUUUAAAAAUGGGUCGAGCCUCGGGUAAGGUAUUUUUUUACCCUGGCCUGACCUAGAUUUUACAAUAAAAAAAUUGUUGUUUUGCUACCAUUUCACUAUUAUGUUGUUUCAAUUUGUUGAAAAAUAUUUAUUUUAAUAUUUUUUGUGUAUUAUAUUUUUAAUUUUUUUUUAUAUAAAAAAAUUAAUAGUGUCAGACCAUACCCGGGUUUUAGUAUUUUUAUCCAAGCCAGGCUUGGACAAAAAUUUAAGCUCAUUUUUUUGGGCCAAAUUGGGCCCAAAAAUUUAUCAGGACCAACCUAAUUCGACCAUGGACAAGUUUAUAAAAUAGCUAUUUAUAUAUAAAAAAAAAAUUGUCCAUGAGCUAUUUACUAUUUAGAGUAUUUAAAUAUGUCGAUUGAGAUUUAAUUCUUUUUAUUUUGAGAGGUGGAAUAAAAUAAUUCAAUUAAAGUGUAAUGAUGAUAUACCUAUAAUGCAUUAUAUGUCCCAUUCUUCUAUCUUUUUAGGGAGUCAAUGAUUAUUUAUAGCUAUUAUCUUUAUAUCAAAAAAACAAUUCGACUCAAUAAUUAACUACUUUUGCUAGAUUGAUUUUUGAUUAGAUUAAUAUGUUUUUAGUCAAUUUAAAUUUUAAAAAUUUUCAAAUUAUUUCAAUUUCGAUUAGUUUUAACUUUAGAUCAAUUCUUAUUCAAUUAUAUUUUAGACUCAGAAUUAAAUGGAUCGAAUUAUCAGAUUUAAUGAUUUGUAUGUAAAAUUUUAUUUAAAAUAUUUUAAAUACCACUCUAACACAAUUACAUAAUUCAUAGAUUAUAUAAUUUGAAAUUAUCAUUACACACCACCAUUGAUAAUUUCAGCUUGUAAGUCCUAAUAUUUUAUUCAAAUUUCAUAAAAACCCUUCCUUAUCUCCAUGACUAAUUUUGUUUGAUCAUCACAUAUUUGCAUGGGAAUAGUGGUCAUCAUGAACCGAAGACUCCGGUUUAUCAACACCGUCGACGCUUCGAACCCAGAAACUUGAACCGAAAGAAGCCGCCCGGUCCGGAACGUCAUCCAUCACCCAUUCAUGGCCUUUCGGGAAAUAUAUCCCACUCUUUGGAUGUGGAACCCAACUCGAUGAACUUUUUAUAUCGUCGUUACUCUUGCACUUCUUAUUGAUCUCCCGAUCUGCGCCUGCAAUUUUGCUCAAUGGUCGCUCAACGCGUUUUGCUUCCCUACACCCGAAUAAAGUUUCCAAAAGUCAAACAUAUUUAUUAAGUUCAUAAUGAUUUGCCUCUAAAUUUUGUACUUUUGUAUGGUUUUUUUUUGGUAAAAAUUUUAAUUUUUGGCUUUUCUAAAUACAAAACAAAUUUCAAAUUUCAUUUUUGACCAAACAAAAACAUCUCAAAAUCAUGGCUCAAACUUUAAAACGAUCCCUAAAUUUUAAAAUGUUCUAAUUGAAUCUUUAAAAAUAAAGUAUACCUAAAACACGUUUUAAAUAUGCUCUACAUCAAACAUAAACUAACAUUUAACACCCAGAUAGACAGCGAGAGUGACAAAAAAAACUUGGUUAAUACGAUACUAAUAUUUUUAGGACCCAAUUAAACCAUUUUAAAAUUUAAUGACUAAUUUAAAAUUCAUUCUAUAGAUUAAGAAAAUCUGUUGUAAUCAACCCAAAUAAUAACGACAACAUUACGUACCUUAGCAUCAAAAUCUUGGUUUUGGUAAAAGCAGCUCUUCCCAUGCAAUGCAGCUCUUUAAAACCCCUCAAAAAAGGACUCCAAUGCAAUUAUCUAGGACUUGAUCGUUUGUUUUAUAGAAUGCUUUCGAAAGUGCAGUUUUUGUACUUCAAAUUGUAUCCGAACGAAUGAAUAAAGGUUUGACGAAUAAGUUCGAUUGUGAAGGUCCUAAGAAAAUUAAAAUUUUAGAAUAUUAUAUUUCGGAAUUUCGUCUUUUUAUUUUAAGAAAUUUAAUCAUUUUAUAUUUUUCGGAUUUAAGUAUACAGGUCCAAUUAUUAUUAAAAGUGAUUCGACUAAAAAAUUAAAAAAUAUUUCGAAUUUCAAGUUAAUUGAAUUGAGUUAUUCGAUUUUUUCGAGUCAACUAGAAUAAGUAAUUCGAGUUCGAGUCGAGUUGAAUUUUACAAUUCGAAUAACAGAUUAAUGUGAAUACCCAUUUGAUCCCUGUCAAUUUUAAAAAUAGGUAAAUUUAUCUCUCAACAAAGUUUACAAAAAAAAAUCAAAAUAAUUUUCAAAAAAUUUUAAAUAUAAUUUUUAAAAUUCAGAAUAUUUAUAAAAUAUCAAAAUUGAUAUUUAAAAAAUUUAUAAAAAUUCUAAAUAUAAAAAAAAACUUAAUUUUUUUAAAAAUAAUAAUUUUUGGAAAAUUUAACUAUUUAAGUUUAUCAUACUAAAAUAUCUUCUUCUUUUUUUUCUUAUUAUGCUUUGAAAGAAUUUUCAAAUUUAUAUGUUCUAACAUUGAAUUAGUUAUAUUGUAACAAUAUUUUAAUUUGACAUUUUUUUUUAAUUUCACUUGAUUUGGAAAAUAUUCAAAUCGAGUUAGAAUGAUAAAAUGGGACUCGUCAACUCGAUUAACUCAAAAGUUUUUCACUUGAUUCGAUCGAAUGCUCACCCCAAACUAAUAUCAUAAAAAUUCUUUUGUUAAAUUUAGAUUCGUUACAAUAUUAAUUUUUUUAUUUUAUGACUAUCAAAUUUGUUUUUUUUUUCUUUUCAUUUCAAGGUGUCACAGUAAUGAAUUUAAUAGAAUAAUUUUAACAAUAUUAACAAUUAAUUUUUUUUUGACAUUUAAAAAAUAAAGAAACUAAAUUCUUAAAAAAAAAACCAAAUUUACGAAGAAUCAAAUUGGAAAAUAAAGAGAUAAAUAUAUAUUUUUUGGUGCUUAUGUUUAUCUUUGAUUUUAAUUUUGCUAUUUAUAUAUUUUUUUUUCAAAUUGGUACUUAUGUUGUUUUUAAAUUACACAAAAUGGUAUCAAAUUUAUUAUCUGACGUAUGGAAUGAUGAUGUCAUAAUAACAUUUGGGAAAUUAUAAAAAUUUAUAAAAAAUAUGUAUUAAAAAUUCAAAAUAUAAAAAAUUAUAAUGUUUGAUACCAAAUAAAAAUAACAUAAAAAUCAAUUUUUUUUAUAUAUUUUCAUAUUUUUAUAAAAAGAGUAUCAUUUUUUUAUGAAAAUAUAAAAUCAAUUAUUUUUAAUAAAAAUAACUUUUUUAUAAAUUUUAUUAAAAAUUUAUAUCAAAAUCAUGAAAAUAUUCAUCAAGUCACAAAAAAGAAUUACAAUUUCUUACCCGAAAUAUAUAUUUUAUAUUUCCAGAAUUUUUUAGAUUUUUUUUAUUUAAUUUUUGGAUAAUGACAUCAUCAUCAUCACAUAUUAAAUAAUUAUUGGACCACAAAAUAAAAGUUAGCAUCAUUUAACUUAGGUACCAUUCUGUGUAACAGUAGUCAAACGUGGGUACCAAUUUGAAAUAAAAAAAAGGACCAAAAUGAAUAUUAAGAUCAAAUACAUGUACUAAAGAAUAUAUUUAUUUUUUCAUUAAAAUAGUUUAAAUUAAAUUAUUAUUUUUUGAGAGAAGUCAAAAAUGAAAAUUUUCAUUUAAAAAGAAUUAAAAUAUUAAAUUUUAGGAGGGUCCAAGGAACCAAAGCCUCUAACUGCCGUUAGUUUGCCAUUGUCAUUAUCAAUUUACUCGCCCUGAGAGGAGUUUAGCGGCGAAGCUUGGGGAUAAUUUGUGGCCUUGACCCUCUUAAAUUUAAAUAAUUCAAUUUAAUCUCUUUCAGCCCAUUUAUUAAGGAGAGGUCAACUUCUUUAAGAAAAGUUUAUGAAGUAUGAUUCAUUAAAAGCUAGCGAACAUCCCAAUAAAUCGAUAUUAUUUCAAUUGAAUUUUUUAUCUCCCAAUUUUACGAAGAAUUAAUGGGUUCACAAAAUGAAUAUAUCUUAUUAGAUGUCUAAUAAGACAAAUCACAUACAUCGCAUCGCACUUGAUAUCAUAUACGACAUCGAAAAGCUAGUAUAUUACCACUUAAACUAAACACCUAUUUAUUAUGAAAUCUGUUGCUUCGAAUAAACGAGAAAUAACAAAUUUCUCCCGAAAAAAUCGGCCCCUAUCGUUUCCUCUUUUUCAAAAGUAAAUCUUAAUUCGCUCAGGUGAUUUGGAAUAUUGAGAUUUUUUUAGUGAAAAGAGUGGCAAGUUGGUGUGACACCUAAGGUCACUUUAACAUAUAGCUCUAAAUUCUAGAGACACUGUGAAUCGUUACUUCAGCAUAUGCCUCUUGUUUUUUUUCCUUCUUUCACCAGAAUAUAUUCAAUGCAAAGAACUUAUCUCUUACACAUUUGAUUGUUGGUUAAAUUCGAGUUUUAGUCCCUAUAUUAUACUUCCUUCCUGUUAUCGAUGUUAUACUUUAGUCUAAAUCCAUAAUAUCAACACAACUCCAAAUUCAUUAUAUCAUUUAAACAUUAAAAUUAUCUAUUUAACUUGUGAUUUAAAUAAAAAUUAAAUUAUGGUAUAACCACGAUGUGGAUAAAAAAUAAAAUUAUGUGUUAAUUAUAUUUGUAAAAGAAUGAAAUUUUAAUUAAAACGAUAAAGUUUAAAUUUACUUUAUAAUGCAAUGAUAUUUGAGUCAUUAUCCAAUUGAAUUAGUGCCUAAUAACUCGUAACACCAAUUUAAUUAAUUAUGCACAACAUUAAGUUUUAUUAUCUUUCUUUCUUUAAUAGAUUACAGUCAGUUACUUAAAAAAAUUACAGUUAAUUAUUAUUUUAUAAGGUAAACUAUCAAAAUAGUCAUUUUUGUUUCUCUCAUAUUACAUUUUGGUCACUUAUGUUUGAAAUGUUAAGUUUUAGUCACUUACAUUUAUCGUAUUAUAACAUUUUAGUCACCGAGCGUUUAUUGCCGUUAGCAAUAUAACAAUAAAGCUGAUGUGACACGUUAAAUCAUCAAUUCAAACGAAAAUUUUAAGUUAAAUUAUACAAUUGGUCCCUAUUUAUUUUGAGCAAUUUAUUUUUUUAUAUUCUUUGAAUUUUCUUUUUUCUUUUUUAUUUUCCGUUCUCUUCUGUUUCUCCCUCUAUUUUCUUCCAUUCCCUGUCUUUUUUAACGUAAAUUUUCUAUGUUUUUCAUUUCUUAAAAUUUAUCUAUUUUUUUUCUUUUAUGUACUUCUACGUUAAAAGAUAUGGAGAAGUGGUGAAAAUAGAGGGAGAAGUAGAAUAGAAUGAAAAAAAAAAAGAAAGCUAAAAGAACAUAAAAGUAAAAAUAUGGGGAUUAAUUGUAUAAUUUAAUUAUUUGAAAUGAUGAUUUAACAUGUCACAUCAGCUUACCGUUAACAACAAUUAACGGCUCAGUGACUAAAAUGUUACAACACAUUAACAUAAGUGACUGAAAUGUAACAAUUGAAACAUAAGUAACUGAAAUAUAAUAAUUGAAACAUAAGUGACUAUUUUAAUAAUUUAUCCUAUUUUAUAUUAUAUGAAAUAAUAUUAUAACUGCUAUUUAUUUUAAAAUAUUAAUUAAUAAAAUCACGUUUCUAACUUGGUAGUUAUAAACCAACGAAUUUAGGCAAUAAGAAACUAAUAUUUAGUAGAAAAGGGUAAUUAGCACCUCAAAGACAAAGCCAGUGAGUAUUUUUUUUUUUUAAUCGAAAGCUCCCUUCCAUAUAUAUUUUGAUUUUAUUUAAUUUCUUCGUAUUUAAAUAAUCAAUGGUUUGUCGAUUGAGUCUUAACUCUAUUGACAUAGACAUUAUUGUUAAUGUAGGAGGACGUGAGUUCGAAUGUACUAAAACGUAUUAUCCUCCUAUUUAUGAAUUGAAGAGAGACUAGAGCAGAUAUAAUGAGAACUUAUAAUGAAAUUGUUCAGAAAAUCAAACUCACUAUUGAAUAGGAGAUUAAAUAAUAUAAAAAAUAAAUAAAUAAUAAUAAUUAUUUCGAAAAUAUCUUACAAAAUAAAACAUAUCUUCAAAUCCCAACAAGAAGAAUAUAAAUAAUAUUUAGUUUGGUCAAUCACGAAAAGAACUUAGAUUUUAACAGAAUAUAUUAAUUUUUAAAAAUAAAAAAACCAAAUUUUUUUUAGAAUAUAAUUUUUUUUAAAAGGAAAGAAUAUUAAAAAGAAAACAAUUGUCAUAAUUGAACUACUCUUUAAAUAUGUCUGGUUAAAUUGAACUGUAUAUGACCAUGAGAUCUUUGGUCGAUUUUAAGAGGUCUCGAACAAUUUAGAAGGAGAAAUCAAAUCUUCUGUUACUUAUAAAGUUCACAUUAUUCGGUUUGCGCAAAUAAAGUUUAUAUGUUUAGUUGGACUUUGAAUGAUUACAAAAAAUUCAUUCAUAAAGUUUUAUCUCAUCAAGUGAUUUUUUAGAGAGAUGAUCAUGUAUUGUAAUACAUUUGAAGGAAUAAUUCGGAUUUGACCGUGCAUUAAAGUAAGUAUAGGGUUUUGUUUUUAUCUUAGUUAGAAUGAAAUAAAUAUAAAAUCAAAUAAUUAUAGUAUCAUAACAGUACAUCGUGCGAUUUGGAGACCCACAUAUAUAAUUGCGUGUAGUGAAUUUUGAAUUUGGGUACUUAAAGCUAAUAACUUAUUGAAAUAUAUGGGAUAAUUUACACCAAGAUGAUGUUUGAACAAAAAUUUAGAAGGAUGAGCAUUUGGUACACCGGUAGUGUACUCUUUUUAUUUAAUAAGUAGUCUUAAAAAUUGCCAUGUGUCUCUUUUUUUAAAUAUAUAUAUUAAUAUUUUAUUUUACCCUUAUAGGAUACUCGUCAACCUCUUGACGCUACUUGUGAAGUCUAAAAACUCUAUUGACAUUGUAUUUAGGGUGUAAUAAAAUAAUAAUUAAAUAAUUAAAAAUGACACUUAUAUCAUCUUAAACUCGCUUGUGGAGUUUUUUUUUUUUUUUACUAAUAAUUACCCAUAAUUUAAUAGAAUAAUAUUUAGUACAUUAUGAAAUUUUUAGACUGCACAAGCAAAAUUACGAGAUUGACAAAUGUCCUAUAUCUAAACUUUACAAAUAGGGUCAUGAGGUUAUAAUAGAAUUGAAUAGAGUUUUGAAUUAGGUGCAAUAGUACCUACAAAGCCAUAAAUGUUGCUUUGCAAAUUGGGGGUUUGGUUGGAAGGAGAUGCAUUAUACAUAUUGAGGAAACUUACUCAAAUGAGAAAGACGUAUCUCUUGAGACAAGCUAACCAACUUGUGCUCUACUAGUAUCCCGAUCUUUCUUUAACAGCUCAACUACUCAAGAUAUAUUUUUACUUUGAGUAAAGAAAUUUAUAAAUCAUAUGACCGCUAGAAAAAAAAAUGAGAAAAUCCGCCAACAACUCUCAUCACCUUUUAUCGCUAAGGUCUUAAAUAUAAGAUGUUGAGAUUUGUAAGAAGUUUUUUUUUUAAUAUUUUAUGUCUAGAUUAAUUUUGAUUUUAAUUUAUGAUUAAUUGUGUCUUAGGCCGUGUGAGCAUUCGAAAUAGGGAUAUACAGUCGUGUCCCAACCCGUAUGAGUAAAUUGACUUGGGUCACACGGCCUAAGACAUGGAUGUGUCUCACGGCCUGGUCACACAGUUCUGUGAUCCCUGCAGUGUUGAAAAUUUUAAGUUUCUGAUUUAGUCCCAAUUUGUUUCUAAUGUGUAUUUUGGACCUCGAGGGCUCGUAUAAGAGACAAUAUAUAUGAUUUUGAUCAGUUUUUGACAUGAAUGCUAUAUGAUAUAAAAUGUUUGCAUUUUCUGUCUAUUUGAUUUGUAAACUCCAGUAAUGCUCCGUAACUCUGUUCCGACGAUAGAUUCGGGUUAGGGGUAUUACAGUGUGGGCUCGAACCAAUUGAAUUGAAACACAGAACUAGAAAAAGUUUUCUCUCUUUUUGGGGUGAAAACGAAAAUUCUCUUUUCUUAAUAGAAAACGAUAGAAUUGUUAUUCCGGAAAAAUAUAGAUAAUAGUUAAGAAUAAACUCUGUAUUUUUUGAUAAAAAUAACGAUAUCUUAAAGUUGUCUAAAUAGCUCUAUCGGUGCCAUUUAUUUAUACGAGGAGAAAGUAAAACCUUUGAUGAGUUGUAAUGGUUUAUUUCAAAUAGAAAAAUAACUUCCUACUUAGAAUAGGAGACAUGUGUACAACACACCCUAGUAUUCCUAAAAGGUUGUCGCCCCCUUCAUGUCACAUGAGAGGUUUUAGGCCUCUCUUACAUCAGGUCCAAGUACGAGUACUUCUUAGGCCUUUUUAAUCUAGUACUCUGUAAUGUGAUCCAACUUGAUUCAGUUUUUCUAUUUUCUAAAAUAAACUUUAAUAUUUAUAUAUAAACAAAGUUCUCAUCCCUAUUUUAUCCCUACCAAAAUUUUGAUAAUUUUGCCUCUGGUAAAAUUUCGAGAAAAUAUGUUCAAUAUUUCACAACUCAACACGUUCACUAUAACCGAAUGGUUUAUUUUCACUUUCGGGCUUCAAAAUAGUCCAAAAAGAUAGACUCAUUCUUCCACUAUUUUUUAAGUAAUCCAUAUAGGAUUGCAAAUUUUUAUUUUUAUUUUUAUUUUUAUUUUCAUUGAAACCUACAUUCAUUUCCAAAUGAUUUCAUUUCUCCAUUUUGAAAAAUAACAUAAUCAUUCAUGAAUGUUUCCUAUUUCUCUUUUUCUAUUCAUUCCGUUCAUUUCUAUUCAAAGACACAAUUCAUAUCUGGAUUCAACAAGCUAACAAAGGGAUUGAUUGGAUAUAUGUAGUUGAAGAUCAAAAGAUUUAUAAUUAAGUUCCAGCUUUUUGUCUAUUAAUUAUAAACUCAUUUAGUCAAGAAGUCAUUCCACUAUAAUAUCGUAACUGAGCUCUCCUCAAUGACAUACCGUUAUGAAAGCAACUACACAGUACUUGUCCAAUAACCUUAUCAUAAAUGUGAUACCCUUAUAGGAUAUCAUAGAUCUUUUUAGGAUAAUAUUUGUUCUCCUAAUAUUAUAUUAUUUUAUAUAAUGGUAAUCAUUACAUCUUUCUUCAUGAAAAGUCAAUCACUAUCAAAUAGUGAUCAAGUCAUCUAUCAGAAAAAUGGACGACUUGUGACCACGUUUACUUUUCAUCAACCAUGUAAUGCCAAAGAGAGGAUAUCAUCUACCCAUGUAUGAAUGACGCUACAUACUAAAAAAAUUCGUACAUCCAACACACCAGCUUUUGGUUCCUUAUCUAUUUGAACUCAGGCUUUUACUUAUGUCAAAGUGUACAACUCACACAUACAUAAUCCACUAUCCACUCUGGAUUUAGGUAUGUCACACUAUGAACGUCACAAGUGAAUAAAUCCAUAAACGGAUUCAGGAUGUAUCCUGCUUUGGUUUUGUUCGAUGUACUGCUAGUCCAGUCAGUCACAUCUAUGUCUUUAUCUUUUGCGAGUCAUCCACUCUGAUGCUUAAGACAAGACAUCUCCAAAAUUGGACUUAAUAGACGACGUAUUAUCCUUUCAACCAGUUUGCUCAUUUUUCAUGUAAUACCUCGAAAAUUUCUAUAGUAAAAUAUUAUCCUUGAUAUAGAAAAAUAAGGAAAUAAGUGAUAAAAAGGGAAGUUUUGAGUUAUGACAACAUUGGCAAGUAAAUUAUGAUAUCUUGGUCCAGGAAAGGACUAAAAGUUUUGUUGCACAAGAGUAAAUACUCAAAAACUUGAGGGGUUAAAAGGUAAAUAUGAAAAAGUUUAAAGACCAAUAAUGCAAAUAUUUUAAGGGUGGAAUGAUAUAAAAACUAAGGAAAAUGGAUGAAUUAGGACCAAAUUAAAUAAGUAAAGAAUUAUGAGAGACUAAAUUAUAAUUUUAUCAAAUUAAAUGAUGACUCAAGGAUGAAAUUUUAAAACAUAAUCAAGGAUAAUAUGGUCAAUUAGAAGGAGAGAGAAAUCUAGAGACAAUGAUGAUGUUGGAGAUAUUUUAGAUAAAUUAAAUAAAUAAAUAUUAGUUUAUUAAUACUUUAAAUUGAUUUUUAAAUGAUAUUUGAUUAUUUAAUUAUUAUUUUAUUUAAUAUAUAUAUGUAAGGAAAGAAAGAAAAGGAUGAUCAUUUUUCCCAUGCACUAAUGUGCGAGAAAGAGAGAAAGAAAGGAACUUUUGUUUUCUUUACAAUUUGGUCCUUCUAUAAAAAAUUCAUCAUUUUCACCCAAAAAUCAAAAGAAUUUUCAUAGCUACCAAGAGAAAAAAAUGUUAAGGAGACUAUGGGAAGUUAGAAUAUCAAGUUGGAUUCAAGAAAUGGAAGCUGAAGGAGAGAGAAAAUCAAGAUGAAGAUUGAAAUCAAUAGAACAAGGUAAGAACAUCAUGAUUUCAAUAUAUUUUUAAGUUUGAUAUUAUUGAAAAAGCACGGAAUUGAUGUUAAUGUAGAGUUUUCUUAUAUAUGGACCUAUGUUCUUGACAUGUUAGUGAAGAGAAAAUAAGAGAAAGUAAUGAGAAAUAGUGUAGAGAAAGAAAAUAAGGGUGUUAUAAACAUGGUAAAUAAACAUAUUGCACUAAAACAAUUUUAGACAACAGCAGUAGGUUAACUUUGAAAAAUCACCAUAAAUUUUGAAAAAAGAAUUAGAGGAUGAAAAAAUAUGGAAUUAAAUCUUAUUCAGUCUAUUUUCUUAUAAAAGAAACCGUGUAAGAAAUAGAAUUUUGAAUUAUGAGAUAUAAUAAAUUUUAUGAGACAAUGUUAGAAUGAUUUUGGGUUCCCCUAUUCUAACUUUGGAAAAUCAUAAAAAAUUAAAUAAAAAUAAUUAUGGGAUUAAAUUUAUAUUUUUAGAAUCCUGAAUGAGUCUAUUUUCAAUAGAAACAAACAAGAACAUUAUUCUAAUCUUGUACAAUGAGAUAAUUAAUUUUUAAUGAAGAAGGGUUGGAACUGUCAGACUUCAGAAUAGGGGUAACUUUAAAGAAUAAACUGUACUUAUUGGCUAAACCAAAAAUUCUAAAAAUUUUAUGGUAAGAAUAUAUGUGAGUCUAGUUUUAUGUAAAAUUAAUGAAUCUUAAUUUGGAGUUCUGUAUCUUAAGAUAAAAAUAAUUUAGUGACUAUGACAAGCUUUGAAUAUACAUAUAAGUAAAUAGUGAAAUUAUAGAUAAUGUUACUUAUAAGCAUGUUAUAUACAUUAAGGAUGUGGAAUGGAGAGGAGGGGGAGGAAAAUAUAUAUGAAUAUUCAGCUAGUAUGGUUAAUUUACAUGUUUUAGGCUCAAGGACUAAAUUGAAUAAAAGUAAAACCUUAGGGGGAAAUUUUGUAAAAAUGUCAAAAAUGACCAAGUUGAAGGGAAUGAAUUAUUUUAUUAUCUAAAUUAAUAAAUUAAAUUAAAUUAUUAAUUUAAGAUCGGGUGAAAGUUGAGAAAAUAGUAAAUUACCAAAAUGCCCCUAAAUCUUGGUAUUUCUGCAAUUUAGUCAGGUAGAUUCGUAUAACUUGAAUGAGCAUUUAAAUAUGUCAAUUUAAAUAUUGUAUUGUAUUUUAUAUGAUGUUUGAAUUGAAUAUAUGAAAUGUAUGGAUGUUGAAAUGAUAGAAAUAAUACAUGUUUUGAAACUACUUGAAAGGGAUAAAAUCUGUUUGAAUAUUGGGUUCUGGAUGGAUAUAGGUGAUUUCCCAAAUGAAAGAGUUCCUGCAUGUGUUGCAGAAAUAGAUAACCCGGACUGUUAAUCUGGCAAAAGCCUUCUCGAGAAUAUAAAGUGGAUAGGAUUCGUUCCUGAUUCACUAUAAUACCUCAAAGUGGAUAGGAUUUGUUCCUGAUUCACUAUGAUAAUUUAAAGUAAAUAGGAUUUAUUCUUGAUUCACUAUGGUAACUUAAGGUGGAUAGGAUUUGACCUGAAAAGGGUAAUCCUGAUUCCCUACGGUUACGCGAUAUAUGAUUCCUUAUGAUUACUUAAGGUGGGUAGGAUUUGACCUGAAAAGGUAAUCCUGAUUCACUACAGUUACAUGAGAUAUGACUUGAGAAAGUGCUUGAUGAUUAAACAUCCUAAGGGUUAUUUCUGAAUAUGAAUUUAUGGAAUAUGGAAAUGUACGCUUUGAAUGUACUGUUGAAAAAUCCAUCCGAACUCCAAUGAUCUGAAUAUGAAUUGAUGGAAUAUGAAAAUGUACGCUUUGAGUGUACUGUUGAAAAAUCCAUCGGAACUCCAAUGAUUCAACGGAUAGAAUAUUUGAUAUGAUAUGAGAAUUAUAAUAUGAAAAAGAUGUUACGUGAAACAUGAAAAUGAAUACCAAACGAUAUAAAUUAAUUGAAAUUAUUUUGAAAAUUUCGAUAAUACCUCAUAUCCUAUACCGAUCUCGAGUACCGGUAUGGGGUGUUACAUUAUAUUAGACUAAAGACAUGUUUAGGUUCGUUUAGUAAUACAAGUUGUCUUUCUAUACUACGAUCUGACCACGUAAUACUGCUUAAUAUUAGUUAAAUAUUUAGACAACCAAUGAGUAACAUUUGCUUCUAUUUUGAUUUACGUGCAAAAACCAUUUGAGAACAAAAUACAAAGUAAAUUAAUUUAAUUUACGAAUAAUUUUAUUAAUCAAUCUGUUCGGAAAAUUACAAUUUUACAAAUAAAUACAGUACACUCAAGACACCAAAUCUUGUUAGAAAAAUGAGUUUGAAAAACGUAUCAGAAAAUAAAUUUAUGGAAAAAUCAAAGUUUUAAAAUUUUUUCCAAAACAAGAUCUUGGUUAUAAUAUCUAAAGUAAUAAACACUUAAUAAAAAUUGUACUUUUUCGAUUCGUCUAAGAUGAGUGCUUCGACCGAGUAGUCUUUUUCUUUAUCCUCAAGCUCACGUCUGUCGAGUGUGAGCUUGCUUCGAAUCAGAAAAUUUUUCACAAAAAUUACCAGUGUGGUAAUUUUAUAAUUUCUCUAAACUUUUGGGUUAAGUUGUAAAUCAGAAAAAUAUUUGUAGAAAUUUUUUGAAAUAAUCUCUUCAGAGAAUUUUCUCUCUACAACUUUAUCUUGAAUUCAAAUAUGUGUAAAUAAUGACCCAAGAUUCUAUUUAUAUAGGGAGAGUUCAGAGAGUUCAACUAUGAUUAAACUUAAUUACUUUAAUAUUAAAUUUAAUAUAAUAUUUAUUAAGAUAAAUAUUAGAUUAAAUUUAAUAUUAAAUCUUAUUAAAAUAAUCGAAUGUUUAUUUAUAGGAUAAACAUUAAAUUAAAUUUAAUAUUAAGAUAAUUACUUUAAUAUUAAAUUAAUAAAACACUAUUAAGAUUAGUAUUAAAUUAAAUUUAAUAUUAAACUAUUAAAAUAAUAUUAUUUUUUGAAUAAUUAAUCUGAAAUCAAAUUCUCUAGUAGAAUCCCAGUAAGAGCGUAACUCUUCCACUGCUCAACCACUGACGACCAACCGCUGCCGACCACUGGGACGCUGCCGUCGUAGCCACCGAUACUAUAGUGUCCAGUGAUGCAAGUGUGACACCCUUACAGCACCCCCAAUAGGUUCAACUGUUAUCGGUUCAAAAAUUAAUUUAAUUUUACUUGAUCAGAACUAAUUUUUUCAAAAAUCAUUUAGAUUUUUCAAAUUAAAUUUAAAAAAAAAAUUCUUUAAUCAAAUUCUCUAGUUGAACAAUUCUCACGACCACUUAAUUUAAUUCCACGUCGAAUAAAUCGACUCAAUUCAAUUAUUCCCAAAGUCGUAGAAUUUUCUUUUAGUCCAAAUGCAGUCCAAUCGAACAUUUGUUGAGCUAGUAGAGGGACCAAUCAGACAUAUACAAUUAGGCUUUAGUGAUUGCAAUUAUAUCCAGAAGCAUUGUUCCGAUAAUUCGCAAUUACUUAAUUAUGUAGUCAGUCCAUAAGAAGUACCAUGAUUGAAAGCUCCUUAUUGUAUACUCUUUAUGAAAGCAAUUCAUCCAACUACUUUGUCUAAUAACUCGUUAUGUGUGUGUUACCUUCAUAUGAUAUACUUGAUUCAUUUGAGUUAAAUCCGUUCACUCAAUAUAAUCCUAUUUUAUCUCAUUGCCAUCAUUGUGUCUUCUUAAUGAUUAAUAUGAUCACUGUCAACAAAUGACUGUGAGAAAUUACUCGUUUGAGAACAAGCAACCCGUGACCAUGUUCCCUAUUUUUCAAUCCACACAAUGCCAAUGAGAGGAUAUCAUUAACUCUUUAAUUGAGUUAUGAAUUCCACUGUUGCUAGUAAAGCCAUGUCAUACACAAGUCAUGUACCCAACAUAUCGGCUAUGGACUCGAUCAUCUUUAGAGCAUAAGCCUCUACUUAUAUCAAAAUACAUGAGUUGUAUACGCAUGCCAAUGACUAACUCAGGAUUUAGGUAAAUCACACCAUGAACGUCACAAGUGAAUUAAUUUACAAACGGAUUCAGAAUUAAUUCAUCUUAAAUUCAGUCUAAUAUAUCAUUCUACCAAUGAAUACAUUUAUGUCUCUACUCGUGGAGUCAACUGCUGCGAUAGCCAUAACUAAACAUCUCCCUAAUUGAAAUUGUAGACAACAUAAUAAUCAUGCUCAAUAUUUGAAUCAAAUGCUCACUUUGAUUCUUUUACGUUAUUACAAACUCAUUUAGAUUUUCUACUGAAGUAAGUUGUCUUUCUCGUAAUGUAAAUGUUUUUUAUAAUGCCACUUAUCUUUAGUUUGAAUUUUAAACAAUCAAUGAACUAAUAUUUGCUUGUCACAAUUUCGCUAUAAAUACAAAAGAUAUAAUAGUGGAAUGUGAAAUUAACUUUAUUUAUUUAUUCAUCGUUCAAAUAAAUAGAAAAUAAUUACAUAUUUACUACAAUAUGAGAACAUUUCCCAAUAGAUCCAAUAUCGUUUCCAUUUAAUUAUCGUUUUUAACCGAGAGAACAAUAGUAAAUUGAAAUCGGAUACAUGGGACUGAUUUACUCACACAAGUUGACAUAUUUAGGUUGCUCCCACAAGUUUCAGACUAGGGUUGCUCAUACAAGCUUAGUUCUGUGCUGCUCACACAAGCUUCAGAGUAUCUGCAACACAUGUUGGAUCUCAAGUCAUCGUAUUAAUUAUUGAUCAAAUAUCCGUUUUCCUUUUCGGGACCCUAAUGGCAUGUUAUUCGUAUCUUAAUCGUUUAUUAAAUUCACACAGCCAUUGUUACCAUUUUCAUAUAAUUUCAAACCUUGUAACAUCAUCAUAUGCAUAUCAUUCAAUCAUAUAACAAUUUCACAUACAUUCAAUACCAUAUACCUAUUCGUAUUUUUCAAAUAUUUCAUAUUUUACGAUUUAGUCCAUUUGAUGCCAAAAGACAUUAUAUUUAUAAAAAUUCAAAUUAGAAAGCCAAACAAUACAAUACAAACAUAUCAUGAAUUAAUAAAGUAAGUCCCAUAUGAACUUACUUGGCAACAACAACAACAAAUAAUACGUCAAUGACUAAUUCACAAUUUUGUCCUUUCAUUGAUUAUCCUCCGAUUGAUUUAAUUCUUGAUCUAUACGAUAAUUCAUUUCAAUUUAUCAAUUAAAAACACCUUAUUUCAUCCUACUAUAAACAUAAGUCAGUUCAAUUUCACUUUUCGAAUGUUUCCUAAUUUUUUCCAUUUUAUCCAAUUUAGUUCCUAUAACUGAAAUUACCAUAACUUUCAAAUUCGAGCUUCGGUUUCGAAACUGAUCUCAAUUUCAUCUUUCUAUAACCCUCUAUUAUAAAAAAUUGUAGAAAUAUUAUACUAAUUUCAAAAUUCAUACGCUUUAGUCUUUACAUAAAAAAACUAACAAUUAAACUUUACAAACUAGCCCAUUUUCAAUUCUAAGCUCAAAGUCUAACAAUUUAAUACCAAAAACUUCAAAAAAUCAACAAUGGAAACUUUUGAAAAUUUUAACAGUUUUACAAGUUGAUACGUGAGCUAGCUAAAUCAAGCUUACAGGACCUAAAAAUCAUUACAAGAAACGAACUAAAUCGAACUUACUUAUGGAUGGCCGAAAGCUUUGAAACAUAAAACCCUAUUUCUUUCUUUUCUAAUCGUGAAGAAGAUGAAUAUGAUAAGAAAUGACUUCCAUUUCUUUUUAAUUUUUGUUUAUAUAUUUUAAUUAGUUACCAAUUAAUUAUAAUUAACUUAAUUAACCUAAGUUGAAUUAAAGCUAAAUUUAAUUAACAAUUUUGGUGGGUUACAACUAUUCUCCACCACCGAUUAACAUAACAUGUAGGGUCAAAUUUCUCAAUUGGUCAUUCACUUAAUUAAAAUUCCAUAGUGAUUAAUUCGUACCAAAUGUACAAAUUAGUCUUUGUACAUUUAUUAACUAUCUAUUUGACAAAAUUAAGGACCAAACUUUAAUUAAACAUUAUAUUAACCUCAUAAAUAUCAAAUAAUAAUAUUUACAGACCUGAAUAUAAAAAAUGAGGUUCUGAAACCAUCAUUUCCGACACCACUAAAAAAUGAAUUGUUACAUAAUACAUUGUUAUCCGAAAAACAAAGCGAUAAUUAGUACACUAUAUUCUUUUAUUCUCAAAUAAAUUAUUUUGUUUUAAAAGGAUAUACAUUGUAAUGGAUAUCGUAUUAAGAUCAUGGAUGAGGAGACAAUUAAUUGAAUCUAUUAUAUUGGAUAAUAGUUUUGUAUUUAAAAACUACCAUAUAGUGGAGGCGGUGCUCCUGAAGAGACCAAAAGACAACUAAUUAUUAAAACUCCAAAAAAGAUUCAAGUACCUGAAAUUGAAUAUGAAAAUAGUGAAAAUAAAUAUAUCUCAAUAUAAGUUAUGUUAAUACCAGAAAACAUGGAACUUUAAAAUAGAAAAGUUGUUUACAACGGUUUUGUAUGCAAUAAUAUUAUUGAGAUAAUGAAAGAAAAAUGAAGUUCUUGACUAUUGAGAAAUAUAUACAUGAAAAGAUUGGCCAAAAUGGAAAGAUGUAAUUUAAGUAGAAUUAAAUCCUAAAAGUUUUUGGAUCAAUAGUCUAAACGUAUAAUGGUAUAAAGCCAAUAAGGUACAAAUGAGUGGUUCUACAAAAACGAAAUAAGAAAUAUGAAGUUUUUUGCGAAGUCCUGACAUUUAUUAUGAAAUGUGUAAUAUUCUCUCACGGUGGAUGCAAUAGCCUCUAGAUAUCUUAUUAGUUUUGGCUGUUCAUGAAAGAUUUGAUAUGUAUUUAACGAUUGUUGCUAUAACAUUUAUAUAUAUCAGUAUAUACUGGAAGUUUAUAUUAAAAUUCUUCUGAAAUUGUUUAUUACAAUUGUGUAAAUAUUUAUAUGAAUUGAUUUGAACAUAUGUAUUAGUAUACAAUGAUAAUGAUCAACUAUGAUUAUUGUUGGAACUCUUAAUCAAAACAUAUUUCUCCAAAGUUAGUGAAUCUGUUCAAGUGAUCAUUUCAAAAGUUAAUAUUCAAGAUUGGAAUACGUAAAAUUUUGAGAUAUCAUGUAAAGUUGUCAUAAGUAAGAGUAAAUACACAUACUAUUUUUUUAUUUAACAAAAGUUUUAUCCAUUAAAUUUUCUGUUAAAGUAUGUUAAUUAUAGAUAAGUGUAUUAUUUUUAUUUUUGUAAGAAAUUUUUUCUCAUAAAUUCUGAAAUCGUAUAUAUGAAAAUAACUCAUAAAUUAUAUUUGAGUAAAAAUAAUUUUGGUUAAAAUUGUUGACCUAAAAUAUUUAUUAAAAAAAAACAUUUUGAAACUCUUUACAAUCCCACCAAACUCUAAAUAAAAGAUGGAGAAAAACUUACAUUUUCCAUUUUAUUUUGUAAAUUACAGCGUAUUUCAUUCGUAGAUCGACUCCUUCAAAGUUCAAAGUCUAAGAUAGCAUUGGAAACCUGCAGGGCAUACGAAAUAAUUAAAAAAGACAAUUAUAAUUGGAAAAGAAGAAUAAACGCAUCAUCGAGGCAACAACAAUUAUUUGAAAUUUGAAGGAAAAAACAUCUCUCAAAAAGACCCAUAGAUGAAAGGGAAAUGGAAAGGUUCGAAGAGAAAACUAGGGUUGCCAGCUGCCCUUCUACUGUGCUCACUCUCAUUCCUUGCUGGAUUGUUUGUUCCCACUUUUUUCUUUCAGGUAAUUCGUAAAAAUGCUUUCAUUUCCAAGUGUUUAUAACUUGGGUUUUGUGUUUAAUUAUUGGUUUUUUUUUAAUAGGAUGUUCCAAUCAUUAAACCCAAGCCGAGAAUGCUCGAGGCAGUGCAGGAGAAGACGUUUCGUGAUCCGAUGCCAAAUGGAGUAACUGGGGAGAGUUCGAUUGAAUCUAUUCCAUUUCAGGUCAUUUUUCCAUUCUGGUUUAGUGCAUUGACUUUUGAAUGAUGAUGGCUUGGUUCAUCAUGUGAGCUUAGUUGUUGUUAGAUUGGUGCCAUAAUUUUUGGCAGAUCUAGUAUAAAGAUUUUAGUGUAUAGUAGGGGUUGUCUAGUGUUGAACCCGAGACAGGUUUUAAUGGCAGACUUUAACACAAGUUUUUGCCACUCCACUGUGGUUCAGUCCAAAAAGAUUUGUUUAUAAAUGCUUUUUCUUGGGAUACUUUUUUUACUUCAGUUAUAAUACUUGGCUUUAGGAUUUGAUACUUGAUAGCAGUUAACUCAUUAGUUAAAGUAUUUAUAAAAUUGUAGGUGGGAUAGGGCCUUGAGCCGAAAACGGAAAGUCGUAGUAAUCCAUGGUAAAAACCAGAAAAAUUGGAGGAUUGGUUUAGUCUAUGAGUCAGAAUAUUCGAGUUUGCAUGUAUUUGAGAGCUAAGAUUUUAUCAAGGUGUGUUUGUGCUGAUUUAAAGAGGAGCUUUUGGAUAUUAAGAGUGGUAAUGAUGCAGAACAAGGAUUUUAUAUGCAAAUGUUUUACAUAAUUCCGAGGUCGAUAUAUGCUAGGAAACAAUAGUAUGGAUCUUUUUUAUGAGCAUUUCUUCGGGGUACUGCUGACUGAAGAACUAACUUCCUAUGCUUGCUUAUUGUUGAAUGCAGGUUUUAAGUUGGAAACCACGAGCUUACUAUUUUCCCAACUUUGCAACUUCAGAACAAUGUGAACAUGUAAUAGAAAUGGCAAAGGUGAACCUUAAACCAUCUGGUUUGGCUUUGCGCGAGGGAGAAACUGAAGAAAGCACAAAAGGAACUAGAACAAGGUGCCCCUUUAUGCAAUUAUUUCUAUUUUUAUUGUCGGUUUCUUGUUGAUCUUGAGUUG